This 170532-nucleotide long non-coding RNA is filed under the name Citrus maxima (pomelo). RNAcentral's name for it is "long non-coding RNA (CMAX_LNC000711)". The record is from RNAcentral. Lineage: Eukaryota; Viridiplantae; Streptophyta; Magnoliopsida; Sapindales; Rutaceae.
AAGUUUUGAGAAUUUGCCAGAAUGGCAGCAUUGGAACACCAAUAUCAAAGGAAAUGAGCCUGUUGAAAUAUUUCCUCGUCUCCAAGAACUUUCCAUUGCAGAAUGUCCCCAACUCUCUGGAGAACUGCCUGAGCUCCUGCCUUCUUUGGAGACACUUGUUGUUAGUAAAUGUGGAAAGUUGGUAGUUCCAUUGUCAAGCUAUCCGAUGCUCUGCAGAUUAGAAGUUGAUGAGUGCAAAGAGCUAGUGUGCAGGACUCCAAUUAAUUUUGAGUUGAUAAAGUCUGUGACUAUUUCAAAUAAUUCAUUACUCAUGAAUGGAUGCAAGGAGAUGCUAUGCCAUGGUCAAGCUGGCUCUUCACUGCAGAAACCCAAGACUAUUAUGAAUGUUUUGGAGUUCGGAAAAUUAUUGAAGCCUGGAUUUCAGAUAUUAGAAACUUUGGUAAUUGGCAAUUCUGAACGGCUCAAGUCAUGGAGUACUUUUAUUGAACCAGGGCUACAUUUGCUCGCUUCCCCUGAAGAGGUAGCAAUUGAAGAAAGUUGUGUACGUCUUGUUUUGUUUCCAGAGAUCAAUUUCUUUCCCAGAAAUCUGCGCUCUCUUCGAAUUUGCAACAGCACUGCUUUCAAAUCCUUACCCGAGGAAAUGAUGGAAAACAAUUCACAACUCGAAAGGUUGUAUAUCAGAGAUUGCGACUCUCUAACAUUCAUCGCAAGACGGAGGCUACCAGCAUCUCUUAAAAGGCUUGAGAUAGAAAAUUGUGAGAAAUUGCAACGUCUGUUCGAUGAUGAAGAGGAUGCUUCUUCUUCUUCUCCUUCAUCCUUGUCUUCCCCAGUGAUGCUGCAACACCUGAGAAUAGAGAAUUGCCCAGAGCUCACCAGUUUAUCAUCGGGUGUCCAAUUCCUUGAGGCGCUUGAAUACCUCAAGAUAGAGCAUUGUCCAAAGCUGGAGUCAAUACCGGAUGGCCUGCCCAAUCUUAAAUGUUUACAGAGCAUUUAUAUACGGAAAUGUCCAAGUCUUGUUUCCUUCUUAGAAAGAGGGCUUCCCAACGCCAUUUCAAGUUUUUACAUUUGCAGAUGUGACAAGCUCGAAGCCUUGCCCAAUGAUAUGCACAAACUCAACUCUCUUCGAGAUUUAAGCAUACAUGGGUGUCCAAGUCUUGUUUCCUUCCCAGAAAGAGGGCUUCCCAACGCCAUUUCAAGGGUUUACGUUUGCAGAUGUGAGAAGCUCGAAGCCUUGCCCAAUGAUUUGCACAAACUCAACUCUCUUCGAGGUUUAAGCAUACAGAUGUGUCCAAAUCUUGUAUCGUUUCCAGAAGAAGGUUUUCCUACCAAUCUAACAUCACUUACAAUUAGAUAUUUCAAAAUGUAUAAGACACUCGUCCAGUGGGGGUUGCACAGGCUUACCUCUCUUAAACGCCUCUGGAUUGCUGUACGUGAUGAUGAAGCAGAGUGUUUUCCAGACGAGGAGAUAGGAAUGACGCUGCCCACCUCUCUCACCGCUCUGCACCUUACUGGAUUCGAAAAUUUGAUAUUUCUGUCUUCAAUGGGUUUUCAAAACCUCACCUCUCUUCAAUCUUUGAGGAUCGAGAAUUGCCCGAAUCUCACAUCAUUUCCAGAGGUGGGCCUUCCAUCCUCACUUUUGGAAUUACACAUUAGAGAUUGUCUAAAGCUUAAAAAAGCGUGCAAAAGAGAUCAAGGAAAAGAGUGGCCCAAAAUUGCUCACAUCCCUCGCGUUGAGAUAGACGAUAAAUUCAUAUACGAUCCAGAAGCAGAGUAGAUUCUAUUAUUAAGGUCAGUUGAUUUGUAUUAUCCGCUAUAACAAGCUCCUCCUUUUUUUUUCAAAUAAUAAUUUUGCAGUCACUCAUAUGAUUCCGUUUUCACAAGUCAGAUUGUAUGUUGAGGCUAUUUGCCUUUUAAUUAUAACACUUAUUGGAGUAUAAUAUUUUGGAGCAAGCAUACUUGAAAUUUCUGUCUUCAAUAUUUUGAUGCUUUUUUAAUUUUUGAUCUAGUAAAAAUACAUAGCCUUCACCGGCAGGAUUCUAGUCUUGGCUUUCACCUCUCUAACUCAUCGUCCCCACUGGGAUUCCAGAAAUUGAAAUUUCUGUCUUCAAUGGGUUUUCAAAGCCUCGCCUCUCUUCGAUUUUUAUGGAUCGCUUCGAUUUUUGCACAAAUCUCACAUCAUUUCCCGAGGUCGAGGAAAAGAGCGGCCCAAACUUGCUCGCAUCCCUUGGGUUAUGAUAGAUGGAAAAUUCAUAUACGAUCCAGAGUCAGAGGUGUUGAUUCUCUUAUUAAGGUCAACUGAUUUCUAUUAUCCACUCUGACAAUCUCCUAUUAGUGUUUUUCCUUUUCUUUUUCAAAAUUUUGCAGUUCUGUAUAAUUGAAAAUGCCACUCACUUGUUUCCUUUUUCGCAGGUCAAAUAGUGCGUUGAGGCUAUUUGCUUUCUAUCGGUGUUUGUUAAGGUAAUUAGUGCUCCAUCAUAGGUAUGACUGGAUUUUUUUCACUUCCGUAAAUAUUGCAUUUCUAUCGGUGUUUGACUGGAUUUUUUUCACUUCCGAAAAUAUUGCAUUUUAGACUGGCAAAUUUAGCAGUAAUUUUAAUACAAUUUUGUUGGUGCCUUUUGUUCCAGAAGCUAGAAAAAUGUGUAGUUUUCAGAUAAGGAGGCUUGUCAGUUCUCUAAUAAGAAUCCAAUAAUUUGCUUUUGCACGUCCAUCUAAUUUGUGGAUCCUUGCAUCAGAAUUUGAUCAAUCCAAAAGGAAUUGCUUUUAGACAGAGGAAGAAUAGCAGUACCUAGCCUAUGUCAUAGUGUAUGGAACCGCAAACCUGAAACUAUUAGAUUGAGGUAAAAAAAUCAUUGACCCCCUCACAUGUUAACUUCUUCUAGUUACUUUCGUUGGAAAAAAAAACAUUUAAGGAAUUUGCAAUUUGUUGUUGGUUAUGGUAUCUGAUGUUCUUUUCUGUUUUAGUGUUUGUAGAAUCUACUGUAUUAUGUGUUGGCAGUUGCCGUAUCUGAGGUAACUUGCCUUUAUUUGACAAAGAUUUAGAGAAGCAUCUCAAAACACUUAGUAAACUUGACAAACUUCAAGAUGCACUUGCCCCCACGCCUUAUUCUCCACAACGCAAAACUUGUGAGUACACCUAUGCCUGCAAUUAUUGUGAAGUGUUUUCAAUUUUGAUGCAGAGAAAUGGUUUCUUGAUGCAAAAUAUUAAACUGUUAAGAUUUAUCCUGCAGGCUUGUUAGAUGCUGUAUGCUCGAAAAGCCAACAACAUCCAGAACUAGAACUCCAAGACCAGCUUUGCGUUAAUUCAGUCAACUGUAAUAAUAAUGCAAAUGACACUAUAUCAAGCUGGACUUAGAGACUAGUCAGAUCAAUCAUCCAUUUCAUCAACGGUUAAUGUCAUGAUGGUGGCUAUCAGAGGAAACAAAAGAUGUGUCGGAAUCUAUACGAACAUUGAGAAGCAUGAGAGGAGCUUUGAUUUUGAGUAGGGUCAAUGAACUCAUGUUGGUAAGUGGUAAUUAAAGAAAUUUGUAAGCUUAGUAGAGUUUCAGUAUUUUCUGUUUGGAGUAUAGUUGAUAAGUUGACUCUGUUUAAUAAGCCCGAUUAUAGUAGCUGACUGUAUUAACCUUUUUUUUUUUGGUCUACUGUUGUUUUUGGUUUCGAUUAUUUUUUCAACAUUGGGUUGAUCUGUUGAAGAACAAGCUUGGGUUCGAUUCUGCUUUAACUACAAGGAAGAGCCAGACUUGGAUGCAGGCGUUAAGAUUUUAAUGGGUAAGAACAAAUGAAUGCUUUAACCAUGUUUCUCACUAAUUAAAAUGCACGGAUUGAAGGCAUCUGGGUUGAUCCUGACAAUGUGAUGGAAAUACUUCUCUAUUUUGUUCCUGUGUUCACAUAAUGUUUGUGGGAUAUGCUUCGACGAAGACCAGCAAUGAUGAGCAGACACCUGGUAAUAGGGUUCCUCGAGCAGGUAUAUCUUGUAAGAGUAUGGUAUUCAGGGGAGCAGGAGCAGGAAUAUCCUGCUCAUCCGCGAGCACGUCAUCCACGAGGCCAAUCUCCUGUUGGAAGCAUAAAGCCAUUCCUGCUACAUUCCUGCUAAGGGUUGAGUCGAGGAGACCCGGUCAACGACAGUUGGCGAGGCGUGCUCUCCAGUCCGAGAAUCAAGGCAUGAAGGCCACGCAACCACCCACGACUACGGAAAUGGGGCAUCCACUUUCGAGAGGUGGGAGGAUAACGAGCGCGAAUGGAAGAAGGCCCGAGUUCAGAGAUGGCCUAUAAAAAAGUAGCCAACAAAGGUAAAAGGGUUAGAAUUUUUGACAUUGUAACAGAAAAAAAGAAAGCUCUAAAGAACUGAGACUAAAAAAGAAAAGCCAUAAGAUUUGUGGCUAGUGUUCCCAGAACCUUCAUAUCUAACUUGAGCGUCGGAGGGUUUACGCCGGGAAAACAACCGGCGUACUCUGACCUAGUUCUGUGUACGCAGGAACUUCUGGAGAAGAAGCCUUACGAGGAGAGAUCCUAAUCGAGGUGGAGUUGAUCGAGCAAAGAUCCUGGUCGUAACAAGAGAGCAACCAGAAUCUCGCAUCAACAUUUUGGCGCCAUCUGUGGGGACUUGAUCAAAAAGCUUCUGUUGAUAGCAAGAAGAGGAGUGAAGCAAGUGGAAAAGCAAUGGAGGCAAGAAGAAAUAGUGCACAAUGGGGUGAUAUGAGGCUUAACGAUUCCGUGACGCUGAGGGAGAUAGCCAGUGAAGCACGGGAAAAAGCCAUGUUUGACCGGAUGGAACGGAUGGAAAAGCAGAUGCAGACCCUGACAACCAUCCUACAUGAGCUGCGGAGUGAACGAAGGGGAACCCAGGAGGAAAGGGUGAGAGGUGGUGGAGUGGCACCAGGUCAUGAUAGUACGAGGAGAAGUCAAACCACCGAGAGAUUUGGUGGUGAGAGAGGUAACCUAUCUCUACGGGGAGAAAUUCAUAGAGAGGAAGAGCAAUCCCCGGCAAGACAGAUUUUUGACGAGGACGACGGGGUGGCGAAUGCAGAGGAAACAGAGUUGAGGUAACACUUGCAUGAUGUAGAGCAAGAGCGGGAUCAAGUUGCAGCACGUGACCUUGGUCGUGUAGUGCAGCUGGAGGAGGAAGUGCGCAGACUAGCGCAGAUAAUUGAUGACAUGUAAGGAAGGAGCAGAGCUCCUGGUUGGAGGAUAAUGCUGGACGGAGAAUCACCGCUCGCAGCAGAGAUCAUGAGGGCAGUUAUUCCAAGAGAUUUCCGCCUCCCAGACCUUAGAUAUUCGGGACGAACUGAUCCGCUGGUGCACAUAGAGCGCUUCAACGACAUAACCGGGGUACAAGGAUUAUCUCAAUCCCAAAGGUGCAGGGUGUUCCCACUAUCCCUUGAGGGACGUGCACGCAAGUGGUACAGGAAACUUCCUCGGUGGAGCAUUAAAACCUUCGAGCAGAUGUGACAGGAAUUUGUAGAGCAGUUUCGUGGGGCAAUAGCACCAGAAGAUGACAUGAUGGAGUUGAAAAGCAUGAAGCAGGGGGAACAAGAAACCCUUCGGGAAUUCAUCAAGAGGUUUCAUCGUGCUGUCCUCGAUUUGGGAGCCUUCAACCAUUCUCAGGCAUUAAGGGGAUUGAAAGAAGGGGUGAAGAUAGGAAGGCUGUGGCACAACUUGAGAAGCCCAGUUAUUCAGAUGUAUACAGCCGCAUACGAGCAGGCUAAGAGGGACAUUGAGAUUGAAGAAGAAAAGGCAGCACGGAUUAAGACAGACCAGCUAGAAGGGUUGGGAAAGAAAGAGAAGAAAGCAUUACCAGGGAAUGGGCCGAUCAGGAGGAAGGACCACCAGGCCUCAGGUAGUGGUGCAAGAGGUCGAGUAACCGCUUACCAGCCUCAUCAGAGACCACCACAGUAUUAGCACAGCAGAGCACAACCUCCUCGUUCCCCAGUUAGAGAGCUUUGGAGAAGGCAUGACUCGACAUAUGGUGGUCUUCAUCAACACUCCCACGGUAGUAGAGGGAGCAGACCAGAAGCGCUGCCACCGCCUCUAACUCAGAAUGGAACAAAUAGAGAAAGGGUAGUGCACAUGAUCGACCAGAACCAGGACUAUGGGCAGUAUACUUCCUUGAAGAUGUCCCUGGACGAGGUGUACGAGGCCAUAAAGGACCGGGGAUUGAUGUACCUCCCUGCCCCAAUAACAAAGCUACCCAGCAGGACGGAUAGGGGACGCUAUUGUAAGUUCCAUGGCACUUAUGGCCAUACCACUGCAGAAUGCAGAGAUCUCAAGACCCAAGUUGAAGAUUUGGUGAGAAAUCGGUACCUGGAUGAGUUUAUAGAUGAGACUUUCCCGAUGGUGGCCUCGACAUGUGAAGGGGAGCAGAGUGAUAGAAACUUUAGGCGCGAGCAGCCUGCAGUAAGGGUAAUAGCUGGGGGCCCAACAUUGGCCGGAGAUUUCAACAGAUCGAGGAAGAAUUAUGCUAGAUACGCCAUAACUAGUAAAGAGUUACUCUUCAACACCCCAGCAGCCAAAUGAGUAAGAGUCAGACAAGUGCCAAUCAUGUGGACGGAUGAAGAUGAAGAAGAGAUUCUAUACCCCCACGAGGAUGCUUUAGUCAUCAAGGCUACUGUUGCAAGUAAGAAGUUUGACCGGAUACUGGUUGAUACAGGGAGCUCAGUUGAUGUGUUAUUUAAGUCAACUCUGGAGGAGAUGGGAAUAGCAGGCCGGAAGUUGGAGUACACCAAUACCUCCUUGAAAGGGUUUGGAGGAGGAAAGCUGGUCCCUCUGGGCGUGGUCGAGCUGCCUAUCACGAUUGGGAGCUCCCCGACAAAAAGGACUAUGAUACUGGACUUUGUGGUGGUGGAUGAAGAAUGUCCUUACCAGAUGAUCUUAGGUCGGCCAUUUCUGAGGAUGAGCAAAGCGGUACUGUCCAACCAUUAUCUGGCUCUCAAGUACCGAGUGAAUGUGGUAGUUGGAGUGGUACGAGGAGACCAGAGAAUAGCACGAAGCUGCUACUCCUUGGCAGCAAGGGAAGCAAUGCAAAUAACAUCCCUUGAUACCCGAGUGGAAAACAUGAAUGGCAGACAAGAACCUGUAGAGGAGCUGGAGACAGUAAGCCUGGGACCAGAGAAUCCGGGAAAAACGAUCAGAAUCGAGUCGAGACUUAAGGAAGAGCAGAAGCAGGAGUUGGUGAAAUGCUUACAGGCUCAUGCAGAUGUGUUUGCUUGGACACAUGAAGACAUGCCAGAGAUUGAUCCUGAGGUAGCAUGUCAUAAGCUGGCAAUAAAGAAAGGUGCUCGGGCAGUAAGGCAGAAAAGGAGGUGCUUCAACCAGGAGAGGUAUGAGGCUAUAAAUGGCGAGGUGGAGAAGCUCUUGAUAGCAGGGUUCAUUUGCGAAGUCGAUUAUCCUGAGUGGAUAUCGAAUGUGGUGUUGGUAAAGAAGGCAAAUGGCAAGUGGAGGAUGUGUGUAGAUUUCACAGAUCUCAAUAAGGCGUGCCCGAAAGACAGCUUUCCUUUAUCAAAGAUCGACCAGCUAGUAGAUUCAACGGCUGGACACGGCCUGCUUAGCUUCAUGGACGCGUUUUCGGGAUACAACCAAAUUCCCAUGUAUGAGCAGGAUGAGGAGAGCACGGCUUUUAUUACUAACCAGGGUUUAUUUUGUUACAGGGUAAUGCCAUUUGGUCUUAAAAAUACUGGGGCCACGUACCAGAGGCUGGUGAAUAAAGUCUUUAAGCCAUUGAUUAGGAGAACCAUGGAGGUGUACGUGGACGACAUGAUAACCAAGUUGAACAUCCCGAAGGAACAUGUCAGAUACCUCGAGGAGACAUUCGGGCUUUUGAGGAAGUAUAAGAUGAAGCUCAACCCGGAAAAGUGUGCUUUUGGGGUCGAGUCAGGGAAAUUCCUUGGAUUCAUGGUGAGCCAUAGGGGGAUCGAAGCAAAUCCCGAGAAGAUCCACGCGAUCGUGUAAAUGAGGUCACCUCGUAGCCUGAAGGAGAUGCAGAGCCUCACGGGGAGGUUGGCGGCAUUGAGCCGAUUCAUAUCCAAGGCUACUGAUAAGUGUCAGCCAUUCUUUCAAGUGAUAAGGAGGGGAAAGAAAAUAGAAUGGACCCCAGAAUGUGAAGAAGCCUUCCAGAACUUGAAGCAGUACUUGCAGCAAGCACCUCUACUGUCCACACCGAGGGAUGGGGACAAGUUAUUUUUGUAUUUGGCGGUAUUAGAUCGGGCCGCAAGUUUUGUUCUGGUGAGAGAGGAAGAAGGGGUUCAGUAUCCGAUAUACUACACCAGCAAGGCUCUGCUCGACCCUGAGACCAGAUACCCACCGUUGGAGAAAUGGGCAUUUGCCCUUGUGGUUGCUGCUCAGAAGCUGAGGCCAUACUUUCAAGCAUUCCCAGUCUCGGUAAUAACAAACCAGCCAUUGCGUCAAACUCUGCACAAGCCAGAUGCUUCUGGUCGGCUCGUCAAGUGGACUAUAGAGCUGAGCGAGUUCGACAUAGACUACAAACCCCGAGCAGCGAUAAAGGCUCAGGCGAUGGCCGAUUUCAUAGCAGAAUUCACAGAGCCCGAAAUAUGUUUGGACCAGCGAGAUGUAGCUACAGACAGCAACGAAGCCCGAGUAUGGCAGAUGUCUGUAGAUGGAUCAUCCGGGGAGUAGGGAUCAGGAGCAGGAAUUGUUUUGGAAGGCCCAGAAGGGGAGGAGAUCUCUUAUGCUGUAAAGUUAGAAUUCGCAGCCACAAAUAACCAAGCAGAGUACGAAGCCUUGAUAGCAGGUUUGGAAUUGGCUAAGGCAGUGAAAGCGGAUAGAGUGAAGAUCAGAACUGAUUCCCAGCUGGUCGCAAAUCAUGUCAGUGAAAGAUUUCAACCGAGAGAGGAGAAGAUGGAGCAGUACCUGAAGAUAGUCAGGCAUAUGAUGGGGAAAUUUGAAGCGGUUUAGGUGAUACAAAUCCCCAGGGAGCAGAAUAGUCGAGCAGAUAUUUUGACGAGGAUGGCAGCGGUAGCAGACCCAAAAAUGCCAAAGUCGAUCCCUCUGGAGGUGAAGUCCAGCCCGAGCAUCGAGCAUAAUUUGGGGGUGCUGCGGAUAGAACAAAAAUGCUCGUGGAUGGACCCGAUAAUUUCAUACCUUAGAGACGGGGUAUUACCACCAGAGAAGCUGCGAGCUCGGAAGAUUAGAGCCCAGGCCUCGAGAUACACGAUGAUUGACGGGGUAUUAUAUCGGCGAGGAUAUACGCUACCUUUCCUUCGGUGUUUGGAUGAGGACGACGCGGACUACGUACUGAGAGAAGUACAUGAAGGAAUUUGCGAAAAUCACUAUGGUGGGAGGUCCCUGGCUCACAAGGUUCUAAGGCAGGGAUAUUUCUGGCCGACAAUGCACCAGGAUGCGCAAGAGAAGACCAGGAGCUGUGUAAGCUGCCAGAGUUUUGUGAGUUUCUCUAACCAACCACCAGAGAAGCUCACCUCUAUGGCCCCCCCCUGGCCAUUUGCUCAAUGGGGAAUUGAUCUGAUCGGCCCGUUGCCAAAGGGAUGAGGAGCAGCAACACAUGCAAUAGUUGCGAUAGACUACUUCACGAAGUGGAUAGAGGUAGAAGCCCUUAGUAGGAUCACAGAGAAGAAAACAACAGACUUUGUAUGGAGAAACCUGGUCUGUCGAUACGGGAUCCCUUAUGCCUUGGUAACGGAUAAUGGCAGGCAGUUUGAUAAUCACAGCUUCAGGGAUUUCUGCCAGAACCUCGAGAUAGAGUUGAAGUAUUGCUCGCCUGCUCACCCUCAAUCUAAUGGACAAGUAGAAGCAGCCAACAAGACCAUCAAGAGGCUUUUGAAAACCAGGCUUGGAGCAAAAAAGGGUGCAUGGGUUGAUGAGCUGUCAGGUGUCCUAUGGGUAUACAAGACAACCCACAAAACAGCAACUGGGGAGACACCGUUCGCCUUGGCUUUCGAACAUGAAGCGGUCGUACCAGCCGAGAUAGGAACGACCACGCACCGGACAGAUCAUUUCAAUGAGCAGGAGAACGACGAGCAGAUGUGUUUGAAUCUAGAUCUGCUAAUGGAAAAGAGGGAGCAAGCAGCCGAGCGAUCAACCAUUUGCCAGCAGAGGGUUGCUCGGUAUUAUAACCAGAAGGUGAAUGUACGGCAGUUCAAGGUCGGAGAUUGGGUGUUAAGAAGAGUGAAUCAGAAUACGAAAGACUCGGCUCAGGGAGUACUUGGACCAAAUUGGGAGGGGCCAUAUAGGGUCAAGCAGCUAGUUGGACCCGGAGCUUACAAGCUGGUUCGCUCGGAUGGCCACGAGGUGAAACGCCCAUGGAACGCAACACACCUCAGGAAAUAUUUCCAGUAAGAAUUGUCCAUGUUUUCAAGUUAUUUCUGUUCGUGUUUGUUGUUAUUUAUUUUAUGUCAAAACAAUUUCAUGUAAGUUGAAUCCUGCAAUUAAUGAAACGUCGAGGAAUUUCAUUCACUUGAAACUGUGAAAAAUCUACUAAGGCAUGCUAAGGCUCACUGAGUCUCAAAGCCUGUUUAUGGAAAGACCAGAAGCCAAGUGUGCCAGGAUCUGCUCGACCACGCGAAGGCCAGCAGAAUCCCAAAUCAUUGAAGAAUCUACCAAGGCAUGCAAAGGCUCGUCAAGUCUCAAAGCCUGUUUAUGGCGAGACCAGAAGCCAAGUGUGCCAGGAUCUGCUCAACCACGCGAAGGCGAGCAGAAUCCCAAUCAUUGAAGAAUCUACCAAGGCAUGCAAAGGCUCGUCAAGUCUCAAAGCCUGUUUAUGGCGAGACCAGAAGCCAAGUGUGCUAGGAUCUGCUCAACCACGCGAAGGCGAGCAGAAUCCCAAUCAUUGAAGAAUCUACUAAGGCAUGCUAAGGCUCACCGAGUCUCAAAGUCUGUUUAUGGCGAGACCAGAAGCCAAGUGUGCUAGGAUCUGCUCGACCACACGAAGGCGAGCAGAAUCCUAAAUCAUUGAAGAAUCUACCAAGGCAUGCAAAGGCUCGUCAAGUCUCAAAGCCUGUUUAUGGCGAGACCAGAAGCCAAGCAUGCCGGGAUCUGCUCGGCCAAGUAAAGGCCAGCAGACUCCCCAACAUCAAAAAAUUAUCCAAGGCAUGCAAAGGCUCGUCAAGUCUCAAAGCCUGUUUAUGGCGAUACCGGAAGCCAAGCAUGCCGGGAUCUGCUCGACCAAGUGAAGGCUAGCAGACUCCCCAACACUGGGAAAAUUAUCUAAGGCAUGAGAAAGCUCGUCAACUCUCAAGGCCUCCUCUGUGACGAGGUCAGAAGCCAAAUGGAUAAAUAAAUUAAAAUUCCAAUGCGAGGAAGCAAAUAAGAACAAUUUUAUUAAGCUCUUAAAAGUCUGCAAUUCUGUUACAUACAACGCUAAAAAAGCAAUUACAACGCAAGACAAGUUCAGGAGGACGGCGGAUCAGUAAACCGAGUAGCUUCGGUUGGCUGGUCCACUUCAGGGGUCGAGGGGGUGUCACCAGUUGCGUCCGGGGGGGUACUCGCCUCACCAACGUUAGCAGGGACUGCAUGAGGAGGAGAGUUUUCCUCCUCAACCACGAUUGGCUCCACCCCUUCGGCAUCCUCCUUUGCCGCCUCCUCGUCCAUGUGUUGAACAAUACUAGCCGCAAGGUCAUCCAUCUUCAGAUCAGGAUGCUGCUUCCCGAGGACGGCCAUGAUGCAACGAUAGGAAUGCCGAAGUCCCUGGUCGUACUGGUUGUCGGCUUCCUUCUCCAAGUUCUUGACCUGAACUCGGUGGGAAUCGCGGAGAGAUUCGAGCUGAGCCUCGUACAUAAUUUUCUGCCUUUGCAGAUCCUCCUUGACCUUAGUCAGCUCUUCCUCGAGAGUAACGGCCUAUGCUUGAGCAAGAGAUUCUUGCUCUAUCAGCUUCAGAUUCUCGAGAUUCAAGUCUCCCGCUUUCUUCUCGGCAGCAUCGGCUCUGGUCGUCGCCGAUUGAAUGUCCUCCUUCAUCUUCCGGUCGUAACGGCCAACCUUGGCCUUAUAGUAAGUGGUCAUGCAGCUGAGGUGGAAAGCGCUAUACUGCAUGGCCCCCACCAGCUCACCUAGGGUGCAGCCAUCAAAGUCCUCCAGGUCCUUCUUGCUCACGAGUUUAAAUAGCUCAUUGAGAUAGGGGACCAAGUGUUCUGCUCGGUGGUCAGAUAAACGAGAUCUAGGCCCGACAGGAGGAGAAGAGAAAGCAGGAUCAGUGGCAGCUCCACUAGUCUCUCUGACUUUGGCAGGAGGAGGAGGAGGUAGAGUCUGCAAGGGAGCAACCUGUUGCACGAUGUUCACCUGCUUUGCAGUAGGAGCAUCUUUAUUCUGGUCCUGCUUGGUCGUUGGAGGUCGAGAACGUUUCCUAGUCAGAGCCCCAAUCACAGCAUCCUCCAUCUUAUGGCCGGGAGGCACCAAACAAGACUCGAGCAGGUUAUAAGUAGUUAUCAGCUCUCGGCUCGAGCAGGAAUUGGCUAGUACAGCCUCGACCCGUUUGAGCUGGUCAGGUUUGAGCGGGAAGUAAACACCCCAAGAACCUGCAACACAAAUAGACACUUGGUUAGAGACAAACCAGUAUAGCGAGAACAAUUAUGGAUACAAGACAUCUAAAGCGAGCAGGCAACCUGAGAUCACGAAACGGGGUGGGACGCAAGAAUCCUUCCCGUCAAUUUGUGCAACUUGACCCCAGGAACCCCCAGCAAAAAAGAAUUUUUUCUUCCAAUUCCCACCACCACCAGUAAGAAGAUCGGUUAUGGGUUUCCUGGUCUUGGUACUAGAUUGGAAGUAGUACCAGCCGGCAUCUUUGGGGCUGCUCUUUAGCUGGUACAGGUGCUUCACCUCAUCAACUGUGGGCUUGCUUUGGCAACAUCUGUCCCACAAUAUGAACAGACCAGAGAGUACUUUCCACCCGUUGGGGUUCAGCUGACCAGGAGCUAGAUUUAGCCCGUUAAGCAUCCGGGCAAAGUAGGGUUGCAAGGGACACCUCAGCCCAUACUUAAAGCUCUCUAGAAACAGGGUAACGUAUCCCCUAGGAGGCCGGCUAGGGGUAUCCUUCUUUCCUGGGAUCUUAAGAGGUAUUUCACCAGGAAUACUAUACUUAAGCCGGAGGUCAGUGAGCUCGUCAAACGUGGUCGUGCACGUCAUGUAAUCAAUAGCGUAAUCCCGCGAUAGGGCUCUACCUCCUACUGUACUCUGCCCUUCUGGUCGCGAUGUUCAUAAUGGGGACACCUCACCAGAAUCACCUCUUCGAUCCUCACUCAGGGUGUUUUCCGAGCCAGAAAACCCCUCCUCACCGCUAUUUCUGCUCGAGGAGGUUGUUUGGGGGGACAUCCUCCUAGCGCUAGUACCAACACUAGGUCUAAUGGGUUCUAAGGGGAUCCCGGGGUCAAAAGCAGGAUCGGUGAGCAGACUAGGCAGGAAGUCCAACUCAUUGUCAUCAACCUCAAUGACCUUCUCUUUACCUUUCGACAUUCCCUAAGCUAUAACUAGAACACCACCACCAACUACUACCCAAGCAAAGCAAAGAGAAAAGAAAUUAUCUACAGCUAUCCGAGACUGAGGAGAUAGAAGUAAUACCUGAAAUAGUGGUUCAGUCGGAGAAGGACAGGGAUGGAGGCCUUUAUGCCGGAACUUCUUUGCCAGGGAGACAGGGACAGAGACGGGGUAAAUGACGAAUUUUCCUUUGGAGAGGUUUUAGGUUUUCCUAAUGGAGAAUAAACUCUUGGGUUGCCAGCAUUUAACAGCACCAAAUCCCGAGGGUCUCGUAACCGUUGGUUUGAAAUUCAAAUAGAGAGGUAGAUUUCUGUCACAUCACCUCGUCCGCAAUUAAAUGCGACACAACUCUUGGCAGCCUUUUUCCUAUCCCGCGCAAGCAAGAGCUGUCAAGUUUCUACUAUCGGCUUACUACGUUACCCAACACCAGAAACUGGGGGAUCGGUGUUUGUGGGAUAUGCUUCGACGAAGACCAGCAAUGAUGAGCAGACAUCUGGUAAUAGGGUUCCUCGAGCAGGUAUAUCUUGUAAGAGUCUAGUAUCCGGGGGAGCAGGAGCAGGAAUAUCCUGCUCAUCCGCGAGCACGUCAUCCACGAGGCCAAUCUCCUGUUGGAAGCAUAAAGUCAUUCAUGCUACAUUCCUGCUAAGGGUUGAGUCGAGGAGACCCGGUCAACGACAGUUGGCGAGAUGUGCUCUCCAGUCCGAGAAUCAAGGCACGAAGGCCACGCAACCACCCACGACUACGGAAAUGGGGCAUCCACUUUCGAGAGGUGGGAGGAUAACAAGCGCGAAUGGAGGGAAGGCCCGAGUUUAGAGGUGGCCUAUAAAAAGGUAGCCAACGAAGGUAAAAGGGUUAGAAUUUUUGACAUUGUAACAGAAAAAAAGAAAGCUCUAAAGAACUGAGACUAAAAAAGAAAAGCCAUAAGAUUUGUGGUUAGCGUUCCCAGAACCUUCAUAUCUGACUAGAGCGUCGGAGGGUUUACGCCGGGAAAAGAACCGGCAUACUCUGACCUGCUUCUGUAUACGCAGGAACUUCUGGAGAAGAAGCCUUACAAGGAGAGAUCCUGAUCGAGGUGGAGUUGAUCGAGCAGAGAUCCUGGUCGUAACAAGAGAGCAACCAGAAUCUCACAUCAACACAUAAUAUAAUAUAUAUAUAUAUAUAUAGAAAGCUGAAUUUAUUUAUUUACGCGCAUGUGCUAGUGCCCACUGGCAUCCACUUGAUUUGUAUCGGUUAAAUGUAUCAUACAAUACAAUAUUAGCUUGACUGUAGAAAAGAGGAGAACGAGUUGGUGUUGGUCUGAACUCUUAUCUUUGAAUCUCACGUGACUCCACUACUUUUUACUUGUUCUGUAGUCCAUUGUCGGCAGCUCAUACAAGGUCUUUUAGCUUUUUAAAAAGUUUUAGCUUUUUGGAUAAAUUACUGAUAAUUGUAAUCUAUAAAUAAUGAAAGGAAUUAAUUAAAUAUUUGGUAAAUUUUAUUUUUUAAAGUGUUAUGAGUUUUAAAAACGGUUGUAUGUAUAUAAAUUUAUUUACACAUAUAUUUAUAAAUAUGACUAUAUAAUAAUAUUUUAUGUGUACAUAUAAUAAUUGAUAACUAAAAUAAAUAUUUUUAUUUUAUUAAUGGUUUUUUCGUCUCAAUGUAGUUGGUAAUAAUAAUCUCUUGAGAUGUAACGAUUUUAUUUCCUAACUGAAUAAGGAAAAUUUUAGAUUUUUAUAAUAAAUGUUAAGAUAUAUUUAGAAUUACAUUAAGUAUGAAAUAAUCCUCAAAAUUAGAUUUUGAAAAGCAAUUCUUUUCUUGCCUUUAAAAAUAUGUCAUAUGAUGAGAUGAUUUUACUAAAAGUGAUUUUUUUUUAAAAAAUUACUAAACAUCAAAAUUAACUCUUAACUUUUUAAAAUCAUUUCUAAUCUUCUCAUCCUAAGUUCUCUAUUAUUUUGUACAAAAUCCAAGGUUUUGACUUUAAUAAAAUGCCCACUCAAAAAGAAAUUAUUUUCUAAUUAAGAUUUGUUGUUAAUGUAUAACUCGAAGUAAUAUUAGAUAUUUGUAAUUUUAUUUCAAAAAAUUUAUUCAAAUGAUAUGGCAAGCAAUGAACAAUAGUUGAUAGCAAUUUUUUUUUCUUUAACAAUGUUCAAAUCAAUCAGUUGCAUUAUCUCACCAUUUUUAUGAUGCCAUGUUAUUUUAAACGAUUUUUUUUUUAUAUAAAACAUACGACGUGUUAACAUCAUUUGCAUAACUUGACCUUUUUUUUUUUCCCUACAAAUAGUAAGUCAAAUUUACUCACCCUAUUUCUACCUAAAAUCUACCUAAAACUCAUGCAUCACUGCAAAACAAAUCCAAAGAUUGCGGUGCGUUUUUCUUGGUCAGAAAUCAAUAAUUAGGUCAAGUACUACUACUAAGCGUGCACAAUUAAUUCUAAAAUACGGUGAUCAAAAUCAUACUUUACGCAAGAGGAUCAGGGCUAAACUUCAAUUAGGCAUUAUUCAUCCAAAAAUCAUUGACUCGGCAUUCUUUGCAAGUUGUAGCAUGGGACAGCUAAGAUAAUUAGCAAAUGAUAUGGACCAUAUGCACCAAUACAUUUGUGACAUGUGAAUCUUGGCAUUAAAGGAAAGGCAAUGUGUCAAAAUUUAAUAGAGCCCAACUCUUCAUUGAAUGAUUAUCAGAUCCAAUACGCAUCCUUUGAUUGGAUUAUUUUAAGUCAAUUAUUGGUGGAUUGGGGCCCACUUGACUCUACCAAAUCGGGCUCGACCAUAUCACCUAUUAACGGCCACCUGUCCUUAUCAUAAAUAGCAAAUGUCACUUGUUUUAUUUUCUAUUUUACCAAAGUAAAGUCACUACGAACGCAAAAGAAAGUGACCUCAAUUUUGGGGGUCAUGAACUUUGGAUUAUUAUGGACACAAGAGACAAGCGCAAUGUUUCUCAUUUAUCACUGGAUAAGAUUUAAGUUAUCAACCCAAUAUUAAUAAAUUCUGCUUGAAAAGUAAAGUUUGAAGCUUCAUUUUGCGAAUAUUCAAUGGUUAACAUUUAAGUAAUUAACCUGAUAUUAAUCCAAUUAAACUUUUUAUGUAAUCCAAGUCAAAAAUAUAUUGAUAAACCUAAACUAAUCUAAUUGGACAUAUUAUUUCAACUUGAAAAGGUGAAUUUAUCAUUUUUCAAUUAAUUUUGAAUCAAGCUAUGUAAAAUAUAAGCUUAUUAAAGACAUAUUUGAAAAUUUCAAAUUGAAUUAUUUGACAAUUACAUUUCAACUAAGUUGUACUGCUAAUUAACUUCCUCAACUUAAAAUGUAUUUUUCUCAAUUAAUUCGUAACAAAGAAUGUUAGAUGUUUUGUUCGAAUGAUAACAUUCAACAUCCUUAUUCUUUAUGAUUAUUGCAUAAAAACAUAUUUUAUCCAUUUACGUCACAUAUGUUCCUAAAUUGUAUAAGAAAAUCACCAAAUUUACUCUUGUAAGUUACUAUAUCAAUGAACAUGAAACUAACUAAUCAUUAAAGUCUCGGAAUGACAUCAUGAGGGGGAUUCCGUUACAUUUAUUGAUAGGAUUAGAUAUAUGUCUUCCCAAAUAUUAGUAGGAGUAAUUAAACAGAUGCAGCUAUUAAAAAUAUGGAAUUACUUAUCUCGUCAAUAACUAACGAUAUUUUUUAUCUAUGCUCGAUAGGCGUCUGAGCUAUAUUAUAAAUUGUAAUAUUUGUAGAUUGUAACAAUUAUAAAAAAAAAAAAAAAAAGCUCCCUAAGACUAAACGACAACAGGACUGUUUUGAAAUAGAUAGAUAAAGUAUGCCCUUAUUUGAGAAAAGGUAAAACACUAGGGAUCUAAAUGUUAUUAUAAUCCCAUGCACAAAAAUGCUAGAAAAAACUAAUAACAACUAACCGAAAAUCCCAGGCGUCAUAUUCCUUUUUACCGCGUUUUAAAAUGCACAACAAUGAUAUUCUCACAAAAGUGGGUACAAAGGUUUGUACAACCAGGGUCUCUUUGUAAAUUAUUUCAAAGUUUUGUGUUAUUUUUUAAAUUUAUGAUUUUUAUUAAUUUUGAUUCAUUGGAGCAUUUCUCCUUCCAUCUCUUCUACAUCUAUUUUUAAAGUUUUUUAAAAUUUUGACUAUAUCUUUAUAGAGUUCUAAAUGAUUAUCUUUUUUCAUAAAAAUCUAUACUUAAAUUAAUCCUUGAAUUUAUAAUCAUUUAUCUUCUUUGAGUCAUAGACCAAAUUUUUUCUUCUAACAUAUCUAUGUAUACUCCUAAGCUAUCUUCAUGGCUUAGAUACAUUCUAUCAAAGCUUUCACAUAUAAAUUGUGAUUUGAGAUCUGCAUCUUGAAUCAACAUCUCUAUAUUAUCCAUUGUUUUACGCUCGAGGGUAGUUAAAAUUGAUUCUAUUAAUGCUAUCGUGUUUCUCCUUCAAAAGAAUCAAAUAUUUCUGGAUUAUUAAUUUCUUUUAUUUCUUCAUACAAGCAUUCGUUUGCCGUUAAUCUUGUUUUAAUCAAGGAAGCUGUAUAAGCAACUUGAUAUUCUUGACAAAAGUCUAAAUGAUCUAUUGCAUCUAGAAAUUUAUUAAUAGAUCUUUCCAUUUUUAAGAAAUUGAGUUACUCUUAUCACUUCCAAUCUUUUAACAUCUCAGAAAACAAACAAGGCCCAGCAUGCUUCCGUUUGUAGCUCAAAUAAAAGAAGAGUUCAGAUCACUAACCAAUGUACUAUCUCUCGGAAGUCUGAGAUAGACUCACUAAUUGCCUCUAACCAUAGAGAGGUCCAUGGUCAGCACCACCAUAGCUCCACACAUCAUACAAGAUCACUUCAACGACUGUUCCACAUGGCCUAAUGCAACACACAGCAGACUGGCCUAAUAGGAUAUGUCUAAGUGAUUUUCUUGCAGUUGUCUCUGGAAGAGUGCUUAGUAAUAGAAAAUCUUCUUCGUUUAGUACAAGUAUUGGUAUGUAAGGUUCUUGAUUAAUUUUCAAAAGAUGUAUAAGUGUUAGAGUGCAAUUUAUGCACUAGUUUUGCAUUAUUUACUUCCCUUAAUAUCAAUGUUUUGCACUUAAUAAUAGUGAUUUACUUGUGUUUUACUUUUGUAGGUCCAAUUCUAUUGAUUGAUGAUAAAAUUGAGCUAUAAGAUGAUGUUUAAGGAUGAUUGUUCUCUUGGAGAAAUUAUGAGCGUCAGAAGAACUUUGUUGAUAAGGCGUGGGCGCGUGCUGUCAAUUGCGGACCUGCAGUUUUUAGUUUAACGUGUUUUGUAUUUUUGGUUAUUUUUGUAAUUACGAAUUUAAUAUUUCAGAUAUUAAGAUUUUAUUUUAAAUAGAAUUCUAAAAGAGAAGAGAGAGAGAGUAUUUAAGGGAGGAAUCUAUUGUGAAAAAGGGGGAUUUUGGAUUGGAGAAAGAAAGAAACCCUAGAUCUAAUUUUUCUCUUCUCUCUAUGAAGAACUAAACUUAUUUUUCUAGUUGAAGGUUAACGAAGCUUUGAUUCAUCACUACUGUGAGAUCUUUCUUAUGCUUUAAUUGUUUUAUUACUUUUUGGAUAUUUGUUUAUUCUCUGAAUUUUUUUCAUGAUUAUGUUUGUUAAUUAGGUAAUUGGCCACUAUUUAAUUAUCAACUUAAUCUAUUGUCAAUUAAAGGAUUCAUCGUAUGAAGAAUUUAAUAUUUGUGACAAAUAACAUAGCAGAGAGUUGUGUUGUGAGAAUAAACAAUCUAAUUUAAAUGAAUCAUCAUAUGUGUUGAUUAGGAUUUGGGUCUCUCUGGUUUUUCAGGCUGUCAAUGAAUUAAAUCCUAUGAUCGUAUCUAGGGUUGUCCAUUGAUUAGGGAAAUAACCAACGGUCGUACCUUGGUUAUCGACUAGUAAAGGAGAGAUUGGCUAUUAGAGGGUCUCAAUAGCUAUAACCGGUCUAUUCAUAAGUAAUAAUAAUCUAUAUUUGAAUCAAUGAUCAGUAGUAGAAUCAAGCUGAGUUAAUUCCUUCAACCAGAGCUUUCUCCAAUUUGAAUUACAACUUUAAUUUGCAUUCUUGUUAUUUUGAUUUGAUUUUUAUUAUUGUCAACAAUUCCCCCAUUUUACGUUUUACGUUUCAAAAGGAUUUAAAUAAUUACCGAUCUCUGUGGACACGACCCUGCUCAAUCACUAUACACAAUUUAUUUAGAGUAGGAAUUUAUUUUUGUUCGCUUCGACACCACUGCUGCCUCGCCAACUAUUCCUUCUACAUCCGCACCACCUUUGAGCAUUCAGUUAGAGAAAAUAGAGCACAAGCUGAACAAGAUGGAGCAGAAUUUGGCCGCAUACUUCGAGAGUGUGGGUUUUACCCCACCAUUUCCGCCAAGCCCAUAGACGUUAUGUGGAUCAAAGCUCACAAUUCAGGGAAGUUUCUUUUUGCCCUUAAUCUUUUAUCCUUACGCUUUAAUUUUUAUGUGAGCUUUAAUUAUCUUACAUUGGGGACAAUGUAAGUUCUUGGUGUGGGGGAGGGAUUUUUGCAUUAUUGAUGUCUGGAAGUAUUAUUUUCACUCUACUCAUCUAUUUUCAUUCUACUCGUCCUUAAAUGAUUUUGGAGUUAGUAUGCUUCAUAUAUUAUUAUUUUUCUUUUCUUUUCUUUCUCACUACUUUUUUCCCAUCUAUCUCAAAUUAUUUACAUCUAUUUUUAUUCUAUCAUACUCUUUCAUCACUCACAUUUUAUCUUUCACUUUUCAUAUUACUACAUACAUCUUUCUCACUUCUUAUCAUUUUUACCUUUCCUUCACUCAUACCUUCUUCUCAUUCUACACCACUAUUGAUGGUUGAUUCAUUUGAAGAGUGUACAUGAUUUGAUGGCAAAUUUACCAACUUUGUGAGGAUUUGAGCCUAUGAGCAACCACUUUGCUCUAAUUAUUUUUAUUAUGUGAAUAUCAAUCUUAGUUUGUUUAUUCUAGAACUUGCUUUGUUAUGCAUGUUGAAGCCACAUUACGGGAUUUUUUGCAUUAAAAUGAUAAGGGCAAACCAUUUACCAUUUUUCUAUUCUCGCAUUUUCUUUUUUUUUUCUCUACCCGAAGACCUUGAUUUACUAUCUUUGUUUGAGCCUUAACCAUUACCCAUCUAAUUCUCUCCGUCUACUUAACCAUUUUUCUUCUUUUUUAGCCUCAAUUUAAGGAGAUUUUUGGACUCAUUGUGUGGAUAUAUUUUGUAUAUAUUUUGUUGCUUUUUCUACCUUGUAUUAAAGUUUCUCAAUUAGAUCAACAAGCAUUAUGCUUGAAUUAAAUUGUGCAAGGUUCAUUUCUUUUGUUUGAUUCAAAAAAAAAAAAGAAAGAAAAAGAAAAGGAAAAAGAAAAAAAAAGAAAAAAAAAGAAAAAUCGAAAAAAAAAGAAAAAGAAGAAAAAAAAAUGUUUACAUUCUUGGUGACUUGAGUAGAAAUAAGCGUUUCGAUAUCAUAAAGUUCGUUCAAUGAGUUCAUUCUUCUCAUUUUGAUCUCUUUUUCUUUCAUAAACCUUUCUUUUUCAUUUAACCCAUUUAACCCCGUUACAACCUUUUAAGACCCUUAGAUUUUUGUAUUUAAUUCAUGUUUUGUGGAUUGAAAUGUGAUAUAUAAGCAAGCUUAUGGUAAUAGCAUUCUUUGAUUUGAUUUGAGUGAAUAAAUGACACCCUAAACACUUUGAGUGCAUGGAGUGAAGUCAAUGAGAGGGCUAUUAAAUCUUGUUGCACUUGAAUUUUGAAUGGAUCUUCUUGGUGGUUGAAUGUUCUUAUUCUAUCUUAUGAGAUUCUAUGCUUUAAAAUCCUUGUCUCUCGAAUGUUGAUCGACUUAAUUUCUUGAGGUAUACUUGCUUAAAAUUGUUUUUGGAUGAGUUGAGAUGAGAAUUGAGUGGAGAUUUGGGAUUAGUCUUGAGUUAUAUGCUUGAGGACAAGCAUCAUCUUGGUGUGGGGGAAUUUGUUAGAGUGCAAUUUAAGCACUAGUUUUGCAUUGUUUACUUCCCUUAAUAUCGAUGUUUUGCACUUAAUAAUAGUGAUUUACUUGUGUUUUACUUUUGUAGGUGCAAUUCUAUUGAUUGGUGAUAAAUUAAGCUACAAGAUGAUAUUUAAUGAUGAUUGUUCUCUUGGAGAAAUUAUGAGCGUCAGAAGAACUUUGUUGAUAAGGUGUGGGCGCGUGCUGUCAACUACGGACCUGCAGUUUUUAGUUUAACGUGUUUUGUAUUUUUGGUUAUUUUUGUAAUUACGAAUUUAAUAUUUCAGAUAUUAGUAUUUUAUUUUAAAUAGAACUCUAAAAGAGAAGAGAGAGAGAGUAUUUAAGGGAGGAAUCUAUUGUGAAAAAGGGGGAUUUUAGAUUGGAGAAAAAGAAAGAAACCCUAGAUCUAAAUUUUUCUCUUCUCUCUAUGAAGAACUAAACCUAUUUUUCUGGUUGAAGGUUAAUGAAGCUUUGAUUCAUCACUACUGUGAGAUCUUUCUUGUGCUUUAAUUGUUUUAUUACUUUUUGGGUAUUUGUUUAUUCUCUGAAUUAUUUUCAUGAUUAUGUUUGUUAAUGAGGUAAUUGGCCACUAUUUAAUUAUCAACUUAAUCUAUUGUCAAUUAAGGGAUUCAUCGUAUGAAGAUUUUAAUGUUUGUGACAAAUAACAUAGCAGUGAGUUGUGUUAUGAGAAUAAAUAAUCUAAUUUAAAUGAAUCAUCAUAUGUGUUGAUUAGGAUUUGGGUCUCUCUGGUUUUUCAUGUAUAAGAUAUCUAGAAGAUGAUAAUUUCACUCAAAAGAGUUUUAUUUAUUUCAUUAUUGAAAUUGUUUACAGAGGAAGGUUACAGAGAAUACAGAGGUAAUUGAAGGUUAGACAUAUGAUAUCUUUCCUUUCUUACAUGCUUUCAUUUAUAUAUCUCUCUAGAGAUAAGAUUAUCUCUUUUACAUAACACAUGUUCGAUCCUUGUGGUGGAAUCUCGAUUUCCUUUUGAUAAGGUGACCCCUUCUUCAUCAUUGAAGCCAGUAGUUGUCUUCUUUUCAUGUUGCCAGACAACCUUUAUCUUGUUCUGGUGAGCUUUUUCUUUUUUGGAAUCUCUCUUUUUGAAUUAUUGAUACUUUUUGGAUAACACCUUUUAUCUUUUUCAGUAGUCCCCGUCACAUGCCAAUUAUCAUAUCUUCAUCUAUAGACAUGUCUUCCCCACUAGAAUCUCCUUUUUUUUUUAAUCCUUCGUAGUAGUAGCCACAUGAUGACUGAUGCUUUAGCACCUUAUAUAUCUCGUGGUGUGUCAGCAAGGUGGAUUCCACGAGAUUUUCGAAUAUGCCCUUUUUCUUUUUUAAUAUGGUAUGUCUGGCUAAAAUAUUUUCUUUUCUACUCAUAGAAAAGAUUAUAUGCUCUUUUGUGGCUUCAUGGAGCCAUAUUUUCUCCUUGUUUAUCCUCUCAAGAGAUUCAUAGAGGACUUUCAUUUCUAUGGCCCUUUUGUUGGUGAGAGCUUUUGGCUCGAAUAAUUCAGGAUCAUAAUCAUUGUAGACUUGAUGUAAAUCAAUGGUUGGACUAACUUUUCUACUGCUAAUUCCAACUUGAAUCAAGUGCUGUGCUGGAUACCACUUGUUACCAUAGUAUUCAGGGCAAGCAGUGAGGAUCUUGACAAAAAUCACUUCUUUUGUUUUAGACAUGAUUUUGAGAUCAUUAAUAGCCUCUGCAACUUUUGUGGGAAGCUCUUUUAUUUCUCUGCAAUCAUCACUUACAUAAACAAGGUUAAGAAAACCAUAUUCAAACAUGUCUUUUAUUAGUUUUAGAUUAGCUCCUGGCACAACGUUUAUCAUUGGAUAUAACCCUAAAUGAUCUAGUAUAAUAGUCUGGCUAGGACGAAUCCCAUAGGCUAUUUUACCAAUUCUUUUAUAAUCAUAAGCGUAGUCGCUUCCUAUUGGUAUUUUAACCAUAGGGACAGAUUGUCUGCUUUUAUCAUAUUGGGGUCUUAGGCUUACUGAAGAUCCCUGAGAUUCUUUUUUCUUUGUACAUUGAUCUUUAAGAUCAUUGAUUGUGAGAUAUCUCUCUGAAUGUGUGACCAUUGAUCUUUAAAAUACCAAUAGGAAGAGUAGUCGCUUCCUAUUGGUAUUUUAACCAUAGGGACAGACUGUCCGCUUUUAUCAUAUUGGGGUCUUAGGCUUACUGAAGAUCCCUGAGAUUCGUCUUUCUUUGUACAUUGAUCUUUAAGAUCAUUGAUUGUGAGAUAUCUCUCUGGAUGUGUGACCUUUAAGCUCUGCGAAGAACUCGAGGCAUUUUGACCCUCAAUUUGAUCUUUAAAAUGGACAUUUUUUUAGCAUAUUGCUAAUAUAUUGUUAUGAAGUUUGGAGUUCUGGAUGAUCUUGCAAACUUUUGUUUGGGCAAAGUUUGCUCAAUUCUUCAUGGGCAUCAUCUAUCAUGGCAAGCCCAUCAUAAAUCAUACUAUUGCCUUUGAGAAGUUAUUCUUGACCUUCAGAGCACAUUAUUAUGCCCUUAAUUAUUUUGGAAAUGCUCUGCUCCAUUGUAUUCUUGGCAAAGAUUAGAUCCUUUAAUAUAUUCAAUUUCAAAAUCAUAUUCAGCAAAAAACUGCUGCCAUCUAAUUAAUGUUUUCUAUUGAGGAAGAUUAGGCAAUUUAUUGAAUAUAAAUCCUUUGACUUGAGUGUUAUCGGAUCUUACCUUAAAUUUCUUUGGUAACAAAAAGAAAGUAAAUUUAGCUAUUCCUUUUUUAAUAGCUAAUAAUUCAUUUUCAUUACUAUGAUAAUUCUUUUCUAUGGGUUUGAAGGUCCCGCUAGAAUAUCUACAAAUUUUUUCUUGAUAUGUUUUUAAGACUGCUCGCCAGUGAUUAUCUGAAGCAGUAGUUUCAAGAAUUAAAUUAUCACUAGAGGUAGGGAAUCCUAACCUUAAGUAAAAAGCCAAAAAAAUUGACUUAUUUUAUUAAGUCAAUUUUUGAAAAUAUAAAUAAUGCAAAAUAUAAGAAUAUCAUCUACAUGAUCUAUCUUAUUAUUUGAAAAUAUAAGAAUAUCAUCUACAUAAAUAAUGCAAAAUUCAUGAAAUUUUUUUAAGAUGCUAAAUAUCUUUUUAUUUAUUAUAGAAGUAAUUAAUGUAUCUUUAUGAGGUAAAAAGUAUCCAUCGAAUUUGGUAUAUUUAUUUAAUUCUUUGUAGUUAAUGACCAUAUGAGCUUUUCCUCGUUUAAUUUCAGCAUGAUUUCUAACUGAUUAGUAUUAAAAAUUGUUUAAUUAUCAAGCGAUAAUAUGUUAUUUUAUGCUUAUGUUAUAAUUUAUAUUUGUGUUUAUGUAAUAUAUUAUGAAUUAUGAAUUAUGUUUUAAAUAUAUUUAAUUUUGUGUAUUUUUAUGUGUUUAUUAGGAAAAUUAUUAAUUUCACGUACUUUGAGGCUCCAAACAGAUAAACGGAGGUCAAAUUUGGAUUCCGGAGGUCCGAAAACCUUAAGAUCAGUCAAGAUCGGCUUAAAAUUGGGCUUGUGUAAAAAAAGUUGACUUUUCCUGUUGACCGAGCACUGAUUGGAUGAUGAAAUGAGCUUACAAUAGAUAUGAGUGCAUGGGAUAACUGGCAAUCUUGACUAAAUCUCAACCGUUCAUGAUUCAAUGGCCAUGAUUGUGCCACGUGGCAAUGGUUGGUGAAGCAAGUUGGAGGAUCCGAAUCUUUGUAUUCGGGUCGACCCGAUCCACCCAUUAACCCGCCAAAUCUCAACCGUUCUUUGGGCAAAUCGGACGAGUCAAAUGAUGCCAUGUGUGAUGUUGACUUUUGAAGUUUGACCAGCCAUUGGAUCUUGAUCUAAGGGUUGUGAGGAGCACAUGCAUGAAGCCUAUGAUGGACCGCAAAGCACUGGAUUAUGAAUUUAUUUUUCUAUAAAUAGGGCCUCAUUUUUAUGUUUUAAUCAUCUCUCUACAACUCUCUUCUUCUCAAAUUCUCUCCAUCUCCUUGUAAUCUUGAUUUCCAUAUGUGUUUUUAAUAUUUUGUAUAAUUAUUUUCAUUAAUAAAAUUAGUUUUAUUUCCAAUUUUAGUUGUUUUUAUUUCUUUUAAUUAUAAGUAAUUCAAUUUUACUACUUCUUUUUAUUUUAAUUAUGCUUAACUAAAUAAUAUUAGUUAGGGGAAGGUGAAACUCUUAAGAAAUAAAUAUGAUUUAAUCAAAUUCUAUGUUUAAUUUUAUAAAUUAAAUUAUUUUCUAUUUAAUUUUAUACAUGUUUUAUAUUUUGAAAAUUUAAUUUAUUGUAGACAAACAAAUGAAUUUGGCACAAUAAAUUCUUAAGAUCUUAAUAUAAGGCAUGGUGAAAUGGUAUUUUGACUUAUUGUAGACAAAUUAAAUUUUGGCACAAUAAAUACUUAAUCCAUCAUAAAAUUAAAGGGAAAAUAAUAAUAAUUUGUAUAAUUAAUCUUUUGAGUAAUAAAUCUAAAACAAAUUGGCAAAAAGAAUUUAUUAAGUUUUAUUUAUUUCUAAGAGUGGAUCCAUAACCCUAACUAGUUCAAUUCCAUAGUUUCAUUUAAAUUAAGUUGUUUAUAUUCAAGUUUUAAUUUCAAUUUUUAGAUAAAAUAAAAUAAACUAAUUAAAUCUUUUCUCUGUGGAUCGACCUCGGACUCACCGAGUUAUAAUACAACAAGACACUCUUAUACUUGGGAGUUAAAAUUUACUUUUAAGUUGUGUCAAGUUUUUGGCGCCGUUGCCGGGGAAAAGUUUUUUAUUUGGUUUGUUUUUCCGUUUUUUAUUUUUCUCUUAUAUGUAAAACUUCGUUUGCCCCCUUUUCCUUUUCUUAAAUUCUCCUUAGUCCCCAUGUCUUUCAUAUUUCUCGUUUCACCCCAACAAUUUCCUUUUCUAGCCCAAUCUUCUGGUAAUUACGUUCGGACCCCAACAUCUUUCAACUGUUUCACUUUCAUCCCAAAUUACUAAUUCUAAACUUCUAAAAAUUACAUUUUGACCAUAAAAUUAAAAAUAAUUUGCAAUAGAAUCCCUAGACGAAAUUCCUCAACAUAAUCAAGACUUGGACAUAUUUGGACAUACUUUGGACAUAUUUGGACAUAUUUGGACUUAUUUUGGACCAAACUAACUUUAACUACUAACUCUAAUUACUAACUCUUAACUUACUAACUGCUAACUGCUAACUGCUAACUUUUAUUUAAUUUCAGUUAUUUAAUUUUCUGCAUUUAUUUUAUUUCGUAUUUAUUUAUUUGUUUUUGCUUUAUUGGUGGGUUUAACCACCAAACUAACUACUAACUCUUAACUUUUAUUUUCAGUUAUUUAAUUUUCAGUAUUUAUUUAAUUUUGUAUUUUUUAUUUUUUUUAAUUGGUGGGUUCAACCACCAUUUUUUUUUAUUUUGCAUUUAUUUAUUUAUUUAUUUUUUACUUUGUUGGUGGGUUCAACCAUCAAAAUUGUUAUUUAAUUUUCUUUUGUAUACUUAUAUUAUUUAUUUAUUUAUUUUUUUAUUUUAUUUUGUUAUCAAUUUGUGUAAAUAUUAUCUUUAUAACAUAACCAUUGCAUGAGACGUUGGUCUCGAUCUUCAAGUGGCAGGUUAAUUCGUAGAUCUCAAUCUCCACCACCAAUCAUGGAUGAGAAUGAAGGCGAAAACGUUUUGGGCGAACUUAAUCCUCAAAUUGAUCAGGGAGACAACCAAUCUCAACAUGGGCAUGAUCAGAAUCAACCAAGGACUCUGAGAGACUACAUGAAUCCAACCAGAACCGGAGCACCGUCGUGUAUAGUAUUUCCUCCAGAAGCAUCUCGAUUCAACUUUAAACCAGGUAUUAUCCAACUUUUACCAACAUUUCAUGGUUUAGAAUCUGAGAAUCCGUACUUGCAUCUAAGAGAUUUUGAGGAAGUUUGUAAUACAUACACGGACCAAAAUUGUAGCAUGAACAUAAUUAGAUUAAAGCUUUUUCCUUUUUCAUUAAAAGAUAAAGCUAAAACUUGGCUACAAAACCUUAGAUCUGGAUCAGUAAGAACUUGGAAUAACAUGCAAGAACAGUUUUUUGAAAAAAUUCUUUCCACCUCAUAGAACAAAUUCUUUUAAAAGGCAAAUCACUUCUUUCACUCAAAAAAAUGGAGAAACAUUAUACCAAUGUUGGGAUAGGUUUACAGAGUUGCUUAACAUAUGCCCACAUCAUGGUUUUGAAACUUGGCGAUUGGUCACUUAUUUCUACGAGGGCUUAAUACCCCAAAGUAGACAGGUUGUUGAAAUGAUGUGUAAUGGUGAAUUUAGGGAUAAAAAUCCUGAAGAUGCACUAGAUUACCUUGACCAAUUAGCUGAAAAUGCACAACAUUGGGAUACUGUUGGAACUUUUGAAUUGACAAAUAAGCAACAAUCAUCUCCAUCUAGUGGAGGAAUCCAUAACCUUAGGGAAGAUCAUGAUUUACAAGCAAAAUUUGCAUCCCUAGUUAGGAAAGUUGAAGCUUUGGAGCAUAAAAAGAGUGAUCAAGUAAAAUCUGUUCAAGAAAUUGCAUGUAACAUAUGUAAUUCGAAUGAUCAUUUCACUCAAGAGUGUCCCACUUUGCCUGCACUUAAAGAAUGUCUAAAUGAUCAAGCUAAUGUCAUUAACACUUUCAAUAAACCAAACCCAUAUUCACAGACUUAUAAUCCUGGUUGGAGAAAUCAUCCGAAUUUCAGUUGGAGGAAUAAUAAUAAUGCACAAUCUUCACAAGCACCACCUCCACAAAAUUUUCAAAAUCCUCAGCCUUAUGCACCAUAUGUUCCACCACCCUGGAAAAAUCUGGAAGACACAAUGCAUUCAUUCAUCAGAAAGCAAGAUGUUAUUAACAAUCAAAAUGCACAAAAUUUUUCUGAUUUGAAAGAUACUCUUGCUAAAAUUGCUUCUGCACUCACCAUUCAAGAAAAAGGAAAAUUUCCAGCCCAACCACAACCAAAUCCUAAAAUUCAACAAAAUCCACCCACAGACCAAGUCAAGUCAGUUAUAACUCUUCGUAGUGGUAAGGUUGUUGAUAGACCUAUGCCUGAACCUUAUGAAAAUGAUGAAAAUUCAAAGGGUAAGGAAGGACUAAAUGAACUUACACCUAGUGAAGAAAUAACUAGUGUUCCACCUGAACCACCAUUUCCGCAUGCAUUGAAUAAACCAAAGAAAUCAAACCACUCUUCUGAAAUUUAUGAAAUCUUUAAGCAAGUGAAAGUUAACAUUCCUCUAUUAGAUGCAAUCAAGCAGGUUCCUUUAUAUGCCAAAUUUUUAAAGGACUUGUGCACUGUUAAGAGGAAAUUGAAGGUAAGAAAGAGUGCUUUCAUGGCCGAACAGGUAAGUACAAUUCUGUCUACUAAUAAUAAGUUGAAAUAUAAAGAUCCUGGUUGUCCUACCAUUUCUUGUAUUAUUGGUAACCACAGAAUUGAGCAUGCUUUACUAGAUCUUGGUGCUAGUGUUAAUUUGCUUCCAUAUUCAGUUUAUCUUCAACUUAAUCUUGGUGAGUUAAAAUCAACUUCAACUACACUUUUGCUUGUCGAUAGAUCAGUUAAAGUACCAAAAGGAAUAGUGGAAGAUGUUUUAGUACAAGUUGAUAAAUUUAUUUAUCCUGUGGAUUUUAUUGUCUUGGAAACUGAACCUGUUGUGAAUAAUUACAAACCAAUUCCUGUAAUUUUAGGUCGACCAUUUUUAGCAACUGCUAAUGCUUUGAUUAAUUGUAGGAAUGGUUUAAUGAAUUUAUCCUUUGGGAAUAUGACUUUGGAAUUGAAUGUUUUCAACAUGUGCAGGCAACCUAAUGAAGAAAAUGAGAAUGAAGAUGAUACUGAUGAACAAAAGGAAUUGUUUGAAUCUUGUAUCGAGGAAAAUAUUCAAAAAGGGGAUUUUUCUGAACUUUCAAAUGUUUGUUUAGUUAAUUCAAUUGAGUCAAAUAAGCAACUUGAACUUGAUAUUUCUAAUAUAAAUUCGUUGCUUGAUUCUGUGCAGACUUCACAAAAUUAUGAUGACGAGCCAAAAUUUGAGGAGCUUGGAAGUAUUGAAAAGACAGAACAACAAGAAGCACCUAAAAUGGAAUUGAAACCUUUGCCUGAAGGAUUGAAAUAUGCUUUUCUUGGAGAAGAACAAACUUAUCCUGUUGUGAUUUCUUCUACUUUAACAAGCGACCAAGAAGGUAAGUUACUUACUGUUCUUAAAAAGCAUAAAAAUGCAAUAGGAUGGACUUUAAAUGACAUUAAAGGCAUUAAUCCCUUAAUCUGCACACAUAGAAUUAAUUUGGAAGAAAAUGCUAAAAUAUGUCAACAACCUCAAAGAAGAUUAAACCCACACAUGAAAGAGGUAGUCAAAACAGAAGUCCUUAAAUUACUUGAUGUGGGAAUUAUCUACCCUGUUUCUGAUAGUAAGUGGGUAAGUCCUACACAAGUAGUGCCUAAAAAAUCUGAAAUCACUGUUGUUAAAAAUGAAAAAGGUGAAUUAAUUCCAACACGAAUUACAUCUAGUUGACGCAUGUGCAUUGAUUAUAGAAAAUUAAAUGAAGCCACUAGAAAAGAUCAUUUUCCAUUACCAUUCCUUGACCAAAUCUUAGAAAGAGUAGCAGGACAUCCCUACUACUGUUUUUUAGAUGGAUAUUCAGGUUAUUAUCAAAUUCCUAUAGCACUUGAGGACCAAGAAAAGACCACAUUCACAUGUCCUUUUGGAACAUUUGCAUUUAAAAGAAUGCCAUUCGGGCUUUGUAAUGCUCCUGCAACAUUUCAAAGAUGUAUGUUAAGCAUUUUUUGUGAUAUGGUUGAACAUUGUUUAGAGGUCUUUAUGGAUGAUUUGACUGUGUUUGGGAAUUCUUUUGAUGAUUGCCUUGAUAAUUUGGAGAAAGUUUUAAAAAGAUGUGUUGAAAAAGAACUCGUGUUGAAUUGGGAAAAAUGUCACUACAUGGUUACUUCUGGAAUUGUUUUGGGUCAUGUUGUUUCUAUUAAAGGAAUUGAAGUUGACAAAGCAAAAAUCGAAGUCAUAUCUAAAUUGCCACAACCAAAAACAGUUAGAGAUGUGCGAUCCUUUUUAGGACAUGCAGGAUUUUAUAGGAGGUUUAUAAAAAACUUUAGUGCCAUAUCUAAACCACUUUGUAACCUCUUAUUAAAAGAUGCACCGUUUGAAUGGAAUGAUGAUUGCCAAAAAUCUUUUGAAAAAAUAAUUUGUCUUUUAACAUCUGCACCUAUUAUGCAAUCUCCUGAUUGGUCUUUGCCAUUUGAAUUAAUGUGUGAUGCAAGUGAUUUUGCUGUUGGUGCUGUUUUAGGACAAAGAAGGGAUGGUAAGCCUUUUGUGAUUUAUUAUGCGAGUAAGACUUUAGAUAGUGCUCAAAUGAAUUAUUCUACAACUGAAAAAGAAUUACUUGCUGUGGUAUUUGCAUUAAACAAAUUCCGUUCAUAUUUGCUUGGCUCCAAAUCUGUUGUGUUUACUGACCACGCUGCUGUGAGAUAUUUGAUGAGUAAACAGGAUGCCAAACCGAGGAUAAUUCGUUGGAUUUUGUUACUACAAGAAUUUGACCUUACCAUCAAAGAUAAAAAGGGUGCUGAAAAUGUUGUUGCGGAUCAUCUAUCAAGACUCACAUCCGAAUUCUGCAAUGAUAUAACACCCAUAAAUGAUUCUUUCCCUGAUGAAUUUUUAUUUUCUGUUACUUCAAUGCCAUGGUAUGCUAACAUUGUUAAUUUCCUUGUUACAGGUAAAAUGCCUUUGCAAUGGAAUGCUCAAGAGAAGAAGAAAUUUUUUGUUGAAGUAAAGAAAUUUUAUUGGGAUGACCCUUAUUUGUUCAAAUAUUGCCCAGAUCAAAUUUUUCGGCGAUGUAUUCCUCAUAAUGAGGUAAGUAGUGUCAUUAAUUUUUGUCAUUCUGAAGCAUGUGGUGGUCAUUUUUCUUCAAGAAAAACUAUUGCUAAAAUUUUACAGUGUGGAUUUUAUUGGCCUACCAUGUUUAAAGACACAUAUGAAUUCUGCAAAAGUUGUGAAAAAUGUCAAAAAUUGGGAUCAAUUACAAAAAGAAACAUGAUGCCCUUAAAUCCCAUACUUGAAAUUGAAAUAUUUGACUGUUGGGGAAUUGAUUUCAUGGGUCCAUUUCCAUCAUCUUUUGGAUUUGUGUAUAUAUUAGUUGCAGUUGAUUAUGUCUCAAAAUGGAUUGAAGCAAUUUCUUGUCGAAAUAAUGACAGUAAAACUGUGAUUAAAUUUUUAAGAGAAAACAUUUUAAGUCGAUUUGGAAUCCCUCGAGCCAUUAUCAGUGAUGGAGGUAAGCAUUUUUGUAAUAAGUCAUUUGAGUCUUUAAUGAAGAAAUAUGGAAUUACACAUAAAAUUGCUACCCCUUAUCAUCCUCAAACAAAUGGUCAAGUUGAAUUAGCAAAUAGGGAGAUAAAACAAAUUUUGGAAAAAACGGUUAACCCAAACCGAAAAGAUUGGUCUCUUAGACUUAAUGAUGCACUUUGGGCUUACCGCACUGCAUUUAAAACAUCAUUAGGAAUGUCACCCUAUCGGUUAAUUUAUGGUAAACCUUGUCAUUUACCUGUUGAACUUGAACAUAAAUCACUUUGGGCUAUUAAAGCUUUUAAUUCAAAUUUGGAUGAUGCUGGUAAUGUGCGAAAAUUGCAAUUGAAUGAACUUGAGGAAUUAAGGAAUGAUGCAUAUGAAAAUUCAAGAAUUAUUAAGGCAAGAACAAAAGAAGAUUAAACCCACACAUGAAAGAGGUAGUCAAAACAGAAGUCCUUAAAUUACUUGAUGUGGGAAUUAUCUACCCUAUUUCUGAUAGUAAGUGGGUAAGUCCUACACAAGUAGUGCCUAAAAAAUCUGAAAUCACUGUUGUUAAAAAUGAAAAAGGUGAAUUAAUUCCAACACGAAUUACAUCUAGUUGACGCAUGUGCAUUGAUUAUAGAAAAUUAAAUGAAGCCACUAGAAAAGAUCAUUUUCCAUUACCAUUCCUUGACCAAAUCUUAGAAAGAGUAGCAGGACAUCCCUACUACUGUUUUUUAGAUGGAUAUUCAGGUUAUUAUCAAAUUCCUAUAGCACUUGAGGACCAAGAAAAGACCACAUUCACAUGUCCUUUUGGAACAUUUGCAUUUAAAAGAAUGCCAUUCGGGCUUUGUAAUGCUCCUGCAACAUUUCAAAGAUGUAUGUUAAGCAUUUUUUGUGAUAUGGUUGAACAUUGUUUAGAGGUCUUUAUGGAUGAUUUGACUGUGUUUGGGAAUUCUUUUGAUGAUUGCCUUGAUAAUUUGGAGAAAGUUUUAAAAAGAUGUGUUGAAAAAGAACUCGUGUUGAAUUGGGAAAAAUGUCACUACAUGGUUACUUCUGGAAUUGUUUUGGGUCAUGUUGUUUCUAUUAAAGGAAUUGAAGUUGACAAAGCAAAAAUCGAAGUCAUAUCUAAAUUGCCACAACCAAAAACGGUUAGAGAUGUGCGAUCCUUUUUAGGACAUGCAGGAUUUUAUAGGAGGUUUAUAAAAAACUUUAGUGCCAUAUCUAAACCACUUUGUAACCUCUUAUUAAAAGAUGCACCGUUUGAAUGGAAUGAUGAUUGCCAAAAAUCUUUUGAAAAAAUAAUUUGUCUUUUAACAUCUGCACCUAUUAUGCAAUCUCCUGAUUGGUCUUUGCCAUUUGAAUUAAUGUGUGAUGCAAGUGAUUUUGCUGUUGGUGCUGUUUUAGGACAAAGAAGGGAUGGUAAGCCUUUUGUGAUUUAUUAUGCGAGUAAGACUUUAGAUAGUGCUCAAAUGAAUUAUUCUACAACUGAAAAAGAAUUACUUGCUGUGGUAUUUGCAUUAAACAAAUUCCGUUCAUAUUUGCUUGGCUCCAAAUCUGUUGUGUUUACUGACCACGCUGCUGUGAGAUAUUUGAUGAGUAAACAGGAUGCCAAACCGAGGAUAAUUCGUUGGAUUUUGUUACUACAAGAAUUUGACCUUACCAUCAAAGAUAAAAAGGGUGCUGAAAAUGUUGUUGCGGAUCAUCUAUCAAGACUCACAUCCGAAUUCUGCAAUGAUAUAACACCCAUAAAUGAUUCUUUCCCUGAUGAAUUUUUAUUUUCUGUUACUUCAAUGCCAUGGUAUGCUAACAUUGUUAAUUUCCUUGUUACAGGUAAAAUGCCUUUGCAAUGGAAUGCUCAAGAGAAGAAGAAAUUUUUUGUUGAAGUAAAGAAAUUUUAUUGGGAUGACCCUUAUUUGUUCAAAUAUUGCCCAGAUCAAAUUUUUCGGCGAUGUAUUCCUCAUAAUGAGGUAAGUAGUGUCAUUAAUUUUUGUCAUUCUGAAGCAUGUGGUGGUCAUUUUUCUUCAAGAAAAACUAUUGCUAAAAUUUUACAGUGUGGAUUUUAUUGGCCUACCAUGUUUAAAGACACAUAUGAAUUCUGCAAAAGUUGUGAAAAAUGUCAAAAAUUGGGAUCAAUUACAAAAAGAAACAUGAUGCCCUUAAAUCCCAUACUUGAAAUUGAAAUAUUUGACUGUUGGGGAAUUGAUUUCAUGGGUCCAUUUCCAUCAUCUUUUGGAUUUGUGUAUAUAUUAGUUGCAGUUGAUUAUGUCUCAAAAUGGAUUGAAGCAAUUUCUUGUCGAAAUAAUGACAGUAAAACUGUGAUUAAAUUUUUAAGAGAAAACAUUUUAAGUCGAUUUGGAAUCCCUCGAGCCAUUAUCAGUGAUGGAGGUAAGCAUUUUUGUAAUAAGUCAUUUGAGUCUUUAAUGAAGAAAUAUGGAAUUACACAUAAAAUUGCUACCCCUUAUCAUCCUCAAACAAAUGGUCAAGUUGAAUUAGCAAAUAGGGAGAUAAAACAAAUUUUGGAAAAAACGGUUAACCCAAACCGAAAAGAUUGGUCUCUUAGACUUAAUGAUGCACUUUGGGCUUACCGCACUGCAUUUAAAACAUCAUUAGGAAUGUCACCCUAUCGGUUAAUUUAUGGUAAACCUUGUCAUUUACCUGUUGAACUUGAACAUAAAUCACUUUGGGCUAUUAAAGCUUUUAAUUCAAAUUUGGAUGAUGCUGGUAAUGUGCGAAAAUUGCAAUUGAAUGAACUUGAGGAAUUAAGGAAUGAUGCAUAUGAAAAUUCAAGAAUUAUUAAGGCAAGAACAAAAGCAUUUCAUGAUAAAAGAAUUUUUCGAAAAACAUUUGAGAUUGGUCAAAAAGUGUUGCUUUAUAAUUCUCGUCUUCAUUUAUUUCCAGGAAAGUUAAAGUCAAAAUAGAGUGGCCCAUUUGUUGUAAAAAAUGUAUAUUCAUAUGGGGCCAUAGAAAUUGAGAAUCCAAAUAACGGUGUCACAUUUAAAGUUAAUGGUCAAAGAUUAAAACCAUAUCUGGAACAUCACCCACGUGACGAGGACACCGAAAUUAAUUUGGAUGACCCACCAGUUCUUGAUUAAGUCUUUAAUGAUUUUUUUUUUUUUUACUAUUAUUUUACCGUUUCAUUGUUUGAUUUUUUUUCUUUAGAUUGAUGCACUGUACAUAGUUUUUUUUUAACAUUGUUUUUCUUGUGUAAGCGUGUUUGUUUGACAGUUGUACAUUCUCUCAUCAAUUUUCAUUUUACAUCAUGAGCACCUCAAUGAGAAAAUACCUAUUCGCACAUCUUAAAAGAUUUCGGCGUAUAAAAUUUCACUUAAGAGGCCUAAUACAAAGCUGUAAAUCACAUCCACUUUGGGAUCUGCAACCACCAGAAUUCGUGUCCUAUGUUGAGGAUCUAGAAGGACAACUCAGAACAGUAGAGAGUGGCAUAUAUGAAUUUCAAAUAGAGCUUGAGGUUAACUCAAUGAGAGGACGAAUGUAAGUUCAUUUUCCUUUUAUAUUGUGUGCUUUUUUUUUGCUCGCUUUCACGCUUGAUUUGAUUUUGCAGAUUUGAUUUUGGUGUGUUUUGAUUUAUUUUCCCGUAUAAAUGGCGGAUAACGGUACUCCGUGACUUCUUAAGUCGGUAUCUUCAGUUUCCCACAAUAACUGAAACCCCAAAAUCAAACAUGGAAGAAAUACAACAUAAACUCCAUAAGCAUUUUCCCUCUCUCCCUCAGAAUGCCCUCAGGAAAAUUUACAAAGCUCGUUGUGAACGACUGCGUUUGUUAAUGAUCAAUGGCAUUCUUUCUGACAUUCGUUGGUUAAUUGAAGCAAAGGUCUGAUUAGCAGGUGAGUUUUCUAGUCAAUUUGUUUCUUACAUGCCUGGUUUUGGUAAAAGUACGUUUGCUAAGAAAAGGAGAGCUAAACGACUUGGCUCAAAAUGUCAUAACUGUGUAAGACUUGGUUGCAAACGACCGGAUUGUAAAUCUUUAGGAAUGGUUUCUGAUACUCGUGAAGAUAAAAUUAAAUUCGUUAAAGAUGGCAUGAGUAAAGAAUCGUUGGAUGAUAUCUUACGAUCUCUUGAGACGCAUCGAAGCGGAAUUGUGCAAUGUGAGAUUUACAAUUUGUGGAUACUAUUCCAAAAACAAAGUGCACAGUUAAGUCUUGGGAAUCUGACUCAAAAAGACCCUGUUUGCCAGUUUAUAAGAAAACUGGAUGGGAAGCCGAUCCUCGACCCAUAGAGGGCGUUCAAGCCGUUACUGGACGUAAAACCAGAGGAAGAUGUGAGCCACAAUCACAACUACUAGUAAAUAUCCUUUCACUUCACUGUUAUUUUACUUUACUGUUAUUUUAUCAUUUGAAUUAUUGCAUUUAGCGAUGUGAUUUUGUAUUUAUUUGGUUUCUUUUACUGUUUGCUUUUUCUAAUCAUUACUUUUUUUUUUACUAUUUGUUUUUGAAUUAUUGAGCCACGAGCUUUCCUCGUCAUUUGACAAAUAUGCCAACCCAUUUACAGCUGUUUCUCUUUAUUUAUGUCACCAAGAUCUUUAAAUAUGAGCUCGUUUUUCAAACACUCACAACUUGUUUUUGAAAAAUUAGUCCAAUGGCAGCAUCUUCAAGUAAACAAUUCAAAAAUAUUUGUGUGCUUUCUGGGUUUCACUAUGGAAAGUACAAAGAGUUCGUUCAGGUAGCUGUAGAUCUUGGUCGUGUCAUAGCAGAGAGGAAACUGCAUCUUGUAUAUGGAGGAGGUGAACGAGGGUUAUCAAGACUUGUCUCAGAAGCUGUUUUUACCAGAGGAAGCCAAGUACUCGGCAUUAUCCCAAAACCCAUGAAACCGCUAGUGUGCAUGUCUGGCCCACCAAUUGGAGAAGAAUUAGUGGUAUCAAGUAUGCAAGAGAGAAUAUCUGAAAUGAUGAAUCAUGCUGAUGCUUUUAUUUUCUUGCCAGGAGAUCUUGCAACUUUUGAGGCACUAAUUACAUUUGCAUCUUGGGCCCACUUGAACAUUCAUCAAAAGCCCAUCGGUUUGUUAAAUGUUAAUAAUUUUUAUGACGGCUUGCUAACUUUUAUUAAUCAUGCAAUAAAGAAUCAUUUUGUUCCACAUUCUGUAAAAAAACUCUUUAUCUCUGCUUCUACUGCUAAUGAGUUACUUGAUCUUUUACAAGCUUAUACACCAGAGCCAGAUCCACAGACUGUUGCACUGAAUUGGUCGACUAAUGAUGGUAACGGUAACAGUAGCAGUAAUAAGAAGUGCGAUUUAGAUUUAACUCUCCGUUUGUAAAUAUUUGCUGUUGUAGUGUUCAUGUGAUGUCUUCUACACUCUUUCUAUUUCCUUUUAAAACAUUGAGGACAAUGUCUUUUUCAGGUUGGGGGGAGGGAAUAGUUGAUAAUUGUGGAAUGUCUUAGUCCUGGUUAUGUGUUUACAAAAAAAAAAAAAAAAAAAACAAUAACAAAAUUUUUUUUUUCUGUAAAGACUAACUUAGGACAAAUUUGAGUCGAAGAUGGCAGGAUAUAGAGAAUGUAGUCUCUCUAGAAACGCAUCUUCUUAAUCUUAAGGGUGUUGUUAAAAAAAAAAAAAAAUUGACUUUUUCUUCAUCUUUGUUAUCUACUUUUAAGCUUCUGCAUCAAGUUAAGGUGAGAUCUCCUAUUCUUCUUCUUUUAUUAUUCUCUUUUAUUUUUAUUUAUUAUUAUUAUUAUUUUUUUGCAUAUCUGUAAAAUUAUAAAAUGUUAGGAUAAUGUUUAGAUUAGGUUGUGGGGUGGGGAUAAUUGACGUAUGUUUUAAAUAUGUAUGUUGUUUUUUUCUCUUUUCUCUUUUCUUUUCUUUUCUUUGCCAAAAAAAAAAAAAAAUUGUUUUUUGUCUAGGAUGGCCGUGUAAAGAGUCACGACUUUUGAGACGCAUCCUAAUAGUCUUGUUGUAUUAUAUUUUGAUUUUGAGAUUCAUGGUAAGUUGUUUUUGUUCCCUUUUCUUUGAAUUACUCAAAUUUGUGAACUCUCCACUUGGUUAUUAAGUUAUUUAAUUGUUUACUCAUUUAACAGGUAUUAUUGAAUCAUUCUUCACACACACAUUAUGACACAUACUAGUGGGUUGUAAGUUAAAAUUUUACAGCAUUUAGUUCUUUUGAUUUAUUAGGAAAAGUAUCUAAGGUAGUAGAAAGUGUAUAGUUCCAAAAAAAAAAAAAAAAGUAGAAAAAAAAUUGUUUUUAAUUUUUCUAUAUCUAGAACCCGAGUAAUUAAGUCCGUAGGGGUGUUUCAACACCUAGUGCCCUAAGGUCAACUGGUCUGGGAGUCACUGGCCUAAAGCUCACUACAUGGGUAAUAGAUAUAUUGUUUGUUUAUUAGAAACCCGAGUAAUUAAGUCCGUAGGGGUGCUUUAACACCUAGUGCCCUAAGGGCAACUGGUCUGGGAGUCACUGACCCAAAGCUCGCUACACGGGUUAGAAAUGUAAUAUAUAAAAAAAAAAUGUGUGAAUAAUCUAUUGCCUAAAGAUAUAAUUUCUAAUGAAUUUUAGAACGAAAAUGUUGUUUUUCUUUUAAUGAAGCCCCAUAAGUAUUGUGUUAAUUACUUGAGCACAAAAGAAGGUUUGAUGAUAUUCUGGAUAAUGAGUGAACAUCAAUGUGGUAAAGGAAUUUGGGAGAGUUCAUUUAUUUGGUAAUUUAGAGGAUAGAUGAACAACUAUUAACUUGCAUGUGAAUUUUAUAAAUCUUAAUAUAACGCUUUAAUUGCUAGAGGGCUAGCAAUAAGCUGGUUGGGGGGUGUGAUUAGUAUUAAAAAUUGUUUAAUUAUCAAGCGAUAAUAUGUUAUUUUAUGCUUAUGUUAUAAUUUAUAUUUGUGUUUAUGUAAUAUAUUAUGAAUUAUUAAUUAUGUUUUAAAUAUAUUUAAUUUUGUGUAUUUUUAUGUGUUUAUUAGGAAAAUUAUUAAUUUCACGUACUUCGAGGCUCCAAACAGAUAAACGGAGGUCAAAUUUGGAUUCCGGAGGUCCGAAAACCUUAAGAUCAGUCAAGAUCGGCUUAAAAUUGGGCUUGUGUAAAAAAAGUUGACUUUUCCUGUUGACCGAGCACUGAUUGGAUGAUGAAAUGAGCUUACAAUAGAUAUGAGUGCAUGGGAUAACUGGCAAUCUUGACUAAAUCUCAACCGUUCAUGAUUCAAUGGCCAUGAUUGUGCCACGUGGCAAUGGUUGGUGAAGCAAGUUGGAGGAUCCGAAUCUUUGUAUUCGGGUCGACCCGAUCCACCCAUUAACCCGCCAAAUCUCAACCGUUCUUUGGGCAAAUCGGACGAGUCAAAUGAUGCCAUGUGUGAUGUUGACUUUUGAAGUUUGACCAGCCAUUGGAUCUUGAUCUAAGGGUUGUGAGGAGCACAUGCAUGAAGCCUAUGAUGGACCGCAAAGCACUGGAUUAUGAAUUUAUUUUUCUAUAAAUAGGGCCUCAUUUUUAUGUUUUAAUCAUCUCUCUACAACUCUCUUCUUCUCAAAUUCUCUCCAUCUCCUUGUAAUCUUGAUUUCCAGGUGUGUUUUUAAUAUUUUGUAUAAUUAUUUUCAUUAAUAAAAUUAGUUUUAUUUCCAAUUUUAGUUGUUUUUAUUUCUUUUAAUUAUAAGUAAUUCAAUUUUACUACUUCUUUUUAUUUUAAUUAUGCUUAACUAAAUAAUAUUAGUUAGGGGAAGGUGAAACUCUUAAGAAAUAAAUAUGAUUUAAUCAAAUUCUAUGUUUAAUUUUAUAAAUUAAUUUAUUUUCUAUUUAAUUUUAUACAUGUUUUAUAUUUUGAAAAUUUGAUUUAUUGUAGACAAACAAAUGAAUUUGGCACAAUAAAUUCUUAAGAUCUUAAUAUAAGGCAUGGUGAAAUGGUAUUUUGACUUAUUGUAGACAAAUUAAAUUUUGGCACAAUAAAUACUUAAUCCAUCAUAAAAUUAAAGGGAAAAUAAUAAUAAUUUGUAUAAUUAAUCUUUUGAGUAAUAAAUCUAAAACAAAUUGGCAAAAAGAAUUUAUUAAGUUUUAUUUAUUUCUAAGAGUGGAUCCAUAACCCUAACUAGUUCAAUUCCAUAGUUUCAUUUAAAUUAAGUUGUUUAUAUUCAAGUUUUAAUUUCAAUUUUUAGAUAAAAUAAAAUAAACUAAUUAAAUCUUUUCUCUGUGGAUCGACCUCGGACUCACCGAGUUAUAAUACAACAAGACACUCUUAUACUUGGGAGUUAAAAUUUACUUUUAAGUUGUGUCACUAACUAUAAAGGCUGGGUUACUUUGAGGACUUUUAGAUUCUCCAAAAUUUUUAUCAAGUUUUUCUAUUUUUUUUUUCAUAAUCUGAUAUAAUUUGAUUGAUUUUUAUAUUGUAUUCACCACGCUGGCUGCUUCGAAAAUGUAAUUUUCGAGUUGUUUACCUAAUAAGAUUAUAAAUUCUUGGUGUGGUGAUGGAAUGAUUACAUGGUGUUGUAAGAGUAAUUCUUUCGUUAGUCAUUAUAUAAAUGAACUGACAAAGGAAAUUGACUUCUAAAAGUAUAUAUGCUCCUAUAUGAUUAUAAGACCAUAAUAUAUGGAUACUUAAAAUGUAAUCUUCGAUUUGGAUUAAAGUUUUUAUCCUACAUGUUCCUAAAAUGAUUUGUUCACCAUUUAUUCCUUGUCCUGUUAAGGGUUUAUAAUCUUUCGAAUAUGAUUUUGGAUAAAUCCUUAAAUUAGGUAAGCUAACUCCUGAACCAGUGUCUAUUAAAGCAUGAAACCAUUCUGGCUUAUGCUUAUAAUAUGGUUUAAUCACUUUUAUAUAAACUAUAAAAAGAUUAGACAUAUCUUGAUAUGGUUUGCUUAAUUCCUUCAACUGUUAAGCUUAUUUUUCUAUCUCCUAUAGAAUAAGGAGUAAAAUUCUCAAGAAAGUUCAUCCCUAAUAAUAAAGGACUUAUUUAUGUUUCAUAAUCUGGUUCUAUGAAAAAAGAAAAGAUGAAUUCUAUCCCUUUUAUUCUUAAUAGUAUUUCACUAUAUUGACUUAAUGUCUUUCUUUCUCCAUUAAAUCCUACAUAAGUAUGAGGCUCAAUUAAAAUUUUUCUUUCUAAAUAUUUAAUAAUUUUAGAAUCUACAUAAGAUUUUGCAGCUCCUGUAUCAAGGAUAGCAAAAGUCUCGUGCCAUGAUUUUCCAUUAUUAUAUUCAAUCUUAAUUUUUAGAUUUUGAUUAUCCAGUAUUGCUAAAUUUACUGGACUAUUUGUCCUUUCUCGAAAAUGAGCUCUUAUCAUGACUUGAAUUCCUCCGAUAUGAACAUAUCCAAUUUUAAGUCUAUCACUAGAUUUUAUCUCAUUUAUCUUAUCUUUUAUAUCAGUUUUUAAUAAUAAUGGUAUAUUUGUAUUUCCUCUAGCAUACCUAAUUUCAAUAGGUUCUUCUCUUACAGUAGCACUAAGAUACAUUAUAUUUUUUCUUUUAAUCAUGUUAGCAAUGCCUUGUGCUAACUUAUUAACCGAAGUCAUAGAUGAUUCCAAUCCUUUUUUAUUAUUCUUGAGAUAUUGCUUUUUAUCAAAGAUUAAUUCUCUAUUAAAAGAACCUUGUUCUUCUAACUCUUCAUCUUGAUAUAAAUCUUUAUUUUCUAAUUCUUCUAUACUCAUUCUGAAUCAGAUUCUAAAUCAGAACUUCUCAAAGUUUCAUUAGAAAGAUAAUAUAUGCUAUCAUUUUCACUAAUAUCUUUGCUAUCGGUGAUUAAUUCUAAAUCAUUGAAAUCUUCAAAUAUUUUUAUAUUUGCUUUCUUCGUUUUAGGACAUUCAUUUGCAUAAUGUUCUUCUUCAUUACAUAACUAGCACUUGCAUUUUUUAGGUGCAUUGGUUUUGGAUCUUCUUUUAAAUUUAUUUUUCUUGUAGAAUUUCUUUUUAUAUUUAUUUUUCUUGUAAUAUUUCCUGUUGGCUUUAAAGAAUUUCUUCUUUUUGAAUUUUUUUUCUUGUGUUUAUAGAUUUUAUCUGAACAUCCAAAUCUUGGCGGAUCUUCUAAUUUAGAACAACAUAAUUCUCGAUUUUGCCUUUUCAUAAGUCUUCUAUCUCUUAUUUCAGAACACUAUUCAUUUAUUCUAUUUUGAGCAAAUCUAAUCCUAUUUCGUAAUGUAUAAGUUUCUGUAGUAUCUUUGUAUUCUUUGUUAUAUUCCAACAUAAUCCUUCUACCCCAUGGGUCUGGUAUCUUUACAAAAUAUAGAUCAUGGUAAUAGCAUAUGUUAUCCUCAUCUUUAUCAAAUUCACAUUUAUAAUAUAAUUCUUCGAAGCUACAUGUAUAUUCUUCUAAAUAACAUAUAUUACAUAUUUCAAGCCUUGUUAGCUUCAUUAAAUUUUCUAUCUGUUUUCUUUUUAUUUCUUGUUGAAAAUCAGUUUCCCAAUCUUCUCCCAAGAAUUUUUUUCUUAUUUCAUUUUCGAAUCUAUUUAAAACCUGAUCAACACUUUCGUUUCGAUUAUUAUUUUCUCCAUACAAUAUUCUAUUUUUAUGAUUAUCAUUUAAUCCCAUAAACCAAUGAGAAACAAUUCCUAUAAACGAAAUUUUAAGGAAUUCUAUACUAUUAUCCCUAUCAAUUUUGUGAAAUGCAAAAGCCAUUUUCAUAGAUUUAACCCAAGCGGUAAUCGUUUUAUCUCUAUCUUUGAUACAGUCUAAACCUAACCAUACACCAUCAUGGUUGAUUGGUCUUUCUCUAUAUUCUCCUGGAGUUUUAUGAUCUUUUUUAGGUUUGUUAAUCCUAAAAUAUUGACCUUGUGCUCUUUCCUGAGUUGGUAUUUCUUCCCUAACAUAGGAAGCUCUAUUACUAGUUUCUCCUUGUUAAAAACCGUUUAACUUUGGUUCAUUCAUUUUUAGAUGUUCUAUUCUAUUUUCAAUAUCCUGCAAAUUAAUGACUAUAUCAUCUUCUUCUUCGGAUUCAGAUUCUUUAUCAGAUAUCUCUUGAUUAGGUAAUUCUAUGUUUUCACUUAGCAUUCUUAGACUUAUUAAUUUUUUGUCUUUGUUUAUUUUGUUAAAUAUCGGUUUAGAUGUUGUUAUCAUUUCUUUAUCUUUAAGUUCAUUAUAGUAAAUUAUGGUAUCUUGUAAAAUUUUAUUUUGUUUAUUGAUCUUCUGUACUUCAAUCCUUUUGUAAUUUUCCAUUUAUGCUUAUAGCGAAUUUAUUACCAAUUUUUUCAUCGAUUUUUUCAAUUUUUUGUAGUUGAUUUCAAUCUUGUUGAAUUUAUUUUCAAUUGAACUUUUGUUCACAAUAUUAAAGAUUUCUUGUUUUAAUCUAUCUUGAUCUUCAAUAUUAAAGUCUUUUAUUAAUAGCUUAACAAAAUCAAAUUCUUCACUCAUUCGCUAUCCUAUCAUUUUGACUUGUCUUAUAUUUUCGGCAUCAAAGCUUUUAAUCUCAAGUAUCUUAUUUACACUUUCUAUAUCAUCUAUGGUUAAAUUAGGGUUUCCUAAUUUAUUUAAUAAAUAUAAUGAGAUCCAAUUUAAUUGAUUAUUUCCCCACAUAUCAGAAUCAUUUACUAAAUCAAAUGGUUGAAAUCUUCCAUAAGUAAAUCCUCUAUGCCUAUAGCUAGAAGGUGGUAAUAUGUUGGUUUCAAUAUUUCUAUAUACUUCUCUCCUGAUCCUAAAGAGAAGAAUAGGAUCAAUAUUUAAAUUUCUAAUUUUUAUUAUGAUGAGUUCUCCAAUUUUAAAUUCAUGAACUCUAACUAAAUAAAAUUGUAUUAAUUGUUUAUCAUCCAAUAUAUUAACUUCUGAAUAAUAAUAUUGUUUAUGUUUUGUUAUAUUAUCUUUAACUCCACACUUGUUUAAAAUUCAACACACAGAUGUGCCUCUUUCUUACUAUACUGGAAUCCUCGGUAAACUUUUUGUUUGCGCAAUUUAUGUGAGCAAAUUGUGUCUUCUUUUUCAUAUGUAAAUGUUUUUGAUAUCUUGAUGUGAAGGUAGAAAAUUGCAUGUUUUGAGUUUUUGCAUAUUUGAUGGAAACACAGAACUGUACCUGAAUCUUUCAGAACCCCCUUUUCUUUGAAGUUUGAACACUUUUCUUGAAUGUAUCAACUUUAUUUAUGGGAUAUGUUGCCAAAUUGGCAAAUCUAUUCGUUAUAAAACUUUCCUUUGACAGUUUAAUCUAAGCAGAUGUUAAUUAUGCAAAUAGAGUGUGCCUAAGAUUAGUUUCAUAGAUUUGUCUCCUUCUGUACAGUAAAAACUUUGAGCAUUUUCGCCAUAUUCUGAUCAAUACACUCCAACUAGUUAGUUCUUGAGGCGUUUUAUGGUUUCGUGGAGUGAGGCAAGAUGUAUACGUUUGCAAAUUGGCAAUGUCUUUUGCUUGAUGGGUUGAGAGUUGUGAGUGUCAACAGGAAACAAGACCUCUGUUUUAUGAACUCCAAAAAGUUAUUCUGUUAAAAAGAUCGAGACAGAGGCCAUACUAUAUUUAUUAUUGCUAUAAAAGUGUGAAAAAAUAUUCUUUGUUUAAUAUUCUAAACGAUUGAGCCAUUUAGUUAUGAUACUCUGCUGUAUUGGGGCUAAUAAUCUAAGUCGGUUCAAAGUGGUAAAUUUAUAAAUUGAUAGGUAUGCCUGGUAUGACCGCUUACGUUGGAUUUUAUGAGGUCUGCUCUCCUAAGCAAGGAGAGUGUGUCUUCAUAUCCGCAGCAUCUGGUGCAGUUGGACAGCUUGUGGGGCAGUUUGCAAAGUUAUUGGAUUGCUAUGUCGUCGGAAGUGCUGGAAGCAAAGACAAGGUAUGUAAUCUGUGUGAAGUACUUGAUUGUUUCCAUGUUACUUUCAAACAUUUAAAUUAAAAAGGAAAUUUUCAUAAUCUUGCCUUUUCUAUGAUUUUCAAAACCAAGGUUGAUCUACUGAAGAACAAGUUUGGGUUCGACGAGGCAUUUAACUAUAAAGAAGAAGCUGAUUUGAAUGCAGCAUUGAAAAGGUUAGCAUCAAUAAAUGCCUUAGCUUGAUGCAGCUUGAUGAAGUAUGAUACACAUUUCUGACCAAUAUACUGCGUUCCCUGAUCUCUUACUUGAAAUAUCUUGGUUUGAGAAUCUCAUGCCAAUGCCUUUAACAUUUUGGCAGGUACUUUCCUGAAGGAAUUGAUAUAUAUUUUGAAAACGUUGGUGGAAAAUUGCUUGACGCAGUGCUACCCAACAUGAAAAUCCGUGGUCGAAUUGAUGCAUGCGGUAUGAUCUCACAGUACAAUCUUGACAAGCCUGAAGGUGUGCACAACUUGAUGUAUCUUGUUUCGAAACGGCUUCGAAUGGAAGGAUUCAUUGUUCUCGAUCACUAUCACCUCUAUCCAAAGUUUCUGGAAAUGAUCAUUCCUCACAUCAAAGAAGGGAAGCUUGUAUACGUCGAAGACAUGGCUGAAGGUCUUGAGAGUGCUCCGGCAGCUCUCAUCGGUCUAUUCUCUGGCCAGAAUAUUGGGAAACAAGUGGUUGCUGUUGCUCCUUAAUGAAGAACAAGUUAGUGUUGUCUGUCCUUUUACCCUUUGACACAAAACUUCAAUGUUAAAGAGAGAAUGCUGUUCAUAUAUACUGCUUUAUAAAAUAAUCAAGUGAGUGCAAGUUUCAUGAUAUUUGCUGAAUAAAAUAUUGGAAAUUAAGCAGCUAGCCUAGCUCCUUCUUGUAGUUGCAGUUUGAAUGAUGCUGCUGCACAACUGCUGCCGAAAAAAUCCUUAAUAGAUGAUUAGCAAGGUUUCAAAAAUAAAAAUAAAUGUUUGUGCAAUGUGUCGAAUAUGACAGCCACAAAGAAAGAGCACACAAAUUGAUUGGUUUUAUGUCUUCUCUAGGAGAAAGCUACAAUACAAGAAAUUGUACUGAUGGAGCCAUGGACCAAAUUUCUUAUUUAAACUUUUAAUUUUUUUAUUAAAUUACUUAUGUUAUUAUGGUUUAUAAUUUUAGAAAUUCUUUAGAAAUUAAUACAGAACUAGUAGCAAGUUGAGAAAUCUAUUGAAUGGUCAAGAUAUGAUCAUGUUUAUUGAAUUAAAUUGACAAUCAUCAUUUUGAUAAAUUAUUGUCAGGAUGUUUGAUUCAUGACACGUGUAAGCAACUAAAUGUGCUAAAAAAAAGUUAAUGAGUUGGGCGUGUUUGAGUUAAUGAGUUGGGCUUGUUUGAUAUUCAUUUGUUGUAAUUCUUUUAAUAAUUAUUGGGGAAAAAAAGUUAUAAUAAAAAAAAUUAUAAUUAUAAAAUAAAAAUUAAUAAUAUAUAAUAAAUAAGAUUUUAAAUAAUAAUUUUAAUAAAAUAAUAAAUAUAUUAUAAAUUUUUUAUGAUUAAUUUUUAAAUUACAACAAUAAAUAUUUAACAAACACCUUAAUACCACAACUAACACCACAACUUUUGAAUUAUGAUAGUACAAUCUAAAUGCCACAGGCCUUAAAAAAUAAAAUUACAGUCAAGUUUUAAAACUGUUAAUGAUAUUCACAAAGACUCUGGAACAAUAUUACAGAAGGUGCUCGUCGUGUAAGCAACACAUGGGACCCAACCAAUAAAUGUUUCUGAUCCUCAACUUUCCUCAUCACUGUCCCUGGAAACAAUUCUGAUUUUCUUGUCUGAUUAAACAACUGAGAAACAAUGGCGGCCGACCAAGAAGCUGGGAGCAAUAAGCGGGUGAUUCUAAGCAACUAUGUGACAGGUUUUCCAAAAGAAUCAGACAUGAAGAUAACAAGUUGAUCAAUAAAGCUGAAGGUAGCAGAGGGUGUUUGGGAGAAAUACGUCGACGAGACCAGGCAUGGUGAGCAGAUAUCUGAUGGCAGAGUUCUGCGAACCGGUGUGUUCCGUAAAAGCCUGGUGCGCGGGGGAACAGGAGCAGAAGUAUCCUGCUCGUCCACGAGCACGUCAUCCGCGAGGCCAAUUUCCUGUAAGAGGCAUAAGGUCAUUCCGGCUAGAGGUCGAGAGGCGAGGAGACCCGGUCGACGGCAGUUGGCAAGACAUGCUCCCCAGCCCGAGAAUCUAGGCACGACAGCCACGCUUUCCCCAGAACCGUGGCGUAACACGCAAGAUCUCACAGAACCACGACAGCCACGCUUUCCCCAGAACCGUGGCGUAACACGCAAGAUCUCACAGAACCACGACAGCCACGCUUUCCCCAGAACCGUGGCGUAACACGCAAGAUCCCACGUUUGCCCAUAACGCAGCAGUCAGAGUCCCAUACCGUCUCGAAAAAAGCGGAAAACUGGGAUUCAGGGGAAGCCUAUAAAAAGGUAGCCAACGAAGGUAAAAGGGUUAGCAUUUUUGAGAUUAGAAAAGAAAUGAAAAAAGAAGAGAAAACCACGAAAAAGCCAUAAGAUAUGUGGCAAGCGUUCCCCGAACCUUCAUAUCUGACUUGAGCGUCGGAGGGUUUGCGCCGGGAAAACAACCGGCGUACUCUGACUUGUCUGUGUGCGCAGGAACCUCUGGAGAAGAAGCCUCACGUGGAGACCUCCUGGUCGUGAAGAAGUUGAUCGGGCAGAGAUCCUGGUCGUAGAACGAGGAGAACCGGAAUCCCGCAUCAACAUUUUGGCGCCGUCUGUGGGGACCGGAGCAAAAAGCUUCUGUUGAUAGCAAGAAGAGGGGUGAAGCAAGUGAAAAACAAUGGAGACAGGAGGAAGUAGUGCACAAGGGGGUGAUAGGAAGCUUAACGAUUCCGUGACGCUGAGGGAGAUAGUCAGUGAAGCACGGGAAAAAGUCAUGUUCGACCGGAUGGAACGGAUGGAAAAGCAGAUGGAGACCUUGACAACCAUCCUGCAUGAGCUGCGGAGCGAGCGAAGUAUAAUCCAAGAGGGAAGGGUGAGAGGCGGUGGAGUGGCACCAGGUCCCGAUAGUGCGGGGAGAAGUCAAACCACCGGGAGAUUUGGUGGUGAGAGAGGUAACGUACCUCUGCGGGGAGAAUUUCAUAGAGAAAGAGAGCAGUCCCCGGCAAGACAGACUGGCGACGAGGACGACGGGGUGGUGAAUGCAGAGGAAACAGAGUUGAGGCAACACUUGCAUGAUGUAGAGCAAGAGCGGGAUCAAGUUGCAGCACGUGACCCUGGUUGUGCAGUGCAGCUGGAGGAGGAAGUGCGCAGACUAGCACAGAUAAUCGACGACAUGCAAGGAAGGAACAGAGCCCCUGGUUGGAGGAUAAUGCUGGACGGAGAAUCACCGCUCGCAGCAGAGAUCAUGAGGGCAGUUAUUCCGAGAGAUUUCCGCCUCCCAGACCUCAGAUACUCGGGAAGAACUGAUCCGUUGGUGCACAUAGAGCGCUUCAACGACAUAACUGGGGUACAAGGAUUAUCUCAAUCCCAAAGGUGCAGAGUGUUCCCACUAUCCCUUGAGGGACGUGCACGAGAAUGGUACAGGAAACUUCCUCGGGGCAGCAUUAAAACCUUCGAGCAGAUGUGCCAGGAAUUCGCGGAGCAGUUUAGUGGGGCAAUGGCGCCGGAAGAUGACAUGAUGGAGCUGAAAAGCAUGAAACAGGGGGAGCAAGAAACCCUUCGGGAAUUCAUCAAGAGGUUUCAUCGGGCUGUCCUUGACUUGGGAGCCUUCAACCACCCUCAGGCGUUAAGGGGAUUGAAAGAAGGGGUGAAGAUAGGAAGGCUGUGGUACAAUUUGAGAAGCCCAGCUAUUCAAACGUAUGCAGCCGCAUACGAACAGGCUAAGAGAGACAUCGAGAUUGAAGAGGAGAAGGCUGCACGGAUUAAGACAGACCAGUUAGAAGGGUUGGGGAGGAAAGAGAAGAAAGCAUUACCGGGGAAUGGGCCGAUCAGGAGGAGGGACCACCAGGCCUCCGGUAGUGGAGCAGGAGGUCGGGUAGCCGCUUACCAGCCUCAUCAAAGGCCACCACAGUAUCAGCGCAGCAGGGCGCAACCUCCUCGUUCCCCAGCUAGGGAGCCUUGGAGAAGGCAUGAGUCGGCAUCUGGUGGUCUCCAACAACACCCCCACGGUAUCAGAGCGAGCAGACCAGAAGUACUUCCACCGCCCCCAACUCAGAGCGGGGCAAACAGAGAAAGAGCAGUGCACCUGAUCGACCAGAACCCGGACUAUGGGCGGUACACUUCCUUGAAGAUGUCCCUGGAUGAGGUGUACGAGGCCAUAAAGGAUCGAGGGCUGCUGCACCUCCCUACACCAAUAACAAAGCUACCCAACAGGAGGGAUAGAGGACGUUAUUGUAAGUUCCAUGGCACCCAUGGCCAUACCACAGCAGAGUGUAGAGAUCUCAAGACCCAAGUCGAAGAUUUGGUGAGAAAUCGGUACCUGGACGAGUUUAUGGAUGGGACUUUCCCGAUGGGGGCCACAACAGGUGAAGGGGAGCAGAGUGGCGGAAACGUUAGGCGCGAGCAGCCCGCAGUAAGGGUGAUAGCUGGGGGCCCGACAUUGGCCGGAGAUUCCAACAGAUCGAGAAAAAAUUAUGCUAGGUACGCCAUGACCAGUAAAGAGGUACUCCUCAACACCCCAGCAGCCAAACGAGCAAGGGUCAGGCAAGUGCCAAUCAUGUGGACGGAUGAGGAUGAGGAAGGGAUUCUAUACCCCCACGAGGAUGCUUUAGUCAUCAAGGCUACUGUCGCUAGCAAGAAGUUUGACCGGAUACUGAUUGAUACAGGGAGCUCAGUUGAUGUGUUAUUUAAGUCAACCCUGGAAGAGAUGGGAAUAGCCGACCGGAAGUUGGAAUACACCAAUACCUCCUUGAAGGGGUUCGGAGGAGGGAAGCUGGUCCCUCUGGGCGUGGUCGAGCUGCCUAUCACAAUUGGGAGCUCUCCGACAGAAAGAACAAUGAUACUGGACUUUGUCGUAGUGGAUGAGGAAGGUCCUUACCAGAUGAUCCUAGGUCGGCCAUUUUUAAGGAUGAGCAAAGCGGUGUUGUCCAACCAUUAUCUGGCUCUGAAGUACCGGGUGAACGGGGUAGUAGGAGUGGUACGAGGAGACCAGAGGAUCGCAAGAAGCUGCUACUCCUCGGCAGCAAGGGAAGCAAUGCAGAUAACAUCCCUCGAUACCCGAGUGGAAAACAAGAAGGGCAGACAAGAACCUGUAGAGGAUCUGGAAACAGUAAGCCUGGGACCAGAGAACCCGGGAAAGACGAUCAGAAUCGGGUCGAGACUUAAGGGAGAGCAAAAGCAGGAGUUGGUGAAAUGCUUACAGGCUCAUGCUGAUGUGUUUGCUUGGACACAUGAAGACAUGCCAGGAAUUGACCCUGAGGUAGCAUGUCAUAAGCUGGCAAUAAAGAAAAGUGCUCGGGCAGUAAGGCAGAAGAGGAGGUGCUUCAACCAGGAGAGGUAUGAGGCUAUAAAUGGCGAGGUGGAGAAGCUCUUGAGAGCAGGGUUCAUUCGGGAAGUCAGUUACCCUGAGUGGAUAUCGAAUGUGGUGUUGGUAAAGAAGGCAAACGGCAAGUGGAGGAUGUGUGUGGAUUUCACAGACCUCAAUAAGGCGUGCCCAAAAGACAGCUUCCCUUUACCAAAGAUCGAUCAGCUAGUAGAUUCAACGGCUGGACAUGGUCUGCUUAGCUUCAUGGACGCGUUCUCGGGAUACAACCAGAUCCCCAUGUACGAGCAGGAUGAGGAGAGCACGGCUUUCAUCACUAACCAAGGUUUGUUCUGUUACAGGGUAAUGCCAUUCGGUCUCAAAAAUGCCGGGGCCACCUAUCAAAGGCUGGUGAACAAAGUCUUUAAGCCGUUGAUUGGGAAAACCAUGGAGGUGUACGUGGAUGACAUGAUCACCAAGUCCAAAAUCCCGGAGGAACAUGUCAGACACCUCGAGGAGACAUUCGAGCUUUUGAGGAAGUAUAAGAUGAAGCUCAACCCGGAGAAGUGUGCUUUUGGGGUCGAGUCAGGGAAAUUCCUUGGAUUCAUGGUGAGCCAUAGGGGGAUUGAAGCACAUCCCGAGAAAAUCCAGGCGAUUGUGCAAAUGACGUCUCCCCAUAACCUGAAGGAGAUGCAAAGCCUCACGGGGAGGUUGGCGGCGUUGAGCAGAUUCAUAUCCAAGGCUACAGAUAAGUGUAAGCCAUUCUUUCAAGUGAUGAGGAGGGGAAAGAAAACAGAAUGGACCUCAGAAUGCGAGGAAGCCUUCCGGAACUUGAAGCAAUACUUGCAGCAAGCUCCGCUGCUGUCCACACCGAGGGAUGGGGACAAGUUAUAUCUGUAUUUGGCGGUAUCGGAUCGGGCCGUCAGUUCUGUUCUGGUGAGAGAGGAAGAAGGAGUUCAGUAUCCGAUAUAUUACACCAGCAAGGCCCUGCUCGACGCUGAGACCAGAUACCCACCGUUGGAGAAAUGGGCACUUGCCCUUGUGGUUGCUGCUCGGAAGUUGAGGCCAUAUUUUCAAGCAUUCCCGGUCUUGGUAAUAACAAACCAGCCAUUGCGUCAAACUCUGCACAAGCCAGAUGCCUCUGGUCGGCUCGUCAAGUGGGCUGUAGAGCUGAGCGAGUUCGACAUAGACUAUAAACCCCGCGCAGCGAUAAAAGCCCAGGCAAUGGCCGAUUUCGUAGCUGAAUUCACAGAGCCCGAAGUAUGCUUAGAUCAACAAGAUGCAGAUAUAGGCAAUGACGAAACUCAAGUAUGGCAGAUGUCUGUGGAUGGGUCAUCAGGGGAGCGGGGUUCAGGAGCAGGGAUUGUCUUGGAAGGCCCAGAGGGGGAGGAGAUCUCUUAUACUGUAAAAUUGGAAUUUGCAGCCACGAAUAACCAGGCAGAGUAUGAAGCCUUGAUAGCAGGUCUGGAAUUGGCUAAGGCCGUGAAAGCAGACAGAGUUAAGAUCAGAACUGAUUCCCAGCUGGUUGCGAAUCAUGUCAGUGAAAGAUUCCAACCAAGAGAGGAGAAGAUGGGGCAGUACCUGAAGAUAGUCAGGCAGAUGAUGGGGAAGUUCGAAGCAGUGGAGGUGAUACAAAUCCCCAGGGAGCAGAAUAGUCGAGCAGACAUUUUGGCUAGGAUGGCAGCAGUAGCCGACCCAAAAAUGCCAAAGUCGGUCCCUCUGGAGGUGAAGUCCAGCCCAAGUAUCGAUCAGAAUUUGGGGGUGUUGCAGAUAGAACAAAAAUGCUCGUGGAGGGACCCGAUAAUUUCAUACCUUAGAGACGGGGUAUUACCACCAGAUAAGAUGCGAGCUCGCAAGCUUAGAGCCCAGGCCUCGAGAUACACGAUGAUUGAUGGGGUACUGUAUCGGCGAGGAUAUACACUACCGUUCCUUCAGUGUUUGGAUGAGGACGACGCGGAUUACGUACUGAGAGAAGUACACGAAGGAAUUUGCGGAAAUCAUUCUGGCGGGAGGUCCCUGGCCCAUAAGGUUCUAAGGCAGGGAUAUUUCUGGCCGACAAUGCACCAGGAUGCGCAAGAGAAGACCAGGAGUUGUGUAAGCUGCCAGAGUUUUGUAAAUUUCUCUAACCAACCACCAGAGAAGCUCACCUCCAUGACCUCCCCCUGGCCAUUUGCUCAAUGGGGAAUUGAUCUGAUCGGCCCAUUGCCAAAGGCACGGGGAGCAGCAACAUAUGCAAUAGUUGCUAUAGAUUACUUCACGAAGUGGAUAGAGGUAAAAGCCCUUAGCAGGAUCACAGAGAAGAAAACAACAGACUUCGUAUGGAGAAACCUGGUCUGUCGAUACGGGAUCCCUUAUGCCUUGGUAACGGAUAAUGGCAGGCAGUUCGAUAAUCACAGCUUCAGGGAUUUCUGCCAGAACCUCGGGAUAGAGCUGAAGUAUUGCUCGCCUGCUCACCCUCAAUCGAAUGGACAAGUAGAAGCAGCCAACAAGACCAUCAAGAGGCUUUUGAAAACCAGGCUUGGAGCAAAAAAGGGUGCGUGGGUUGACGAGCUGGCAGGUGUGCUAUGGGCAUCCAGAACAACAAAACCGCAACUGGGGAGACACCGUUCGCUUUGGCUUUCGGACAUGAAGCGGUCGUGCCGGCUGAGAUAGGAACGACCACACACCGGACAAAUCAUUUCAAUGAGCAGGAGAACGACGAGCAGAUAUGUUUGAAUCUUGAUCUGCUAACGGAAAGGAGGGAGCAAGCAGCCGAGCGAUCAGUCAUUUACCAAUAGAGGGUUGCUCGGUAUUAUAACCAGAAGGUGAACAUACGGCAAUUCAGGGUCGGAGACUGGGUACUGAGAAGAGUGAAUCAGAGCACCAAAGAUUCGACUCAAGGAGUGCUGGGACCGAAUUGGGAAGGGCCAUAUAGAGUCAAGCAGAUAGCGGGACCCGGAGCUUACAGGCUGGUUCGCACGGACGGCCACGAGGUGAAACGCCCAUGGAACGCAGCACACCUCCGAAAAUACUUCCAGUAAGACUUGUUCACAUGUGAAAACUAUUUUUGCUCAUGUUCAUUACCGUUUAUCUUUCACGCUUAUUGUCCAAACAAUUUCAUGUAAGUCGAAUCCUGCCAUUAAUGGAACGUCGAGGAAUUUCUUUCACUUGAAACCGAGAAAAUUUCCCAAGGCAUGCAAAGGCUCACCAAGUCUCAAAGCCUGUCUUAUGGUGAGACAGAAGCCAAGCAUGCCAGGAUCUGCUCGGCCACGAGAAGGCAAGCAGAAUCCCAAUCCUCGAAGAAUCCAAGGCACGCAAAGGCUCACUAAGUCUCAAAGCCUGUCUUAUGGCGAGACAGAAGCCAAGCAUGCCAGGAUCUGCUCGGCCACGAGAAGGCAAGCAGAAUCCCAAUCCUCGAAGAAUCCAAGGCAUGCAAAGGCUCACCAAGUCUCAAAGCCUGUCUUAUGGCGAGACAGAAGCCAAGCAUGCCAGGAUCUGCUCGGCCACGAGAAGGCAAGCAGAAUCCCAAUCCUCGAAGAAUCCAAGGCACGCAAAGGCUCACCAAGUCUCAAAGCCUGUCUUAUGGCGAGACAGAAGCCAAGCAUGCCAGGAUCUGCUCGGCCACGAGAAGGCAAGCAGAAUCCCAAUCCUCGAAGAAUCCAAGGCAUGCAAAGGCUCACCAAGUCUCAAAGCCUGUCUUAUGGCGAGGCAGAAGCCAAGCAUGCCAGGAUCUGCUCGGCCACGAGAAGGCAAGCAGAAUCCCAAUCCUCGAAGAAUCCAAGGCAUGCAAAGGCUCGACAAAGUCUCAAAGCCUGUUUUAUGGCGAGACAGAAGCCAAGCAUGCCAGGAUCUGCUCGACCACUAGAAGGCGAGCAGACUCCAAAGCAUUCGAAGAAAUGCCCAAGGCAUGCAAAGGCUCGACAAAGUCUCAAAGCCUGUUUUAUGGCAAGGCAGAAGCCAAGCAUACCAGGAUCUGCUCGACCACGAGAAGGCGAGCAGACUCCAAAGCAUUCGAAGAAAUGCCCAAGGCAUGCAAAGGCUCGACAAAGUUUCAAAGCCUGUUUUAUGGCGAGACAGAAGCCAAGCAUGCCAGGAUCUGCUCGACCACGAGAAGGCGAGCAGACUCCAAAGCAUUCGAAGAAAUGCCCAAGGCAUGCAAAGGCUCGACAAAGUCUCAAAGCCUGUUUUAUGGCGAGACAGAAGCCAAGCAUGCCAGGAUCUGCUCGACCACUAGAAGGCGAGCAGACUCCAAAGCAUUCGAAGAAAUGCCCAAGGCAUGCAAAGGCUCGACAAAGUCUCAAAGCCUAUUUUAUGGCGAGGCAGAAGCCAAGCAUGCCAGGAUCUGCUCGACCACUAGAAGGCGAGCAGACUCCAAAGCAUUCGAAGAAAUGCCCAAGGCAUGCAAAGGCUCGACAAAGUCUCAAAGCCUGUUUUAUGGCGAGACAGAAGCCAAGCAUGCCAGGAUCUGCUCGACCACUAGAAGGCGAGCAGACUCCAAAGCAUUCGAAGAAAUGCCCAAGGCAUGCAAAGGCUCGACAAAGUCUCAAAGCCUGUUUUAUGGCGAGGCAGAAGCCAAGCAUGCCAGGAUCUGCUCGACCACUAGAAGGCGAGCAGACUCCAAAGCAUUCGAAGAAAUGCCUAAGGCAUGCAAAGACUCACCAAGUCUCAAAGCCUGUUUUAUGGCGAGACAGAAGCCAAGCGUGCUAGGAUCUGCUCGACCGCGCGAAGGUGAGUCGAAUCCCAGGCAUUGAAGAAUCUCCAAAGGCAUGUGGCAAAACCAUGAGCCAAGCCGGAACCUGCUCGUCUAGACAGAGACAAGCAGAUUCUCAACCGAAAAUUAAUUCAUAAUUACAACACAAGAAAGUAAUCAAAAACCAUUUUUAUUAAUUUGUUAAUAAUUAACAGAGGGGAUAAUCUUUAUGAACAUUGUUCAUUACAAUACAAGAAAUAUAUCAGGAAGAUGGUGGACCAGUAAGCCCGGCAGCAUCGGUUGGCUGGACCUCCUCAGGUGCAGGAGGGGUAUCACCAGUUGCGUCCGGGGGGGUGCUCGCCUCGCCAACAUCAGCAGGGACUGCAUGAGCAGGAGAGUCUUCCUCCUCAAUCACGAUCGGCUCUACCCCAUCGGCAUCUUCCUUGGCCGCCUCCUCGUCCAUAUGUUGAGCAACACCAGCUGCAAGGUCAUCCAUCUUCAGAUCAGGGUGUUGCUUCCCGAGGACGGCCAUGAUGCAACGAUAGGAAUGCCGAAGUCCCUGGUCGUACUGGUUGUCAGCCUCCCUCUCUAAGUUCUCGACCUGAGCUCGGUGGGAGUCGCGGAGAGAUUCGAGCUGAGCCUCAUACAUAGCCUUCUGCCUUUGCAGAUCCUCCUUGACCGUGGUAAGCUCCUCCUCGAGGGAAAUGGCUUUUGCUUGAGCAAGUGAUUCUUGCUCUAUUAGCUUCAGAUUCUCGAGAUUCAGGUCCUUCUUGCUCACGAGUUUAGUUAACUCAUUGAGGUAGGGGACCAGGUGUUCUGCUCGGCUGUCAGGUAAGCGAGAUCGAGGCCCGACAGGAGGAAAAGAGGAAGCAGGAUCUGUGGCUGCUCCACUAGCUUCCCCGACUUUUACAGGAGCAGGAGGUAAAAUCUUCAAGGGUGGGACCUGCUGCAUGAUGUUGGCCCGCUUUGCAGCAGGGGCAUCCUUACUCUGGUCCCUCUUCGUGGUUGGAGGUCGGGAACGUUUUCGGGUCAGAGCCCCAAUCACAGCGUCCUCCAUCCUAUGGCCAGGAAGUAUCAAGCGAGACUCGAGCAAGUUGUAUGUAGUUAGCAGUUCUCGGCUCGAGCAGGAAUUGGCUAGUACAGCCUCGACCCGUUUGAGCUGGUCAGGUUCAAGCGGGAAGUGGACACCCCAAGAAACUACAACACAAACAGACACUUGGUUAGAGACAAGCCAAUAAAGCAAGAACAAUUAUGGAUGCAAGACAUCUAGAGUGAGCAGGCAACCUGGGACCGUGAAACGGGGUGGGACGUGACAAUCCUUCCCGCCUAUUUGUGCAACUUGACCCCAAGGACCCCCAGCAAAAAAGAAUUUCCUCUUCCAAGCCCCACCACCACCGGUUGGAAGAUCGGUUAUGGGUUUCCGGCUCUUGGUGCUAGAUUGGAAGUAGUACCAGCCGGCAUCUUUGGGGCUGCUCUUUAGCUGGUACAAGUGCUUCACCUCAUCAACCGUGGGCUCGCUUUGGCAACAUUUGUCCCACAAUAUGAACAGACCAGAGAGCACUCUCCACCCAUUGGGAUUCAGCUGACCAGGAGCUAGAUUUAGCCCGUUAAGUAUCUGGGCAAAGUAGGGUUGCAAGGGACACCUCAGCCCGUACUUAAAGCUCUCUAGAAACAGGGUAACGUAUCCCCUAGGAGGCCGGCUGGGAGCAUCCUUCUUUCCUGGGACCUUGAGAGGUAUCUCACCAGGAAUGCUAUACCUAAGCCGGAGGUCAUUGAGCUCGUCAAACAAGGUCGUGCACGUCAUGUAAUCAAUGGCAUAAUCGCGCGACAAGGCUCUGCCUCCUACUGUACCCCGUUCCUCUGGUCGUGAUGUUCCAGAUGGAGACACCUCACCAGAGUCACCUUCCCCAUUCUCACUUAAGGUGUCCUCAGAGCCAGAAGGUCUCUCUUCACCAUUGCUUCCACUCGUGGAGGUUGUUUGGGGGGACAUCCUCCUAGCACUAGUCCCGACACUAAACCUAAUGGGUUCUAAGGGGAUCCCGGGGUCAAAAGCAGAAUCAGUGAGCAGACCAGGCAGGAAACUUAGUUCGUCGUCAUCAAUCUCAACGACUUUCUCCUUACCUUUCGACAUUCCCUAAGCCCUAACCACAACACCACCAACUACUACCCAAACAGAAGAGAAGAGAAAUUAUCUACAACUAUCCGAGACCAAGGAGAUAGAAGAAAUACCUGAAGUAAUGGUUCAGUCGGUGAAAGUCAGAGAUGGAGGCCUUUUAUGCCGGAACUUCUUUGCCGGAGAAACAGAGACGGAGACGGAGUGAAUGAUGAAUAUGCCGUUCGAGAGGAUUUGGUUUUCCUAAUGAGGACGGACUCUUGGGUUGCCAGCAUUUAACGGCGCCGAAUCCCGAGGGUCUCAUAACCGUCGGUUUGAAAUUCAAAUGGAGGGGGGGAUUUCUGCCACGUCACCUCGUCCGCAAUUAAAUGCGACAUGACUCUUGGCAGCCUUUUCCAAUCCCACGCGGGCGAGUACUAACGAGUUUCUACUGCUGGUCCACUACAUUACCCAACACCAGAAACUGGGGGACCGGUGUUUGGGAGAAAUACGUCGACGAGACCAGGCAUGGUGAGCAGAUAUCUGAUGGCAGAGUUCUGCGAACCGGUGUGUUCCGUAAAAGCCUGGUGCGCGGGGGAACAGGAGCAGAAGUAUCCUGCUCGUCCACGAGCACGUCAUCCGCGAGGCCAAUUUCCUGUAAGAGGCAUAAGGUCAUUCCGGCUAGAGGUCGAGAGGCGAGGAGACCCGGUCGACGGCAGUUGGCAAGACAUGCUCCCCAGCCCGAGAAUCUAGGCACGACAGCCACGCUUUCCCCAGAACCGUGGCGUAACACGCAAGAUCUCACAGAACCACGACAGCCACGCUUUCCCCAGAACCGUGGCGUAACACGCAAGAUCUCACAGAACCACGACAGCCACGCUUUCCCCAGAACCGUGGCGUAACACGCAAGAUUCCACAUUUGCCCAUAACGCAGCAGUCAGAGUCCCAUACCGUCUCGAAAAAAGUGGAAAACUGGGAUUCAGGGGAAGCCUAUAAAAAGGUAGCCAACGAAGGUAAAAGGGUUAGCAUUUUUGAGAUUAGAAAAGAAAUGAAAAAAGAAGAGAAAACCACGAAAAAGCCAUAAGAUCUGUGGCAAGCGUUCCCCGAACCUUCAUAUCUGACUUGAGCGUCGGAGGGUUUGCGCCGGGAAAACAACCGGCGUACUCUGACUUGUCUGUGUGCGCAGGAACCUCUGGAGAAGAAGCCUCACUUGGAGACCUCCUGGUCGUGAAGAAGUUGAUCGGGCAGAGAUCCUGGUCGUAGAACGAGGAGAACCGGAAUCCCGCAUCAACAGAGGGUUCAAAAGACACGGUGCUUUUGAAGAAUCUUUAUCUUUAUUGUGAUCCUUACAUGCGAGAGCGUAUGAGCAAGCUUGAUAGACCUUCUUUUGUUGAUUCAUUCCAUUCUGGUGAGGUUAGUUCAUCACGACCUCAACUUAGAUUUUGGGAUGGUUUACGAUUCACUCUCAGUUUAUGCAGAAAAACAAUCUAGUUUUAAUUUGGCAGGGUUUUUCCUUCUCUCUCCUUUUCUUCCUUUUCUUCAUUGGUUUCUUCCUCUUUUAUAGCCGCUAUCCCACGUUUUCGUUCAUCCUUCAUCCCCAUUUUUCGGGUAGUGGCAGCCCCUCAUGGGACUCCAACUGCUACAUUAUGGGUAAAUGUGGGACACCGUAUCUCCCUCAAUGGUUUUAGAAAAAGCGCAACUGUCGUGAUUUCGUGAGAUUGUGUUCCCGUUCUUUGGGGAAUGGAUAUCUGCUCGGUAUAUGUCUCUGGUCGGCCUAUAUUUAUAGAAGGCUCAUUAUCAGUAUUCUACUUAUACCAUUCAGCUGAGGUGAUCUACCUCGAAAUGAGAAUGAUAACAUGACUGACCUGAUGCUCUUAUUUACUUAACAGUAAAUUUUCUAUGACCCUACAGGUGACUAAUUAAUGAGAACUUGACAAUGACAAAAGAAAGUGUAUGAGCUUUGCAGGCUGGCAUGCCAAUAUUGACUGUGUGGCACCAUCCACCAUCUGCAAUUGAAUAUCAUUAUUGUUUAAUCAAUGUGGUGGAGUCCACUGGAACCACACCACAUGGUCAGUCUUAUCUCUAUUCCUCAAUUUUCAGUAUUCCAUACAUCAAACCAAUUUCAUGUUUGUUAGCAAUUAUAAUUUCAUUGUUGGUGACGAUUCUGAUUCCUUUUGUUGAGAAUCAAAUAAAACGGCAUUGAAUGAAGCUUUCAAAGACAGAAUCUGCACUUGUCAAAGGGGUAAUCUGCACUUGUCAAAGACAAGAUCCGCGCCGAACGGAUUGACACAUUUCCUUCCGUAUUCACAUAUGUAAUCUUUGAAAAAAUGUAGCCUCUGCAUCUAUAAAUAACUCUCAAUGUAUAAUGCUUUAUUUAAGAAAUGAAAACACGUUUCUUCAUGGUAUCAGAGCCAUGAAUACGCUCAAGUUUCUUCAAGUUCCGCUGCUCUGUUUGUAACAAAAAUAGAGGAAACCAAAUUCCUCCCACAACCAUUUUUCCCACCAUUUUCUUUCUUAAACCCAUUCCUACCAUUACAGAUAUCCAUGCCGAUCAAGAAACAAGCCACCCAUACGUAAAAAACUUGAGUUUACAAAUUUAUCAACAAUCCCAUCAAUUUUCUGAGAGUGUGUUCCUAAAAAACCAAGAACACCAUCAAAUUUCUCAGUUUUCAGUGAGGAAACUGUAAAAAUUUCGCAUUUAAACACAUUCCCACGCGCUCCCACGCGCCACCCGAAGCCACGGCCAGUCAACCACGCGCCUCUGUCAUCAUUCACGCGCUCUCACGCGCUCCAGAGGUUGAAGAAGACGCCAGCCGACAUGUCGUUCUUAUCUCAGAAGUUCAGCAGUCACAAAACGACGUGUCGUUUUUUGUUAUAUUAAAAUCGACAUGUCGUUUUGUAAAUUAGAGAUAAAACGACGUGAUGCUUAGUCUCCAGAAGUGCAGCAGGAUUAAAACGACAUGUCGUUUAUAUUCCACCAUAAUCGACAUGUCGGUUUGGCAAGCAGUGGCCAAACGACCUGGCGUUUUGUUACCUAAAAAGGUUAUUUUUUUUCUUCUUCCAAUCUAGAUGGAAAAAAAAAAAACAAACAAAAAAAAGAAAAAAAAGAAAAAAAAGAAAAAAAAGAGAAAAAAAAAAAAACAAAAAAAAAUGGAGAAAACUCCAACUGAAUCUAGUCCUGUUGUCAUUCAAUCUGUUCAAUCUGAUGGAGUAUUUAAUGCUGGAAUUAUCCUCACUGAGACAAACUACGAUGUUUGGUCUCAAAUAAUGGAGAUGCAUCUUGUAGAAAGAGAAAAACUCUCAUAUAUUCGUAGCAGCACAAAGCCAUUUGAGGAAUCUUCAAAGGAAUAUGAGAAAUGGUAUAGUGAGAACCAAAAAGUAAAAAGAUGGUUACUCAUAUCCAUGUCUCCGGAGAUCAUGAAGCGAUAUUUACGAAUUCCUACAGCCUACGAAAUCUGGGAUGCAUUAUCAAAAGCCUUCUAUGAUGGAAGCGAUGAAUUACAAGUUUUCACUCUAAACCAGAAGGCAUUCUCUACCAAGCAAAAUGGACAACCACUCUCUAAAUUCUAUGGAGAAUUGGUCGAAAUAUUUCGAGAACUUGAUCACCGAGAUAAAGUGGUCAUGAAGGAUCCAGAAGAUAUUGUAAUAUACAGAAGGUCUGUUGAAAGAUUGAGAGUGCACAUUUUUCUUGCUGGGCUAGAUGAAGAAUUUGACCAAGUUCGUGGAGAAAUUCUACGAAAAGACAUUAUCCCAGACUUAGAAGAAUGUUAUUCUUUGAUCCGAAGAGAAGAUAUACGGCAAAGCAAACUAAACAAGAAGGUCGACUCAGAAACGUUUGCAAUGAUAGCACGACAGCAGCCUCAAAGGAAGUUUGUUGACAAGUCAUCACUCCAUUGCACUCAUUGUAGAAAGAAGGGUCAUACGAAAGAACAAUGUUUUGAAAUCAUUGGAUAUCCUGACUGGUGGGAUACUCGAAAGAAGAACACCAAGCAUGGAUCAAAAACUGCAGUAGCUGAAUCCACAUCCACUACAGAUCUUAGAAAAGAAUCUUCAGUGCAAAUCGCAACCUCUGUCAGUCCAGGUAAGGCCCUUAAAACUCUUACACCUGUUAUUAAUAGUACAUGGAUAAUUGAUUCUGGGGCAACUGAUCAUAUGACUUUUGAUUCUCGACAAGUUUCUCAAUUGAAACCAUCUUCACAAAAAUAUAUUUCCACUGCAAAUGGAACCACAACCUCAGUUAUUGGGGAAUGAUCUUUACGACUCACAAAUGAAUUAAAUUUAGACGCUGUGUUAAUUGUUCCAUCUUUAGAUUAUAAUCUUUUAUCUGUGUCUCAAUUAACCACUUACUUAUCAUGUGUUGUAAUUUUUUGGCCUGAUCAUUGUGUGUUUAAGGACAUCCAAACGAAGCAAACGAUUGGUUAUGGUAUUAGACGAGGCAGCUUGUACUACUUGGAGAUGUCAUCAACAAACACUGGAAAGCUAAGCCCCGCACUAGUUGCAGAUAGUUCCAUAAAAAAAGGGAAAUCAGAAAUUUGGUUAUGGCAUAGACGUUUAGGGCAUGUGUCAUUUAGUUACUUAAAAAAAUUAUUUCCUAGUUUGUUUCUGAAAUUUGAUGUUUGUAACUUUAAAUGUGAUGUUUGUGAACUUUCAAAAAGCCAUCGAACUACUUUUCCAUUGUCCUUAAAUAAAAAUCCAGUUCCUUUUAUGGUAGUACAUUCUGAUGUAUGGGGGCCAUCUAAAGUUUCUACAAUUGGAGGUGCUCGUUGGUUUGUUACAUUUAUUGAUGAUUGUAGCAGAAUGACAUGGAUUUUUCUGAUGAAAUCGAAAGACGAAGUAAACUCUUUAUUUCAAAGAUUUCAUAAGAUGGUGACAACUCAAUUUCAGACACAAAUUCGAGUUCUACAUACUGAUAAUGGAGGUGAGUAUAUGAGCACAGCAAUUCAACAGUUUCUGAAAUCACAAGGAUCUGUCCAUCAAACCACUUGUGUGGGGACACCCCAACAAAAUGGCGUUGCUGAACGAAAGAACAGACAUUUACUAGAAGUUGUUCGAGCAUCACUAAUCCAAGCCCACAUGCCAUUAUCUUAUUGGGGAGAAGCAUUGACAUCCGCAGCAUACUUGAUCAAUCGAACACCUUCAAGCUCCCUUGGAUUCCAGACUCCUUUCCAAGUUCUGAAUGAUGCAAUUAUGUCACCAAAUGUGCCGAAUCUGCCCCCACAUGUGUUUGGCUGUGUUGCCUUCGUUCAUUUGCCGCAACAAGACAAAUUAUCUCCUCGAGCACUACGUUGUGUGUUUGUAGGGUAUGCCUUACAUCAAAAGGGAUACCGAUGCUAUCAUCCACCAUCAAGAAAAAUAUACAUCACCAUGGAUGUCGUUUUUCAUGAAGAUAUCAUGUACUACUUGUCAGAGUCUGAAUUUCAGGGGGAGUAUAAUGAAGAGGAAAUUCAUACUCUUACAUAUCUUCCACCUGAAGAAAGUCAAUCUUCCAUUGAGAUAGUAAACCUUCAAGAUACUGGAAAAGCAAAUGGUGAUGAUUCGCAAGCUGAGAUAUGUGAAAACACAUUUGGGGAGCACAAUACUCAGACACAACUGCAAUCGAGAAUGAGUCACAUGAAGAAAUACCUAACCAAUCGUCUGCAGAGGAUGUUCCUACCACAAGUCCAAUCAGAAGAAUUCUUCCCCAGCGUCAAAAUAGAGGUAUCCCUAAACCCACAUAUGAGCCUGACUUCUCUAGUAGAGUCAAAUACCCUAUGAGUCAUUUUGUGUCUAACCAUCGCUUGUCAGAAUCAAAUCAGUCAUUUGUGAAUCAAUUAUCUGCUGUAUCUAUUCCUAACAGUGUGCAGGAAGCUUUAAAAGAUCCAAAGUGGAAAGCGGCUAUGAAUGAUGAAAUGAGAUCUCUUCAGAAAAAUCAAACAUGGGAACUAGUUGAUCUUCCACCAGGAAAGAAACCAAUGGGUUGUCGAUGGAUCUACACUAUAAAAUACAAAGCAGAUGGCUCUAUUGAACGAUACAAAGCAAGACUCGUAGCUAAGGGUUACACCCAAACCUACGGGAUUGAUUAUACUGAUACGUUUGCACCGGUAGCAAAAAUUAAUACUAUUCGUAUCUUAUUAUCAUUAGCAGUCAACUUGGAUUGGCCAGUGCAACAGUUCGAUGUAAAGAAUGCUUUCCUCCAUGGAGACCUGUCUGAAGAAAUUUAUAUGGAUCUGCCACCAGGAUGCAGUGGACCAGAACGACUCAAUCAGAAAGUAUGCAAAUUGAAGAAAUCAUUGUAUGGGUUGAAGCAAUCCCCAAGAGCAUGGUUCGGGAAAUUCACGAAGGCUAUGGUUCGUUUUGGGUAUAACCAAAGCAAUUCAGAUCAUACCUUAUUCAUUAAAAAACGACAAGGUAAAAUCACUGCCCUUAUUGUCUAUGUGGAUGAUAUGGUAGUUACAGGCAACGACGAGGAAGAAACAAAGGCUCUUCAGAAGUACUUGUCAAGAGAGUUUGAGAUGAAGGAUUUAGGUGCCUUAAAAUACUUUCUUGGAAUUGAGGUUUCUCGAUCUAAGGGAGGAAUCUUUCUGUCUCAAAGGAAAUAUGCCUUAGAUCUAUUGCACGAAACGGGAAUGACAGCUUGUCAGCCUAUUGACACCCCAAUAGAAGAAGGACUGAAGUUUUGUAUUACUUCAGACCAAGUUCCAGUAGACAAAGGAAGAUAUCAAAGGCUGAUUGGAAGAUUGAUGUACUUGUCCCACACAAGGCCAGAUCUUGCUUAUGCAUUGAGUGUUGUAAGCCAGUUUAUGCAUAAUCUCGGAGAACAACACAUGAAAGCAGUAAUGCGGAUCCUGAGGUACCUGAAGACAAAUCUAGGAAAAGGAAUCUUAUUUUCCAAAAAUGAAGAUUACAGCAACAUAGAAGUUUAUACUGAUGCAGAUUGGGCCGGGUCAGUUAGUGAUAGACGCUCUACUUCAGGAUACUUUACCUUUGUGGGAGGAAACCUUGUCACAUGGAGAAGCAAGAAACAACAUGUCGUUGCCCGUUCGAGCGCUGAAGCAGAAUAUCGAGGCAUGGCCCUUGGGAUAUGUGAAGGGCUAUGGAUAAGUUUUAUCUUAAACGAUUUGGGCUAUCCAUCACAACAACCAAUACAACUAUACUGUGACAACAAAGCUGCACGAGAUAUUGCUCAUAACCCAGUUCAACACGAUCGAACAAAACAUGUGGAGGUAGAUAGAUUUUUCAUCAAGGAGAAAUUAGAUGAAAAAAUCUUAGAAUUGCCGAAAAUUCGAUCAGAAGAUCAACUUGCAGAUAUUUUAACGAAGGCCAUUUCAAGCAGGGCAUUUACAAAAUUCCUAGACAAGUUGGGUAUGCAAGACAUCUAUGCACCAGCUUGAGGGGGAGUGUUGAGAAUCAAAUAAAACGGCAUUGAAUGAAGCUUUCAAAGACAGAAUCUGCACUUGUCAAAGGGGUAAUCUGCACUUGUCAAAGACAAGAUCCGCGCCGAACGGAUUGACACAUUUCCUUCCGUAUUCACAUAUGUAAUCUUUGAAAAAAUGUAGCUUCUGCAUCUAUAAAUAACUCUCAAUGUAUAAUGCUUUAUUUAAGAAAUGAAAACACGUUUCUUCACCUUUCUUUCUCACAAAACGGAACCAUGGUUGCUAUUGGAGAGAUCUUACUCAACGCCUUCUUUCAGGUGUUGUUUGAUAGGUUGGCUUCUUGUAAUUUUCUCAGCUUUGUGCGUCAACUCCAAGGCGGGGUUGAUUUGGAACUCAAAAAGUGGGAGAAAAAGCUGAAGAUGAUUCAGGCUGUGCUCUACGAUGCAGAGGAGAAGCAACUGAUCGACGAGGCUGUGAAGACGUGGCUGGACGAACUCCAAGACUUGGCUUAUGACGCUGAGGACAUUCUUGAUGAGUUUGCUACUCAAGCUUUGGAAAGCGAGUUGAUGGAGCAAAAUCAGGAUAGCUCUGGCCAGCUUCUUAGUUUCAUCCCAGCUAGUUUGAGUCCGAAUGCUAUUAUGUUCAAUUAUAGCAUGGGGUCCAAGAUUAAAGAUAUUACUAGCCGGUUGGAGCACCUCGGCCAAGAAAGAAUUGAACUUGGUCUGCAACGGAUUACUGGAGGGGCAUCAUCAUCUACUGCUGCCGCACACCAGAGGCCACCCAGUUCGAGUGUCCCAACAGAACGUGAAGUAUUUGGAAGAGAAGAAGAUAAGGCCAAAAUUCUUGAUAUGGUUUUGGCCGAUACCCCAAGUGAUCAUGCCAAAUUUGUUGUAAUACCCAUUGUUGGCAUGGGCGGAAUAGGAAAAACAACUCUUGCUCGGGAGGUCUACAAUGACAAGGCGUUGAAGAUUCCAAGUUUGAUGUAAAAGCAUGGGUUUGUGUCUCUGAUGUCUUUGAUGUUUUGGUCAUCUCAAAGGCACUUCUGGAGUCAAUCACCCGCAGGCCUUGUGUUCUAAGCAAUUUAAAUGAAGUGCAGGUUGAGCUGAAAAUAGUUGUGGAUAAAAAAAGAUUUCUACUGGUCUUAGAUGAUGUUUGGAACGAGGACUACAGCUUGUGGGUAGACUUAAAAGCUCCUUUCAUGGCUGCUGCACCAAACGGUAAAAUGAUCAUCACCACACGCAAUUCAAAUGUUGCAUCAAUAAUGGGACCAAUUGAACAUUACAAUCUCAAGAGUCUGUUAGAUGAUGAUUGCUGGUCCAUUUUCAUACAACAUGCACUUGAAUCUAGAGAUCUUAACGCAAAUCAAAUUUCAGAAUCAUUCCGCAAGAAAGUUGUUGGCAAGUGUGGGGGCUUGCCCCUGGCAGCAAAAACACUAGGGGGCCUUCUGCGUACUACGAGGCAUGAUGCAUGGGACGAUAUAUUAGAUAGCAAAAUAUGGGAUUUACCUCAACAAAGUGGCGUUCUCCCUGUGUUAAGAUUGAGUUACCACCAUCUUCCGUCUCAUUUGAAAAGAUGUUUCGCUUAUUGUGCAAUCUUUCCAAAAGAUUAUGAAUUCAAUGAGAAGGAGCUGACUUUCUUAUGGAUGGCUGGAGGAAUUAUUCGACAGUCAAGAAAGAAUGAGCAGCUGGAAGAUUUGGGCGGCAAGUGCUUUCAUGAUCUAGUGUCAAGGUCAAUUUUUCCACAAACCAGCUCGGGUAGUUCUAAAUUUGUAAUGCAUGACCUUAUCCAUGAUCUUGCUGAACUGGUUUCUAGAGAAACCAUUUUCAGAUUAGAGGAGGCCAACUUGUCAUCAAGAAGAUUUGAAAGGAUCCGCCAUGCUUCCUAUACCCGUGGUUGGUAUGAUGGUAAAAAUAAGUUCAAGGUUUUCAAUGAAAUUGAACAUCUACGAACAUUCCUACCAUUACACGAAAGACGAGGAUAUUACAUACCUCGAACGGUUCUAUCUGAUUUGCUGCCAAAGUUCAGAAGGUUGAGAACGCUAUCUUUACAAGGAUACUGUAUUGGUGAGUUACCAAUGUCAUUUGAAGAUCUGAGACUUUUAAGGCUCCUCAACCUUGCUGACACUGACAUAAGAAGUUUACCUGAGUCAACAUGCACAUUGUUGAACUUGGAAAUUUUGAUAUUAAGAAAUUGUUCCCGUUUGAUAAAGCUUCCGCCCAAAAUGAGGAAUUUGAUCAAUUUACGCCAUCUCGAUAUAAGAGGUGCGAAGUUGCUGAAGGAGAUGCCGUUCGGAAUGAAGGAGUUGAAGAAUCUUUUACAAGUUUGGAAGAUUUAAAAUGUUUAAACUUUCUUUGUGAUGAACUCUGCAUGAGUGGAUUAGAGAAUGUGAAUAAUCCACAGAAUGCAAGAGAAGCCACAGUAUGCGAGAAGCACAAUCUUGAAGCAUUGACUCUAGAUUGGGGGUCUCAAUUUGACAAUUCUCGAGAUGGAGUAGUAGAAGAGCAUGUACUGGAAAUUCUACAGCCCCAUAAAUGUAUAAAAAAGGUGGCAAUCAGGAACUAUGGUGGUGCAAGAUUUCCGCAUUGGAUCGGAGAUCCUUCGUUCUCCAAGAUGAAGGUCCUUAAAUUGGAGAACUGUCACAAUUGUGUAUCGUUGCCGUCGCUUGGCCUGUUGAGUUCACUUAAGCACCUUGCUGUUAAAGGGCUGAAGAAACUAAAAAGCAUAGAGUCUGAGGUUUAUGGGGAGGGUUUCUCAAUGCCUUUUCCAUCACUGGAGAUUCUAAGUUGCGAGAAUUUGCCAGAAUGGGAGCAUUGGGAUACCGAGAUCAAAGGAAAUGUGCCUGUUGAUAUAUUUCCUCGUCUCCAAGAACUUUCCAUUGCAGAAUGUCCCAAACUCUCUGGACAACUGCCUGAGCUCCUGCCUUCCUUGGAGACACUUGUUGUUAGUAAAUGUAAAAAGUUGGUAGUUCCAUUGUCUUGCUAUCCGAUGCUCUGCAGAUUAGAAGUUGAUGAGUGCAAAGAACUAGUCUGCCGGACUCCGAUUGAUGUUAAGUUGAUAAAGUCCAUGACUAUUUCAAAUAGUUCAUUAGACCUGAAUGGAUGUAAGGGGAUGCUAUACGAUGGUCCAGCUGGCUCUUCACUGCCAAAGCCCAUGACUACUACAAAUGUUUUGGAGUUUGGAAAAUUAUUGAAGCCUGGAUUUCAGAUAUUCGAAACUUUGGUAAUUGGCAAUUCUGAACAGCUCAAGUCAUGGAGGCAGCAUGGGGAUUUUCCUAAAAAAUACAUGGUCACUGACCAUAGGUUUAAGAAACCAGUACCAGGGCUGAAUAUGCUCGCUUCCCCUGAAGAGGUAAAAAUUGAAGAAAGCUGCGUAAGUCUUGUUUUGUUUCCAGAGAUCAAUUUUUUUCCCAGAAAUCUACGCUCUCUUCUAAUUAAAAACAGCACAACUUUAAAAUCCUUACCCGAGGAAAUGAUGGCAACAAUUCACAACUCGAAAGGUUGUAUAUCAGAGAUCGCGACUGUCUAACAUUCAUCGCAAGACGGAGGCUACCGGCAUCUCUUAAAAGGCUUGAGAUAGAAAAUUGUGAGAAAUUGCAACGUCUGUUCGAUGAUGAAGAGGAUGCUUCUUCUUCUUCUCCUGCAUCCUCGUCGUCCCCAGUGAUGCUGCAACACCUGAGUAUAGAGAACUGCCCAGAGCUCACCAGUUUAUCAUCGGGUGUCCAAUUCCUUGAGGCGCUUGAAUUCCUCGAGAUACGGGAUUGCCCAAAGCUGGAGUCAAUACCGGAUGGCCUGCCCAAUCUUAAAUGUUUACAGAGCAUUUAUAUAUGGAAAUGUCCAAGUCUUGUUCCUUCCCAGAAAGAGGGCUUCCCAACACGAUUUCAAGGGUUGGCAUUGGCGAAUGUGACAAGCUCGAAGCCUUGCCCAAUGAUUUGCACAAAAUCAACUCUCUUCGAUAUUUAAGCAUACAGCUGUGUCGAAAUCUUGUAUCGUUUCCAGAAGAAGGUUUUCCUACCAGUCUAACAUCACUUAGAAUUGGAGAUUUCAAAAUGUAUAAGACCCUCGUCCAGUGGGGGUUGCACAGGCUUACCUCUCUUAGACGCCUCUAUAUCGUUGAUUGUGAUGACGAAGCAGAGUGUUUUCCAGACGAGGAGAUAGGAAUGACGCUGCCCACCUCUCUCACUGAUCUGUACUUAUCGGGAUUCCAAAAAUUGAUAUCCCUGUCUUCGACGGGUUUUCAGAGCCUCAACUCUCUUCAAUAUUUGUUGAUCGCGGGUUGCCCAAAUCUCACAUCAUUUCCAGAGGUGGGCCUUCCAUCCUCACUUUUGGGAUUAUUCAUUUUCAAAUGUCCAAAGCUUAAAAGAGCGUGCAAAAGAGAUCAAGGAAAAGAGUGGCCCAAAAUUGCUCACAUCCCUUGCGUUGAGAUAGACGAAAAAUUCAUAUACGAUCCCGAAUCAGAGGAGUAGAUUUCUGUUAUCCAUUAAAAACGAUCUCCUAUUAGUUUUAUUUUUUAAAUAAUAAUUUUGCAGUUCUGUUUUCUGUAUAAUUAUAAAUCCUCUGCCGUUAAUUAUUGACAAUGUCACUCACGUGAUUCCGUCUUCACUAAUCAGACUGUAUGUUGAGGCUAUUUGCUUUUUAAUCAAAGAUUAAAUUAUAACAUUUAUCUUAAAAUUGAAUAUCAUAGACAGAUAGACGAUUUUUAAAUCCAAAGUUUUUUGAUCCACUUCAAUUAGCAUUUAUUUUUUCCCCCAAAACAGGCAAGCCGAGAGUUUCAAUCAAGAAUUGGAGGAUGUGAAUGGGAUUUUUGUGAAAACAUAAUGGAUGAACGAACAUUUCAUCUGUGAUCUCAAAGUCAACAGAAUUUUAUUUACUCAUUGACUUUUCAACUCCUGUGGUUAUUUAUGGGUGAAAGAUAAGGGCAAUUACAAGAAAUUUGCAAACUUUGUCAACUUCUUUUAAUUGUACCAAUUUGUCGUUUAUGUUUUAGUUUUAUUUUUUCAGUUUUGUUUAUUGCUUAGAUGGUAGAUAUAUCGACAUUUUAGAUUUCAGAUAUUUGUCACCAGUUUCAUUCCCUUUUUUUUCGUUUUUUUAAGCUAGUUUGACUAAUUUUAACCAGAAUUAGAGCAGAAUAUUUUGGAGCGAGCAUACUUGAAAUGAUGCUUUUUAAUUUUGAUCUAGUAAAAAUACAUAGCCCUCACCGGCAGAAUUCUAGUCCCUACCGGGAUUCAAGAAAUUGAAAUUUCUGUCUUCAACGGGUUUUCGAAGCCUGACCUCUCUUCGAUUUUUGUGGAUCGGGAAUUAUAAAUUUACAGUUGUCAGAAGCUUGAAAAAGUGCGCAAAAGAGAUCGAGGAAAAGAAUAUUUCUCUGUUUAGUGAAGGAUGAAUGCUUGGAGUGGAGUAUUUGGUAACAUUUCUGUUUAGUUAAGGAUUUUGAAAUUAAUGAUGGUAAGAUGUGUACUUAUUCUUUCUUCCAGACAACCUUGCCUUCUUUCUUCGGUAGCAUAUCUAAUGAAUAUUUCUCUGUUUAGUUAAGGAUGAAUGCUUGCAGUGGAGUAUUUGGUAACAUUUCUGCCGUAGAUGAAUCCUUGAAGAAAUGCCUGCACUUCCUGAGACCAAAUACAGGUCUGAUUCAAAACAACACCUGUCCCAGAAAAUAUGAUACAAGGCAAAGCCAUGUUCUGAUAAUGUUUCCUUAAGUACAAAGUUGCAAGGAAACUUGAUUCAUUAACUACAAAUUUUUAUUUUUAGGACCUUGCAUCUGAAAGGUUCAGUGUAAUUUUUUUUUUUCAAUUUAUUGCUCAGAUCUCAGACGAGUAUAUGGUUUAGAUUACAAAACACUUACGAUUAAUUUCAUUUUUUUUUAUUUCAGGGAGAAGAAGUGGUCAGUUUCAAUCCAGAAUUGGAAUAUGGCAAUUUGGUGCAAGCACAAAUACCUGGUCACUUCGUCAGUGAACCUGAACUUUACUGAACUUUACACAGUUUUUUCAACUCAGUGAUUUUUGGAACGCAUAUUGGUGUAAGGAAAUCAAACGAAAUUUAUGCAUAGUCAAAUUCUGAUAUUUGCUAUAUUUUAUACAUUCUAAAGUUUCUCCAGUUUGUUCUCAGAUUACCAUCACUUUUUGCCUUCACCAAAAAAAAAUAUAUAUAUAUUUGAGUGGCUUUCCGGUGGAUAUUUAAUCGGAGGCAUGACUGGAUUUUUUUUCACUUCUGUAGAUCUUGCAUUUUAAACUGGCAAAUUUAACUUUAAUUUCAAUACGACUUUGUUGGUGCCUUCUGUUCCAGGAGCUAGAAAGAUGUGUAGUUUUCAGAUAAAGGGGCUUGUGAAUUCUCUAGUAAGAAUCCAAUAAUUUGCUUUUGCACGUUCAUUUUAUUUGUAGAUCCUUGCAUCUGAAUUUGAUCAAUCCAAAAGGAACUGCUUUUAGAGGGAAGAAGAAUAGCAGUACCUAUUCGAUGACAUAGUGUAUGGACCCUCACAUGUUAACUUUCAUGAAAAACACAUUUAAGAAAUUUGCAACUUUUUGGUUAGUUAUGUAUCCAAUGUUGUUUUCUGUUUUAGCAUUUGUAGAAUCUACUGUAUUAUAUUUUGGCAGCUACAGUAUCUGAGGUAUCUUUUGCAUUUAACUUGCUUUAUAUGUUUUGUCUGUGACUUAAGAACACCAAUAUUUGCCAGAGAUUUAGAGAAGCAUAUCAAGAUGCUUGGCUAACUUGACAAACUUCAAGAUCCUUCAUUCUUCACAAUGCAAAACUUGUGAGUACACUUAUGCCCGCAAUUAUUGUGAAAUGCUUGCAAUUUUGAUGCAGCGAAAUGGUUUGUUGAUGCAAAGGUUUGAACUUUUAAGGUUUACCCUGCAGGGUAGUUGGAUGCUGUAUACUCGAAAAGCCACCAACAUCAAGAACUAUACCUCCAAGACUGGGUUUGCAUUAAUUCAAUCAGCUGAAAUAAUGAUGCAAAGGACACUAUCAGCUGGACUUAGAGACCAGUCAGAUCAAUUAUCCAUUUUAUCAACAGUUAAUGUCAUCAUGGUGGCUAUUAGAGGAAACAGAGGAUGUGUCGGAAUCAAUAUGAACAGUGAGAAGAAUGAGAGGAGCUUUGAUUAUAAAUUGGCUCAAUGAACUCAUGCUGGUAAGUGGUAAUUAAAGAAAUUUGUGCGCUUAGCAGAGUUUCAAUAUUUUCUGUUUGGGAUAUAGUUGAUAAGUUGAUACUCUGAUUAAUAAGCCUGAUUAUAGUAGCUGACUGUAUUAACCAGGUUCUUUUCUUUCUUUUUUUUUUGGUGGUUUGCUGUUGUUUUGAUUAUGCUGUAACUACAAGGAAGAGCCGGACUUGGAUGCAGGCGUUCAGCUUUUAAUGGUUAAGAACAAAUGUAUGCUUUAACCAUGUUUCUCACUUAUUACAAUGUACGCAUUGAAGGCAUCUGAGCUGAUCCUGAAAAUGUCAUGGAAAUACUUCUCUGUUUACAUAAAACAGGACAAAUAGAGAUCUCUGAUCAUGCCUGAGAAUUCGUUGCAUUGAAAUUUCUACCAUUGCCAAAAAUAGAAUAAACUAGGGAUACAUUAGCGUAAGACUCAAUUUUGAGAAGGAAGUUUGUACUUGCAGCCUAAAAAAUCAUGUCUUUGUUGUAUACUUGUAUGUUUCUUUGGGAAAUGAAAGAUUCUGUGUUCUUUUAUUUCAAGUUUGCUGAAAUCACAUUUGUUUUCUUAGAUGCUUUCCAGAAGGUAACAGCAUCAAUUUCAAAAAUGCUGGGGUAAUAUGCAUCACGCAGUGCUACUCAACAUGAGAAAUCCUGGCUGCAUUAACUGUAUGUUGAGUGAUCGCACAGUACAACCUUGAGAAGCUUGUAAGGAGUAGACAACUAGAUGCGAGUAGUUUCAAUAUGGAUUCGCAUCAAAUGAUUUCUUGCCACUGAUUACCAUAACUUCUAUCCCAAAAUUCUGGGAACUGGUCAUACCAGCUAUGAAGUAUUGUAUACGUUGAAGAGCUCAAGGCCUUGCAAAAGCUCCGUCAGCCUUUGUAUUGGCAAACAGAUGGUUGUAGUUGCUUCUGAAUGAUAUGAUUAAUAGAUUCUGUAAAAAUGAAUUGUGCUAUACGCUUUCAGAGUUCUGUUAAGAUGUCUUGGUAGUUUUUGAUGCUUGUUUGAUUUAUAUUGCAUUCAGCUAUAAAUCAAAGGUUCAGAACACGAGUAUGUUGCUGAUUUCCAAAUAGAAAAAUUGCCUUGUGAUGUUAGUGUCCAUUGUUUUCACAGGAGAUCAGGUUCCUUGUUAUUGAAUCAAGAAGGCAAACGCAUCCAUGUCUGAGUUCAAUUGUGUCCCUUCUAUUUUCUAUUACUGACUCAUUUAUUUUGAUUUCUUCAUUGUGAUUGAAUUGGUUUUUUAUUCCAAAUUAGUCAAAACCUCAUAGAGUUAUUAAGUUCCGUUAGCAUUCAGAACUACGUACCAAAUGAUUAACAGGAUUAAAUUACAAUAAAGAAUUAAGUUCUUUAUUGUAAUUGAAUUUGCUUUCUCAUGUUUAGAGAUAUUAUGUUCUGGUUAGGGGUGAUUUCUUGAAGAGUCAAUCCAUUUGUGUUUAUACAUUUUUCUAUUGCCUUGAUUUCUGUUUUCUGGGGAGUUUAUACAGAUUCUUAUUUUAUGCUUCACAUGCCACAUGAAAGAUCAAAGCCUUCUGUCUGAACAUAAUAUACGUAGAAAGUUAAAUUUAUUUAUUUAUAAGCAUGUCCCAGUGCCCAGUGGCAUCCUCUUAACUUGUGAUAGUCAAAUGUAUUAUACGAUACAAUAUCAGCUUGACUUUAGCAUAGAGGAGAAUAGGGUUGGUGUUGGACUGAAUUCUGAUCCUUGAAUAAAUAUAACAGCUGCCUGAACCAGCUUAUUUGACUCCACAACUUUAUACUUGUUUUAUAGUCUAUGCCUACCUCCAUCGUCGGCAGCUUACAGUCUCUUUUAGCAUUUUAAAAAGUUUCAUGAUAUUCCAUAGUUCGCAUGGACUGCUACAAUUUAGAGAAACAUAAUUACGGCAUAUUUAAUUACCACGCGAGGAGUCUUCUUUUUUGCGCACCAAUAAUUCUUUGUACUUAAUUAGAAGAUGAGAAAUCCUUUAGCCGAACCACGAACUCACCUAUUAGUGGGGUUUUUUCCGCUUGCAUUCAGUCGCUCAAGUGAAAAUUGCGUGCAAUUUUUUCCUCAACUAAAAUUGGAAUAGAUAUUUUGUUAUUGCUGGCACAAAUUUUCCUUUAAGUCAAAUUGGAAUAGAUGUUUGUGAGAUGCCUAGACCUGAGAUUUUGUUAUGAUUAUAUGCAUUAAAGCUUUCGGUAGACCCUUGAAAUCUUAUGAUCAAUGUAUUAGAAAUUUAGAAUUGGGGUUUAUAAGAGCUAGUUUGACCAUGUUAUAACUUUUAAAAUUAUUGUUGCUAAUUGUGUUAUAGAAAUAAUUAAUCAGUUGUAAAAAUAAUUAGUUAAACAUUUGGUAAAUUUUAUUUUUAAAAGUGUUAGGAGUUUUAAAAGCAGACGUACGUACUUAGUAAAUCUCACUUUUAAAAUAUUAUAAGAAUGCAAAAGGUUUAAAUAUAUAUAAAUCUAUACAAUUUAUUUACACAUGCAUUUAUAGAUACAUGUAUAUAUAAUAAUUGAUAACUAAAAUAAAGAUUUUUAUUUUAUUAAUUUUUUUUGUUAUCUAAAAAAAGGUAAUAAUAAUAUCUUUAAUGACGUAUUUAUUAAUCAGUAAUCGGAAUGGACUGGAAUCAAAAUGGAGGAAUGGAAAUCGGAAUAAAUUGUUUACUUUAACUAUCAAUAUUGGAAUCGCAAUGAACUGUAUUAUCACUUAUAUAUUUAUUUUAUCUGAGAAUCAGAAUGGAUUGAUUUAAAUUACUAGACAGACCUUAUUAUUAUUAUUAUUAUUAUUAUUAUUAUUAUCAUCAUUAUUAAAUAAGGUAAAAAGGAAUUUUCAAUUUUUACUGAAGUAAAAAUAUCAAUUCACUUCUCAUUUUCAGCCCUAGGGAAUGAGACUCCCAUUCCACAUUCUAGAAUUUAUAGAGUCCACUCAAAUUUUCAUUCCCAUUCCCCCUCCUUGUUUUGCAAGUAAACAAGUUAAUAAUCCUAUUCUCUCAUUUCUACUCCCAUUCUCAUUCUCAAGUACUAACACAUCAAGGUAUUCGGUUCGGUUUUUGCCCAAUAGAACUGAAAUUAUUCGGUUUGGUUUGAUUUGGUUUAAUAUAAAAAGCCAAAGGGUUUAUAUUUUUAUGAACCAAAUGGUUUGUAUUUGAUUCAAUUCUAAAACUGAACCGAAAGCACAAACCAAUCGGUUCACGUAAUUUUAAUUAUUUUUAGAAAAAGAAAAACCAAAACUAAAUCGUAGAAUGUGAAUCCCUAAAAUCUAAAUCCCUAAUUCUCCUAACUAACUAAAACUAAUCACAGAACAACACAACCACAACAACCUAGCAAGCGCAGCGGUAGCCCCUCGAACCACGCUCACUCUCAAGUAUAGCAUGACAAUAGGGCUCUCUCAUGCAAUGAUAGGUAAUUUCUUAGUUUAGAAGGGAAAGUAAGAGAAACAGAGGAAGAAUAUAAGUUGAUUAAAAGGGAAAAGUCAAUUCUUAUUCCAAAAACUUGCUUAGUGCAAGUUCAAUAGGGUCUCUUAAAUAGACCUAUACAUAUAAUAAAAACUAGAAAAGACGAAAAUCACUUGAAAAUAAAAAGCAUGAUCACUUAAAUGGUAAACAUACAUAACCGCCAUGAGCUACAUGCAACCUAAGUCAAAUAAUCAACUGAAGAAACUUGAUCCCCAUGCAUAUUGAGCACAUACCAUUCCCCACCCUUUAGAAACACCUUGUUGGUGCGGUUAAAGUGAGGGUGAGCCUUUGAGAAUCACCAACAGUUCCAACGAGUGUCCUCAAUUGCUGCUCCUAUCCCUAUAACCAGUAUUGAGUUGUACGAAUGGCACAUGAUCUUCAAUCAUGAAUAGUUGCAGCUUUUAACAACAGUGUGAUACAAACUAAUAAAAAUAAUAAAAAUUAUUUAUUUUAUUUUAUUGUAUUAGUUAAUUUUGAACUAGUCAAAACUAGUUGCCCUUAUUUUGUGGAACUACAUGUAAUUAGUGGAGCAUUAUGUGAGAACAUGCUUAGUGUUACUAAUUUUUAGGUUGUAAUCCUAAAUAAACUUUUAUUAUAUAAAGCUUAAUGUUACUCAAUAAAAAGGAUCAUGAGUUUAUUAUUUUGGCAACAUAAAAGUUGUAAUUGGGAGUUUAUUGGUUUCUCGAAUAACCAAUACUUAUUUGGAGGUUUGGAUUUCCUUGAAUUAACUCCAUUUGUCAUCUAAUUUUUCUAUUUCAUUUGAUUUCUCCUUAUAAACUUUAGUGUUCGUAUCACAGUGGCCAAGAAUAAGUUUCUCGUCACAAUAAUAACACAACCCUUUUCCACGAUGAGCAUGUGCUUCUUAGUUAGAUAGUUGCUGGAUAUGAGGGGAAGCGAUGUCAUCGGCUAUUUAAUCAACCUUAGGAGGUGGACCUAAGACUCUAACAAAGCUAUUUGGGGUUGGUUGCUAUAUCACCAAAAUAGAGGGUGGUAGAGAAAAGUGACUAGUGCAUUGAGAAAGUGAAUUUCGCUCCUCAAUCAGUCUUGUCACACCAAUGGUGUUAGCCAAGGUAAAGGGCUAUUUAAUCUUGACAUCUAGUUGUAUCUCAUCCUGAAGACCUACAAUAAAACAACCAAUUAAAAAACAUUCGAGUAAGCCAUCAACCUAAUAUAAAAGCUUUUCAAAAGUUUAUUGAUAUUAAGCUAAUAAUGGAAGUCUAUUUCAGGUGCAUCAAAGCCUUAGAUGGGUCCUCAUAAUCCAUUAGUUCGAAUCGUAGAAGGACUGUUGUUGAUGCUGAAAUCUGCUCGCCCUCUACCCAACCAAAUCAUUCCACCAACAUUUGUGUAUGCAAUGGAGAGAAUACUGCCCUUUUGCCUCCUUCAGCAACUGCGGAUGCUCCAGGGGUUGGAAUCACCUUUUUCCCUUCUUUCUAAUCCUGCACUCACAGAGAUAGAUCAGAGACGCCGGUGGUUUUACCAGCAUAAACCCUCCAAUACUUAAGUUAGCACAAGGUGUUUUACGGGAAAACUAUGUAACUUGGAUUGUUUGGUUUCUCGUAAUGCUUUCUAAAACUUGUAAAGAAUAUAAUCUGGUUUCAAUUUGGCAGAGUUUUCCUUUUUCUCUCAAUUUUUCCAUCCCUUUUUUCAUUGGUUUCCCGGCUUCUUGUAACCGUUGUCCCACGUUCCUAUCUACUCCUCAUGCCCCCCCUUUUAUCGGGUGAUGGCAGGCCUUCAUGGCCUCCAACCACUGGAUUGUGGGUAAACAUGGGAUGACAUGUCCCUCUUGACGGUUUGGGGCAUAGCGAAACUACCGCAUUUUCGUGAGAUCGUGUGCCCCUUGUUUGGGUGAUGGGUAUCUGGUUGGUAUAUGUCUCUAGUCGGUACAUUCCUCUGGUCGGUGCUCGUCUCUAGUAGGCCCACUUUUGUAUGAGGCGUUUUACCAGGGCUCUUUUUGUGCCGCUCAGUUGAGGUGAUUCACCUCGGGGUGGGAAAUGAGGGCAUGGCUGAGCUGGUGCUCUUUAUUACUUAAUACCAGUCCCCUAGUUUCUGGUCUUGCGAGUGAAAUGAGUUGAGAUUAGAAACUAAGAAUCGGAUUUUAUCGACCCCGGGAAAUUCCUAUCUGGUCUUCGUGUUAUUGUGAUGGACCUGAGGUUCUGCCUUUUGUUUAGGGAGAUUUUUUAUCUAAGUAUGGGCCUUUGUGAGCAUGUCCAAUAUAUAGCUGGGCUAACAUCUCGUCAGGCCUUUUAUAACGGUCAGUGACGUGUCGUUUCUCGUCCUUUCAUAUUUGAAAUUUGAAACGACGGCUUAUCUGCCCUCGAUAUACGGCGAGUGAGCUAGCACCCGUAUAACUUAAACGCUUCCAUUUCCCUAUUUCAUUUCAAAUCCCUAAAUUGAAGCUGUCAUUGCGUUUCACUAUCCGCCAUUUCACUGUAAACUAAGUCCCUCUUUGGACUUCAAUCACACUUUUUGCGUCCGAAACCUCUAUUUGCUGGGUCCUCUCUCCGUCACAGCAGCACUACCAGUGCCAGUUUAUUCUAGGUAUCACUUUUAACUUCUUCGCUGGUUGUUGUUGAUUGGGUUCUGUGUUGCCCCUUUUUGUACCCAUACACUCGGAUUUACUGUGUUUUCCUUUUUGAGUUUUUGAUAUGUCAAACCGAAAGGGGAAACUAAUUGUAGAUGAGAGUGAUGAAGAGGUGGGGGACUCAUACCCCAACCUGUUUGGGCCUAAUGACCCCUUAUCAUCUUCUCGUAGUAUAAGUCUUUCCCAUCAUAGGGAUACCCUAGAGUAUCCUCAUCGCGUGACCACUUUGCCUUCCCCUGAAUUAGAACCCGUGGGAAACCGUGGUGGUUCAGCUUCUUGCUCUGGUGAAAAUCACAGUUCUGAGGGCUGGGGGGGUCCCUGGAAAGUGGGUGAAGGUAAGGAGAGUAGCUCCGAGCCGAGCAGACCCUCUAAGAAGAGAAACUUUGGUCAUAUGAUGGCGGGAGAUGCUUAUCCCAUUGACUAUAUCACCUGUGUUACCACCCACACUGACCUACUCAAGUUUAGAAACCUCUACCAUAUCCCUGAGGUGGUUCUUCUUUUAAUCCCUGGGAAAGGUGACUUCCCCAGUCGGCCUCCAAGGGGAUAUGUCACGAUGGGCACGAUUACCCCUUCAACCUUACUUUGCUUGGAUACUGGGUGGUAUGCAUCUGGCUCCAGGUCAGCUUCACCCGAAUGGGUGGAGGGUUCUCUCAGCCAUGUAUGUGCUAUGGAAAAAGUGUGGACUUGAGGAGCCUUCUCUUGAGGAAGUGAAGCAUUUAUACCAGCUGAUGAGCUUUCCAAGGGAAGCAGGUUGGUACUACUUCAUGUCAAGCUCUGCAAAGAGGAAGCCUGUCACCGACUUUCCUUCUUCCUGUAAAAAUUAGAAGAACAAAUUCUUCUUUGCUGGAGGAAAUUGGUGUCCAACAAUUCAUUCGCUUAGUGGUGAUAUUCACCUCCCAACACAUUUUGUCACCCCAGGUCGUUAAUUUUUCUGCAUACUUCACUUCUCUAAUCGUUACUUAUCGAGUUCCUUAACCUUGUUUGUUCUUUCAGAAUUGUGGGGUUUGAUCAAGAAACUUGACGAUAGACCACUGCUCCAGGUGGAAAUGGCUCUGGUGAACGCGUCUACCUGUCACGAUCUCAUAUCGUUAAUAAAUCUUGUCGGGUUGCACUUAGUGGACGUAGCUAUUGGGAUGGACAACAAGAUCCUCAGCGCUAUGUCUAAGAAACACACUUUGGGUUCAGGUAGCUCCAGCAACCUCCCUCCUCCUUUGAAGAAAGUCAAUGUUGGUUCCUCCAAGGCUUCUGCUCCUGCUCUGCCCCCUCCUUCACCUCGGAAGAAUGGUAGGGAGAAAGUUAGUGACAAGAGCCCCGAGGUCAGCAUUCAAUUUGGAGACCGAUCCUCUCCUCUACCGCCUCGGGACCAGGGUGACUAUCUGACCCUGUACCAGAGAGAUUACAACAAGUCGAUGGGACCAAAAAUGGUCAAGGACAUUGAAAGCAUGAACCUCAGCGAGCUAGGUGGUUCAGUUCAAAUGGUCUCCUUUAAGCUGGCUACUCUGGUUUCUUGCUACAAGAAUAGGUCUACGCGCCAAGAGAGGAGGCUUCAAGCUGAUAACGAGGACUUGAAGAAAAAGGCUAAUUCUGUUGAUCGCUCGAAGGAGAAGCAGAUUGAGCUACACAAGCAGAUCAUGGACCUGGAGGAGAAAGUGGCUAUUGCUGAGUCUAACUCCUCCAAGCUUGAGGGUGAGUUGGGUGAUCUAAAGUCCGAUCUCCAGGUUGCUCACAGUGAACGAGAUACUUUGAGGACGACCCUUGAGGAACAUAUUAGGUCCUUAGAUGAGCAGGUAGCCGAGCUGAAAGGCAAAUCUGUUGAGGUGGACAAUUGACUGGAUGCAGAAUAUAACUCUGGGCUCGCCUUUUGCUACAAGUGCAUCAUGUUUGUGCUUAAGGGAGAAUAUCCUGAGCUUGACAUGAGCAAGCUGGAGGCUGGAGUGCAGAAAUACAUGGCCGAGCCCGAUCAAGGGGAUAAGGAGCAGGGAGAGCAGGAUCAGGUGGAGGCUCCUUCAGAUGGGGUGCAGGAGAGGGAAACAGAGGAUUAUGCUCUUGAAACAGGUCAGGGGUCACUGCCUGCUCCCCCAGAAGUUGCUGGUCCACCUUUUAUCGAGGCUGCUGAACCUCAUAAUCCUUAGGCUUAUAUAUAUAUAUAUAUAUAUAAAUAUUAUUUUGUAUAAAUUCUAAACUCCCAUCUGUCUACAAAUGUUUGGAUGUUUAUAAACUUUGGAUGCUUUUUGUUUGCUUUCUUGCCAUGGUUUUGGUUGUGAAUCGUUUCUACAAGUUACCUUAACAAUUUUGAGUGACUUUGGCUGCUGGUCCUUUUGUCGUCCGAGCAGGAACUGACACUUGUUUGCCUUAGCGAAAUUUGUAAAACUUACAUUUCAGUUUUUCAAACGACUGAGCAGGAACUGGCGUUGGUUUGCCUUAACGAAAUUUUGUAAAAUUGCCUGCUGGUGCUUUAGGCGACCAAGCAGGAAUAGGCACUUGCUUGCCUUCAUAAAAUUUAUAGAUUUGCCUGCUGGUCCUUUAGGCGAUCGAGCAGGAAUAGACACUUGCUUGCCUUAAUAAAAUUUGUAGAUUUGCCUGCUGGUCCUUUAGGCGUCCGAGUAGGAAUAAACACUCGCUUGCCUUAAUAAAAUUUGUAGAUUUGCCUGCUGGUCCUUUAGGCAACCGAGCAGGAAUAUGCACUUGCUUGCCUAAAUAAAAUUUGUAGAUUUGCCUGCUGGUCCUUUAGGCGAUCGAGCAGGAAUAGGCACUUGCUUGCCUUACUAAAAUUUUUAGAACGAGGGAAUUUAUGCUGAAUUCAUCUUUAUUGAACUUUGCAUGGAUUACAAGAGGCGAGAUAUAGUCACGUGUAACAAUUCAUCAUGCUUUUAACAUAAAUAACUUAUUGAAAUAAAACUUGGUAAGGCAGUUUGCUUACUGGAAGUAUUUCUUCAAGUGCUUAGCGUUCCAUGAUCUUUUCACGUCUCGUCUAUCUGGGUAAAUCAGCUUGUACGCUCUUGGGCCAGUUAUUCAUACCACUCUGUAUGGGCCCUCCCAUUUCGGGCUAAGAACACCAUGAAUAGGAUCUCUUGUGCAUUGGUUCACUUUUCUAAAUACCCAAUCUCCUGCUCGGAACUGUCUCAUGCGAACAUUUUUGUUGUAGUAACGCAUGAUCCUUUGCUGGCAUUUGGCUGUUCUCUGCGAUGCCCCUUCUCUUUUUUCCUCCAGCAGGUUCAGGCUCAAGCAGAUCUGCUCGUCAUUUUGUUCUUUGUUGAAAUACUCUGUCCGAUAUGCCCCCACCCCAAUUUUUGCUGGGAUUACUGCCUCAUGACCGAAAGCUAAAGCAAACGGGGUUUCUCCCGUGGCCAUUUUGUGGGUUAUCCGGUAGGCCCAUAACACUCCUAGUAACUCGUCGACCUAAGCUCCUUUUUUUUCUCAUAGCCUGGUUUUCAAGAGUUUCUUUAUUACUUUGUUGGCUGCUUCCACCUGCCCAUUUGCCUUGGGGUGUGCUAGGGUACAAAACUUCAGGUCCACCCCUAAAUUUUGGCUAAAUUCUCUGAAGUUGUGAUUGUCAAACUGUCUCCUAUUGUCUGUAAUGACAGCAAUGAGGAUCUCCUAUCUGCAGAUGAUAUUCUUCCAAACAAAAUCCGUUAUCUUUCUCUCUGUGAUUUGACUGAGGACCCUUACUUCUACUCAUUUGGUGAAGUAGUCUAUAGCCACAAUUGCAUGUAUUACUUCUCCUCGGCCCUUGGGUAAUGGGCCAAUCAGGUCAAUUCCCCACUGAGCAAAAGGCCAUGGGGAUGACAUAGUGGUUAACCUUUCUGGGGGCUGAGCAGGGACUUCCGAGAAGCUCUGGCUGACUUUAUAGUUUUUUGCCAUCCCCGUCGCAUCCUGAUGCAUGGUCGGCCAGAAGUACCCUUGCCGAAGCACCUUGAAAGUCAAAGUUCUCGCCCCCGAGUGGUUGCUGCAUAUUCCUUCAUGAAUUUCCCUCAACACAUAAUUUGCUUCCUCGUCAUCCAAGCAUCUCAAAAGGGGCAAGGUGAAUCAUCGGCGGUAGAGUACCCCAUCGAGUAGCGUAUACCUUGCUGCCUGACAUUUCAACUUUCUUGCUUGCUUCCUGUCCUCUGGUAAGAUGCCCUCACGAAUGUAUAAUAGAAUGGGGUCCAUCCAGGAUUUUUCGAUGCUCACCUGCAUUACUUCUGCUUCCUCCCCUAUGCUUGACGAGGUUCUCACUUUUAGUGGAAUUGACUUGGGUAAUUUUGGAUCUGCAAUUGCGGCCAUUCUGACCAAUAUAUCUGCUCGGUAAUUCUCAUUCAGAUAUAUCUGCUUUAUUUCUAUCUCUUGGAAGAGCUCAACCAUCUGUUUUGCCUUCUUCAAAUAAAGCCCCAUCUUCUCUUCCCUCGCUUGGAAUUGAUCACUGAGCUGAUUACAGACUAAUUGGGAAUUUGCUCAGAUUUCUAUCCUUUUUGUUCGUAGUGCGUGUGCAAACCCCAGCCCAGUGAUGAAAGCUUCAUAUUCAGCUCGGUUAUUCGUAAGCUGAAAUUUAAAUUUCACUGCAUAAGAUACAUCGGCCCCUUCUAGGCUUCGUAUUACAAUUCCUGCUCCAGAUCCCUGUUUACUACGUGACCCAUCAAUUAUUACUAGCCACACCCCCUUUGAUUUCUCCUGCUUCACUGGUUGCUCCUCCCAAAUUUCCUCCCCUAAUUUAACACGGUCAACCAUAAAAUCGGUCAAGGCUUGGGCUUUGAUUGCUUCUCGGGGUUUGUAGGAUAGGUCGAAUUCGCUCAACUCCACGGACCAUUUACUAACCGACCAGAUGCAUCUAGUUUUAGAGCAUUUACCGAAGAGGCUGGUCAGUCAUCACAACUAUCGGGUGGGCCUGAAAGUAAGGUCUGAACUUGCGUGCUACUGUUAUUAAAGCUAGUGCCCAUUUCUCCAUUAGUGGAUAUCUGGUUUCUGCAUCUACCAGGGCCUUGCUAGUGUAGUACACAGGGUGCUGCUUUCCUUCCUCUUCUCUGACUAAUACCGAGCUGGUAGCCCAUUUAAAGACUGCCAAGUACAAAUACAGCUGGUCACCUUCUCCAGGAGUUGAUAGUACAAGGCGCGGGCUAAAUAUUCCUUCAGCUGCCCGAAUGCCUCCUCACAUUCUAACGUCCACUCCAUUUUCCUUCAAUUCUUUAUGAUUUGGAAGAAAUGGUGACAUUUAUCUGUGGCUCGCGAGAUGAAACGGUUCAAUGCUGCUAACUUCCCUGUAAGACUCCGUACCUCUUUAACUGUCCGGGGGGACUUCAUUUUUGUUACUGCCCGUACUUUUUCCGGGUUGGCCUCAAUCCCUCGAUGGCUCACCAUGAACCCCAAAAAUUUACCCGCGCUAACUCCAAAUGCACACUUUUCCGGAUUCAGCUUCAUCUGAUACUUCCUUAGCAGUUCAAAAGUCUCUUCCAAAUGCUUCACAUGAUCCUUCGGUUCCUUGGACUUUGUGAUCAUAUCAUCCACGUAUACCUCCAUAGUGUGACCGAUCAGUGGCUUGAAAAUCUUAUUCACCAACCUUUGAUACGUAGCCCCUGUGUUUUUCAGGCCAAAAGGCAUCACCUUGUAGCAAAAUAAACCCAUGUUAGUUAUAAAGGUGGUACUCUCCUCAUCUUGCUUGUUCAUGGGUAUCUGGUUGUAUCCCGAAAAGGCAUCCAUGAAGCUAAGCAGACUAUGACCUGCCGUUGAGUCCACCAACUGAUCUAUUUUAGGUACGGGAAAGCUGUCAUUUGGGCAUGCCAUAUUAAGGUCUGUGAAAUCCACAUACAUUAUCUAUUUCCCAUUGGCCUUCUUUACCAGCACUACAUUAGAAAUCCACUCCGCAUAUUUAGCCUCCCUUAUAAAUCCUGCUUUCAACAGCUUCUCCACCUCGGCAUUUAUGGCCUCGUACCUUUCCUAGUUAAAGCACCUCCUUUUCUGCAUCACCGGCCUUGCCCCUUUCUUGAUUGCCAACUUGUGGCAAGCUACCCCGCGAUCAAUUCCUGGCAUGUCCUCAUGAGACCAGGCAAAUAUAUCUGCGUGGGACUAUAGGCACUUCACCAGCUCAUCUUUUAUUGCUUCACCUAAUCCUGACCCGAUCUUAAUCACUCUGCUCGGGUUAUUCUUGCUCACAAAAAUCUCCUCCAGUUUCUCGACAGGCUCUUGACGACCCUUCUUAGAAUCUCUUCGGUUAUCCAGAGAGGUAACAUGUAGCGUCUCCUUGGCCGCUGUUGCGUAACAGCUCCUUGCUAUUCUCUGGUCACCUUUUACUACGCCCACAACUCCGUUUACUCUGUAUUUCAAUGCUAGAUAAUGCAUGGAUAUAAUGUAUUAGCUUGCUCUCAUAAAAGGUCGCCCUAGUAUCAUCUGGUAGGGGUUUUUCUCUUCCACCACUACGAAGUCCAGCAUAAUUUUCUUUUUAGAUGACUUCGCUCCUACGGUAAUCGGCAGCUCUAUGAUCCCCAUAGAGGUCAACUGUCUUCCUCCAAAUCCCUUUAAGGAUGUGUUCGUUCGCUCCAAUUUCAAAUCUGCAAUCCCCAUAUCAUCUAGGGCCGACUUAAAUAAUAUGUCGACCGAGCUGCCUAUAUCCACCAAUAUUUGUCGGAAUUCCUUACCCGCCACUAUUACUUUAACUACCAGUGCAUCCUCAUGAGGGUAUAAAAUGCCCUCUUCAUUAUCAUCUGUCCACAUAAUGGGAACUUGUCUUACUUUCACCCUCUUGGUCGUUGGUAAGUUGAAAAGUACCUCUUUGCUGGUCAAAGCGUAUCUCUCAUAAUUCUUUCGUGCUCUGUUUGAGUCUCCAGCCAAUGUUGGCCCUCCUGUUAUCACCUGAAUAUUUAGCUGUUCCCGCUCUAGGCUCCUUUCAACUCCAUCACCCAGCGUAUAUUGUGAUUCAAUGACGGGGGAUACUCCAUCUACAUACUCAUCCAAAUACUGGUUCCUCACCAAAUCUUCCACUUGAGUCUUCAAGUCAUGAUAUUGGCUGAUAGUGUGACUAUGAGUGUCGUGAAAUUUGCAGAAUCUGUUCUUAUCAUGUCUAUGAGCGGGUUUUGUUAUAGGGGCAGGAGGGUACAGCAGGCAUCGUCCCUCGAUUCUCUCAUACAACUCCUCCAUAGAGACUUUCAGUGGGGGUGUACUGUUUGUACGCCAAGCUUUGGUCAAUCAGUUGGACCGUUCAGCUAUCGUGGGUAUCGUUCCGAGCUGGUAUUGUAGGUAGCUGGUUUGGUUGACCAGCCCUGGAGUUAACUAUAUGCAGUACCCUGGGAGCGCUGUGAUAAGGGUGGGCGACUAACUGCCUGAAUUCUCGUUGCCACUCGGGGAAUGAGGGGCGCGGAGGCUGAGCUCAGUUGUGUUGGAGCUGUUGCGGUCUCUGAGCCAUGGGAUAAGGGCGAGACCAAGCUGAUAUUCCACACAUCACUAGCGAUUCUCCAGCUCGCCUUCCUGAUCCGCUCCCGCUCAGGGUUCUUCAAUCUCCAUGUCUCUCUUUGCCUGCUCAUACCCCGUUGAAUAAUUCUGAACGAUGGGACUUCACAAGUUGUACCAUAAUCGGCCUAUUCUUACACCCUCUUUUAAUCCCCUUAACGCCUGCAGGUGAUUGAAAGCUCCCAGAUCAAGCACGGCCCAAUGGUAUCUUUUCACAAAAUCCUGAAGGGAUUCGUGUUCCUCCUGCUUCAUCCCCAUCAAAUCCAUCAUAUCGUCAUCUGGGCCUACUGAUUAUCGGAACAGUGUUGUGCAAAUUUUAAUGAACUCGCAAGCACACGAAUCUAUUGUAGUAUAGAUCAUUGGUAACGAGUGUCGAUCUCAUGAGGAGGUGGAUUUUAAUUGUGUAUAGAAUUGAUUUUGUAAAUGGGUGGUUGGAUUUGUGGUGGAAGUGAUUCAGAUUAUCCUAAAAUUGGAAUUAAAAUGGUGAAAAUAAUUUGAAGAGAAUUCUAUUGAAAUGACGUACUUGGGUAUCUGGAUCCGUAUCAACAUGCAUCAUGGGCUAAAUAUUCCUUAUUAAUACCAAUUAAAUCAUGAGGGGGGAAUCCACACCUCAUGAACCACGCUCUAAUCAAUAUGGUGUUAAGGGCUUAUCGUGCCAAAUAAUAAUAACCUGUACUAGAGAGCCGGUGUAACCAAGGCGGUAUCUAGACAAUACUAGUAUUAUUUGUCAACGAGAAGUCAAAACAUCCAAAAAAACUAGAGGGGAAGAGAAAAUAAAUUUACCAAAUAAAGCCCAUGACACAUGUUGAGACUUCACCUUCAACCCAAGCUUGAAAGAAAAUUAGCUACUCAUAAUUGAACUAGGGGCAAAAUGGGAAUUUAUUAAAAUACGUAGAAAAUACAAGAUGGAGAGAGAAUUACAGAAAAUGGAGUCCAAAAAUGGAUUUAGGGAUAUCAAAUUAGGGGGAGAGGCCCCCUUUUUAUAGAUACAUUGAGUAAAUCGUGGUCAUCGGAUAAAAAAUAGUUUGGACGCUCAGGAUUGCGCCACGUCAUCAGUCAACAGUCCGCGUGAACAGUACACGAUUUGACCACGCGGAUGAACAGUAACACAGUUUGACCCGGGUGAACAGUGACGCAGUUUGGUUGAAAAUGAUCCUGUGUGUUGCAUGUACCGUACAUGAGAUUUUUGAUCCACUGAUAUGCUGCCACGUCAUCGAUCAACAGUGCAUAAGAAUUUUAGUCCAACAGGAUCGUGACACCUCAUCAGUCAAUGCCACAUCAUCGGUCAAUGCCACGUCAUCGAUCCGUCUAUGUGAACAGUGCCGUGAACAGUAACGUAGACAGUACCCGUACAUGUGAAUAGUACCGUAUAUGUGAAUAGUAUUAUUUUUCUUUUUAUGCUCCUCCUAAGAUUUUUGACCGUCCUAAGUUCAAAAAUGAUGUCCGUUUUGCCAUCUGAUCUCUCGUUUAUUGUGAAAUGACUGUGAUACCCCUAAAAUACAUAAAAUACUUGAUUAAAAUAAAACACACGUAAUUAAAUUACAAGUAAGGGUUGUUAGUAAGACAUUUUCUAACACUCAACAAACAGCUCGGCCAACUCUUGGUAUAUCUGCUCGUAUCCCCUUAUACUUCCUCGUGGUAGCUUACGAUACCAUUCUCUGGCUCGUCCUUCUAGUGUCAAUGGGAACACCCUGCACCUCUGAGCUGCUGUUAGCCCCUGUAUGCCCGUCAUGUCAUUGAAGCACUCAAUGUGCACUAGCGGGUCGCUUCUCCCGGAGUACUUGAGGUUGGGAAAGCAGAAAUCUCUUGGGAUAAUAGUGCUUAUGAUCUCGGCUGAUAGCGGAGAUUCUUCAUCCAGCAUUAUCCUCCAGCUUGGAGGCUUUCUCUUGCCCUAUAUCUCAUCCAUCACCUGCGCUAGCCUGCGCACCUCACCUUCCAAUUCCAAAGCACGGUCAAGGUCGCGCGCAGCUACUUGAUCUCGCUCCUGCUCGGCAUUAUGCAGUCGCUGUCUGAGCUCGCCUUCGUCAACAUUUACUCCUCGGUCAUUGAUUUCUAGAACUCGCCCAAGGCGAGAUUGAUCUCUCCUUUCAUCCACACGCUCCCCGGGGAUCCGACCAGCACUUCUAUGGGGAUGUAUCCCAUAGGGUUGUUCUACUAGCGGAGGGAUCUCCUCGAUUCUACGCCUUCGUAGGUUGGGUUCCGCCAUAGUUUCAUCCCUUACCACAGUGGUCUCGCCUUCCCUUCUCCGCUCAUCCCUAAAGUCAUAUAAUAUAGCUGUGAGCGUCUCCAUUUGGUUUGCCAUCUGUUCCAUUCGGUCUUGCAUCAUCCUCUCUCUAGCUUCAUUCGCGAUCUCUCGGAGAGUGAUCGAUUCACCAGUUUCAUUGUCGCCCCCUAAGGCGUCCUUCCUUGUCAUAUCCAUAACUAAUCGUUCACUGCGUCUCUGGUGAUUACUAACUUGAUGGUAGCUUUUUAUCCAGCUCCCUACAGACGGCACCAAAAUGUUGAUGCUGAAACAUGCUUGCCCUCUGCCCGGCCAGAUCGUUCCACUAACGUUUGUGUAUUCAAUGGAGAGGAUACUGCCCUUUUGCCUCCUUCAGCAACUACGGAUGCUCCAGGGGUUGGAAUUACCUUUUUCCCUUCUUUCUAAUCCUGCACUCACAGAGAUAGAUAAGAGACGCCGGUGGUUUUAUCGGCGUAAACCCUCCGAUGCUUAAGUUAGCACAAGAUGUUUUACGAGAAAAUUAUGUAACUUGGAUUGUUUGGUUUCUUGUAAUGCUUUCUAAAACUUGUAAAGAAUAUAAUCUGGUUUUAAUUUGGCAGAGUUUUCCUUUUUCUCUCAAUUUUCCAUCCCCUUUUUCAUCGGUUUUCCAGCUUCUUAUAGCUGUUGUCCCACGUUCCUGUCUACUCCUCAUGCCCCCCCUUUUAUUGGGUGAUGGCAGGCCUUCAUGGGCCUCCAACCACUGAAUUGUGGGUAAACGUGGGAUGACAUGUCCCUCUCGAUGGUUUAGGGCAUAGCGAAACUGCCGCAUUUUCGUGAGAUCGUGUCCUCCUUCUUUGGGUGAUGGGUAUCUGGUCGGUAUAUGUCUCUAGUUGAUACAUUCCUCUGGUCAAUGCUCGUCUCUAGUAGGCCCACGUUUGUAUGAGGCAUUUUACCAGGGCUCUUCUCGUGCCGCUGAGGUGAUUCGCCUCGGGGUGGGAAAUAGGGGCAUGGCCGAGCUGGUGCUCUUUAUUACUUAACAACUGUCUUUGAAAAUUUUGGCUAAGUUAGUAGGCCACAAAAUUUUAUUAACCAUCUAUGCAAUUAUAGAGCAAUCCCCUCCAAAUAGAAUGAUGCCAAUUGUAUUUAUUGUUCUAGGACUACAUUCUCAAAUCCGAAGAAUUAUUCCACCUUAUGAAUCCAACCAGUCGGAUCAUCUCCGUUGAAAUUUGGAAAGUUUAGUUUGAGAUAGUGGUGAUGGUUGGGAAAGUUUGAGGAGAAAGGUUUUAUGGCUUGGUUAGAGGAUGUUGUAGCCUGUAGGUGCAAAGGGGUUAAUUUCAGAGGCAAUUAUGUGUGAGGUUUGUGAUGCACGAAGAGAUUGAAGAUUUCUUGAACCUCAUUACGAAACUCAGCAUUUGAUUGACUUCGGGUAGCCGUAUUUCGAGCAACCUUUGUUUGAUACCAGAUGAUAGGUAAUUUCUUAGUUUAGAAAGGAAAGUAUGAAAAGUAGAGGAAGAAUAUAAGUUGUUUAGAAGGAAAAAGAUAAUUUUUAUUCCAAAAGCAUGCCCACUAUAAAUCCAAUAAUUUCUCUUAAAUAAACCUAUACAUAUACCAAAAACUAAAAAACUAGAAAAGAGGAAAAUCACUUGAAAAUAAGAACAUGAUCAAUUAAAACGGUAACAUGCACAACCGCCACGAAUCAAAACCAAUCGAUUUUAAAUAGUAUGAAUUGAAAUCAAAUUAAACCAAACCAAACUAAAUCGGACCGAACCGAAAUAUUAGGUUCGGUUCUAAAUUUUGGUUUGAUUUUGGUUCAGUUCUAAAUUUUCGGUUCGAUUCUAACUUGUUGUUUUAACACCACGAUUUAUGUUCGUUGGAAGUAUCUUCCUCGUCGUCCAAAAUUCAUCCCACUUGCAGCUCAUUCUCUCAUGCAAUCCCUCAUCUUCUGUAGUGAUUUGAUUGCUCUGAUAACUAUAAGCAAUAAACCACUGCCCAAGAAAUUUUGCCAAGAACAAUUCAAGAUGAAAAUAAGCCAAUGAUUGAUUUAAAGUUCUAAUGAUGAAACGAAACCUUAGCUCUAGGUUAAUGGAGAUUUAACAAAAGAUUGAAACAAAUCAAGAAGCAAACACACUCAAUGCAAAGACAGGAUUUUAAUGUGGUUCAAUUAUGCACAAAGUUCAUAAUCUACAUCCGCGGGAGAAGCCACAAAAAUCUCUUUAUUGAUGAUUCAAGAUGAAUUUUAUUGAGAAAAUACAGAGAUCGUUACAAGGAACAAGAUUACUCUUUCUCACUUUCUAGAAACUCUCUGAAAAGCUCAAUCACACACACGUAAUCUGCUUCAACAACCAGCCUCUUUAUACUCUCUUAUGAAAACCCAGAUUGCACAGCCCUUUGACACGUGUGUAACAGCUUCUAACGACUUGAUUCCUCCCUCACAUGCUAGCUCACGUGUUUUACUUAAGUUUCCUAAAAACGACACAAAGCAAUGUCGUUCUGCCUUAUGCUGAAGAGCCCGUGACUGCACGUGAGUUGUAAGUAAUUCCAACUGAUCAAAACGCAAUCGUUUUGGGACUCUGAGUUUUGAAUUCAUAACACUCCGGUCCACAUCUUCCUCACCCACUAAUAUAAACAAAGCACAAAACAAUUCCAAUCUCAGAAUUAAGAUCAUGCUCAGACAAAUCCUUAAGCCCAUCAGCGAUCUAUCGUCUACUGCGAGCUAAUCGAGAGUGCCAUCUAAUACGAGGUGGCUGAGAGACCGUGAGAGUGAGAUGUUGACCAGAGAUAGACAUAGUGAGAGUGAGCGUGGUUGCGUGAGUGUGGAAGAAAGGGGAUGCUGCUAUGCUGCGUGUUGUGCUUGAGAGUGAGCAUAGUUGCAUGAGAGAGAGAGGGGCUACUGCUAUGCUGUACUUGAGAGUGAGGGUGGUUGCAUGAUAUCUGCUCAAUAUGUAUGGGAUGAAGUUUCUGAUGGGUAAAAAUCAUGUUUUUAAAUUUUUAUAAAACCUUUUUAAGAUCGCUUUCAUAUAAUAUAUAAGAAUUUGUAAUCUAGAAAUCAUACCUUGAAAAUCCGAUUUAGCUUUUUCCGCUGGAAUGAUUUAGGCUCCCAGAUCACGAUCCAUCACCACCACUCCUGUUAGAUUACGAUCCGUCACCACCACGCUUGUUAGAACACGAACUGGCACCAAUGAUCUUCCAGGUUAUGACUCAAGUUUGAUCUGCACUUGACGUGUGGGCGCCUUUAUCACUACCAAAGCAACUAGCACAAGAAAACUUUUCUCUCAACAAUAGAGAGAAAAAUCUUUUUCUCUGAUCUGUAUAAAGUGCCUGCUCCCUUUUUCUUUAGAGAAAAUAAGCAUUUUAUAUCUCCCUUUAGUGAAAACCCUAAGCUCCAAAAAAUCAAAAAACAAAACUCACGUUACUUGCUUUUUCUAUAGGGGACACACCUUGUAAAAUAACAUAAUAGCCCUUACACACAAGCGAAUUAAAUGGAGCCUCCCACUAAAAGAUAUAUUUAGGCUUUUGACCCAAAUAGCUUAUCUUACUUAUUAGUCCAGUAGUGGUGCAUUCAAUUAAAUGAGCUAACCCGGGGAUCAUUUGGGAACAUACAAUAGUGGCUAUAACAAUUAGACCUGUAAUUAAACUAGCCUAAUUAUUUAAUUCCAAAUCUACUCCACUAAAAGAUUGGAAUUGACCUCCAUAAUUGUAUGCUCGAAUAAUAAUUUGUCCCAAGUCUAAUUGAUUUCUUUACUGCACAAUCCUUUGUAUCACAUCGUUAAUUCAAUUGAUAUCUCAACUGUCCAAUCAAUUUAAUAACAUCUUGUUCCUUGAUACUUAUUGGUUUUCUCUAAUGAUCAUUUUCAACAUACUAAAUAUGUUGACACACUCUGGCCAAAGAAUUCUAUGAUCAAGUGCCGAAAACCCAUCAAGAGAUGUAUUGUACAAAUUCUAUAUUGUUAAUCCAUAACUCCAAUACUCAUAAUUGCUCCCACCAAGAUACCGGGUAAUCUUGACCACAAGAAUGUGUCGUGCCCAUUGGUAACUCAAAUGGAAUAACAAUUACAAUCAUGAAAUCAUAAUUAACUCAAGAUUAAGAUUACAGUAAAAUCAAUAGAUUUAAUAAGUCUGACAGUCAUUUCAAUGUUAAUUAAAUCUCAUAUGUGAUCCUGUUCAAUGUAGUCGUACUACAUUAAUAAAUUCAUACAUGAUUAAGACAAAUCAUUCAAUGAAUUCAUUACAGUCUAUACUUAAAUAAAGUGCCCAACUUUAUUUAUCAACUGCGAACUAAAUUUAUUUAAUCAUAAGAUAACUUAUAUUUAUGUCUUCUGUGAAUCCACAUGGUGAUCACAUAAAUACAUAUAAUAUGAUUAAAUGGACUUUGAUCAAAAUAUUAAUGCAAUUAAGAUAUUUGAAUAAAAUACCUCAUUAAUUUUAUUAGUCAGAAAAAAUGUUUAUUAUAAUUAAAUAAACACAUAUACUUUUAAAGAGUAUAUUUUCCCAACAGUUUCUUCAGUUGGUUAUUUCACUUAGUCAAAAUAAAUUAUAGUAGUGGUUGCAUACCUGACUUUGGAGGUAAGGCUGGAGGCAAACUUCUACAUUAAUUUAUAACUUGUUUCACAACAUAUUACGGUUAUAAAUGAGACUUAAUCCAAAGACGGAAAGAGAGAAAUUUGCUACACUCUUUAGUAUCCAUUAUUGAGAAAAACACCAAAAUUAACUUUUACUUCUUUAAAAUCAUUUUUGAAACCUCCCAAAAGAUAUCUCAAAUGGGUUCUCAAUUUUUUAAAACAUUACUUUUGGCUAAACACCCCAUCCUCCAGUAGAUUUUGAAAAUGUCAAAAUGUAUAAGACACUCAUCCAGUGGGGGUUUCACAGGCUUACCUCUCUUAGAAGUCUUUGCAUUCUUGGAUGUCAUGAAGCAGAGUGUUUUCCAGACGAGAAGAUAGGAAUGACGCUGCCCAAUUCUUUAACUUGUCUGUCCUUUCGAGGAUUCAAAAACACAUUUAAGAAAUUGGCAAUUUGUUGUUAGUCACAGUAUCUGAUGUUCUUUUCUUUUAUAGUUUGCAGAAUCAACUGUAUUAUAUGUUGUCAUUUGCAGUAUCUGAGGUGCCUUUUGCAUUUUACUUGACCUUUAUUUGUUUUGCUAGUGACUGAAGAAUACCAACAUUGGUUAGAGAUUUGGAGAAGCAUCUGAAGAGGCUUGACAAAGUUGGAGAUGCACUUGCUCCCAAGCCUUCAAUCAUCACAAUGCAAAUCCGAUGAGUACUUAUGCCGGCAAUUAUGUAAAAUAUUUGAAAUUUUGAUUCAGGGAAAUGGUUUGUUGAUGCAAAGCUUUAAACUGUUAAGACUUACCUAGCAGGCCUGUUGGAUGUUGUAUCAACUCCAAAAUCCAACAAGAACUACGGCACCAAGACCCAUUUUUUACUGAUUCAAUCAGCUGAAAUGAUGAGGCAAAUCCCACGUGUUCGAAUCAGUCAUCCAUUUCAUGAACUGUUAUUUUCAUGAUGCUGGCUAUUGGAGUUGAAGAGGAAACAAGGAUGUGUUGGAAUCAAUGAGAACAGUGGGAAGCAUGACUCGAGCUCUGAUUAUAAAUAGACAUUUUAAAAACAUGUGCUGGUAAGUGGUGAUUAAAGAAAUUUGUGAGCUUAUUCAAGUUUCAGUAUUUGCUGUUUGGAUAAAGCUGAUACCAAGUUUGGCAAAAUCUGUGCUUUCUUUGUUCAAUCUGUGUUAUGGUUAAAGUAGAUGCUCUGAUUAAUAAGCCAGCCUACGAUAGCUGGCUCUAAUAAUCGGCUUCCUUUUUCUUGUUUGCUGUUGUAUAUUCUUUCAAUUUUUUUUCCGCAUUAGGACGAUCAGUUGAAGAACAAGUUUAUGUUUGACGAUGCAUUUAAGGAAGAGCCAGACUUGGAUGCAGAUCUGAAAAGGUUAGCAUGAACGAAAACCUUCAGAACUGACUGAAGGUUUCUGAGUUGAUCCUAAAAAUGUAGCAGUUGUCUGUUUCAUAAAGCAGAACAAAAACAGAAUAAGAGAUCACUAAUCAUGCUUGAGAAUUCAUUUAAAUAAAAUUUCAAAAAUUGCCAAACACAGCAUAAACUAGGAUGCACUUGCUUAAGAUUCAUUUUCAGAAGGAAGUUUGUACUUGCAGCUCAUAAAAUCAUGUUUAUGUUGUAUGUUUAUUCAGCAAAUGAAAGAUUCCAAGUUUGCUGAAACCAUAUUAUUUUUUUACCAGGCGCCUUCCUGAAGGUAUCGACGUCAAUUUCAAAAAUGUUGGGGAUAAGUUGCUUGAUGCAGUGCUACACAAAUAUGAAGGAUUUCUUGUCGGUGAUUACUACCACCUCGAUAAAAAAAUUCAUGGAACUGGUCAUGCCGGCAAUAAAAGAAGGAAAGGUGGUAUACGUCGAAGACAUAGAUGAAGGCCUCGAGUCCAUCAGCCCUCGUUGGGCUAUUCACUUGUCGGAAUGUCAGGAAACAACUUGUUGAAGUUGCGUGGGAAUUUUAAAACUACCAUAUGUUGUAGAAAUGCACUGAGCCAUGUGCUUUCAGAGCUUUGUGAAGAUGUCUUGGCCAUGUGUUUGAUACAGGUUAUGCUUGUUCCAUUAAAUUGUAUGCACUUAUAAAUCAAAGAUUCAGAACAUGUGUAUGUUACUGGUUUCCAGAAUCCAGAUCAAUAAAUGCCUCCAUGUAGAAGUUCAAAUUUUAAAUUUUUUGAAGUAGAGGUGUAGAGUUUCUUUUUUCAAAAAAGAAAAAGUAAAUUCUGAAGACUUUCUUUAUUUAAUUUUACAAUCUUAUUUUAUUUCUUUUACGAUAUAUUUUUAAAAUACUUAUUUAGUAAAUUAUUAACAUCUAUACCACUAAAAGAUUUUUUUUGUUAAACGCUCUACUUACAAAGUUAUAUUAAUUAUAGAUUUACUCAAAGAAGCCCUAUUUAAAAAGUUACAGCAAAAAAAGUCAUAGUUACCUUUAGUAAAUAAUAAUCUUCUAAUCUGUCUUACAACGGACUUUUGACAAAAGUGUGCUACUCCCACCUCCUCAAAGUCCACCCGACACCCCGUCUUCUCUAUUUAAAAUUUUAUAUAGUUGAAAAUUAUAUUUUCUUUUACUUGACGCCCCUCCAAAUUCUAAAACUUAGCUUCGAUGAACCUUCUUCGUUAAAUCUCGUUGCUUUCCUUUUUUCUUGUUACUUGAGAAGAAGAACCAGAGUCUAGAAGAAUGAAAGAAAAUUCAGCGUGAUAGAAAUUUAGAAAUUUCAUCCGAUCUUUUUUUCUUAAAUUUUUUGGUAUUUUGAUUCGUUCAAUGGAUUCUUGAUCAUUCUUCAUUCUUUCUAGUUUCUACCAUGAUUCGGAAAUUUUUCUUAAAAAAACUACUACUCUUGUGUAUUUAAAAAAAAAGGAAAGAAAGAAAAAAGGCAUUAAUAAAGAAUUGCGCACGUAACAUUAUUAGUACCCUGUUGAUUGGUCGUUUGGUCUUCAAGAAAUGCUAGUUAAUAUGUGCUUGAAAUUAUAUUCUGCUUUUUUUUUCCCUAUGUAUUGUUUCCCGUUUGAUUACAUUUCAAACAUUUUUAACACGAAUGAAUGUUUUAACCAUUUUUGUCACUUCAUUAUUACAAUAAGCUGAUUGAAGUUAUCUGCGUUGGCCCUGAAAAUGUAAUGGACACUACUCCGUUUACAUAAAACAGGACAAAACAUCGAUAUUUCUACCAUUGCCAUACAUAGUAUAGCCUAGGAAUACAUUUCCAUAAUUAAUAUUUAUUUCAGAAGGAACUUUUCACUUGCAGCUAACAGAAUCAUGUUAAAUUUAUGAUGUAUGUUUAUUUGGGAGAUGAAAGAUUCGCUGCAUUAUUUUAUUCCAAGUUUGCUGAAAUCAUAUUUGUUUUCCCGGCUGCUUUCCUGAAUGUAUCGACAUCUAUUUCGAAAAUGUCGGGGGUAAGAUGCUUGGUGCAGUGCUACUCAACAUGAGAAUUCAUCUUCUAACUCGUUACCUGAUAUUAUUGUCUUCUUGAAAAUUUAAUUAAGCUUAGAAGUCCCUUAACCACAAAAUCAAUGGAGUUUAACUCUAUCGAUAGACAACUUUUAAGUAAUAAACCAACACAUGAGUUCAUCUCUAUUGAUACUCAAGUUCUAAGUCCCUUAUUCAAUACUAAAAUCCAUGAGAAUUAAACUAACCGUAGUUUAACAUGUGAUUAACAAAUGGUAAAAGGUUCAAAAAAUACAUCAAUUAUAAAAGAAAUAAAAUCAGCAAAGAGACCACAUCAGAAAUUUCUUAGAUGUCCGAAACUAUUAAAAGAAUUCACAUACCAAAUCAAAAAAAGUAGAAAAUGCUUAAGCUCCUUAAGGUAAUUUGAAGUAUGAAAGUGAAUGGCAUAUAAUCCAAUAUAAAAAAAAAAUGGUUUUAGUGCCGUAUAAAGAGAAGUUAAUGGUGGUUACAGAAGUGGGGAAAGUUGAGUACAAAUCAGAUAAUGGGAGGUUCCUAAACUUCCUUAAAUCAAUUUUAAUUUCAAAAAUAAAAUAAUAAAAAAUAAAAAAUAGCAUAAAAGAAAUAAGAUAAAAAUUACUUUUCUAAAAUUGCAUGCAAGUAUACAAAAAUAACAUAUGUUGAUAUUACAUCGAGAAAGGUCCAUCAGCCCUAGUUGGGCUAUUCACUGCAUAGAAUGUCGGAGAACAACUUGUUGUGGUAGCUGUUGGGAAAAUAUGCUCUUUAAAAGCAUGUGUGUUUAUUUAAAUGUAAUAAACAUUUUUUCUGAUUAAUAAAAAUAAUGAGGUAUUUUGUGCAAAUAUCUUAAUUGCAUUAAUAUUUUUAUUAAAGUCCAUUUAAUCAUAUUAUAUGUAUUUAUGUGAUCACCAUGUGGAUUCACAGAAGACAUAAAAUACAAGUUAUCUUAUGAUUAAAUAAAUUUAGUUCGCAGUUGAUAAAUAAAGUUGUGCACUUUAUUUAGGUAUAGAUUGUAAUAAAUUCAUUGAAUGAUUUGUCUUAAUCAUGUAUGAAUUUAUUGAUGUAGUACGACUACAUUGAACAGGAUCACAUAUGAGAUUUAAUUAACCUUGAAAUGACUGUCAGACUUAUUAAAUCUCAUUGGCAUUGAUUUUACUGUAAUCUUAAUCUUGAGUUAGUUAUGAUUUCAUGAUUGUAAUUGUUAUUCCAUUUGAGUUACCAAUGGGCAUGACACAUACAUGUAGUCUAGAUUACUCGGUAUCUUGGUGGGAGCAUUUAUGAGUAUUGGAGUUAUAGAUUAACAAUAUAGAAUUUGUACAACACAUCUCUUGAUGGGUUUUCGGCACUUGAUCAUAGAAUUCUCUAGCCAGAGUGUGUCAACAUAUUUAGUAUGUUGAAAAUGAUCAUUAGAGAAAACCAGUAAAGAUCAAGGAAUAAGAUGUUAUUAAAUUGAUUGGACAGUUGAGAUAUCAAUUUAAUUAACGAUGUGGUACAAAGGAUUGUGCAGUAAAGAAAUCAAUGUGGCUUGGGACGAAUUAUUAUUCGAGCAUACAAUUAUGGAAGUCAGUUCCAAUCUUUUAGUGGAGUAGAUUUGGAAUUAAAUAAUUGGGCUAGUUUAAUUAUAGGCCUAAUUAUUGUAGCCACUAUUGUAUGUUCCCAAAUGAUCCCCGGGUUAGCUCAUUUAAUUGACUGCACCACUACUGGACUAAUAAGCAAGAUAACUAGCUAUUUGGGUCAAAAGCCUAAAUAUAUCAUUUAGUGGGAGGCUCCAUUUAAUUAGUUUAUGUGUAAGGGGUCUUAUGUUAUUUUACAUGGUGGGUCCCCUAUAAAAUAAAAAGUAACGUGAGUUUUAUUUGUGAGCCUAGGGUUUUCACUAAAGGGAGAUAUAUAAGGCUUAUUUUCUCUAAAGAAAAAGGUGAAGCCACUUUAUACAGAUCAGAGAAUAAGAUUUUUCUCUCUAUUGUUGAGAGAAAAAUUUUCUCGUGCUAGUUGCUUUGGUAGUGAUAAAGGCGCCCACACGUCAAGUGCAGAUCGUACUUGAGUCAUAACCUGGAAGAUCAUUGGUGACAGUUCGUGAUCUAACAAGCGUGGUGGUGACGGAUCGUGAUCUAACAGGAGUGGUGGUGGCGGAUCAUGAUCUAGGAGCUUAAAUCACUUCAGCGGAAAAAGCUAACUCGGAUUUUCAAGGUACGAUUUCUAGAAUACAAAUUCUUAUAUAUUAUAUGAGAGCGAUCUUCAAAAGGUUUUAUAAAAAAUUUAAAAACCUAAUUUUUCCCCAACAAUUGGUAUCAGAGCCAUCUCAUAUUAAUAUAUAAGAAUUUCGUAUGAAAUUAAUCUUGAUAUUUAUGUAUUAGAGUGGCACAAUUUAUUCAGAUAUAUAUUAUUUGUUUAAUAUAUGAAUAAAGCAUGUUUAUGGUUUGUCUUAAUUCAUGGUUAGAUUUUCUGUUGUAUUUUUCGUUUGGAUCUUUAACAAGAGGGGUGGUUUUUAUCACAAUGUUUCCCUCUUGAUUUAUUUUACUGUUAUAGAAUUUUUGUAAGCCAAAAAUUGGCCUAGGAAAUUUGUAAAUAAAUCACGGAUGACAAAUCAAAGCGACGGAGGCCGGAAAUUUCGACAUCGACCGCUGACCAGCGCACUCGCUACAACCAACGAGCGGCACACGCUGCAAGCGCAUGCUGGCAGUGCGCGCAGCAAGCAGCGCGCGCGGCCAGCCUGGCCAGCGGCGCGCGUUCCAGCAAGCAGCGCGCGCAGGGAUGGUUUGUUUCCGGCAUAUCGGCAACGGCAAACUCGACGUUGAUAGCGGCUGUCCGAUGAGAUUGGCCUGAACAGUGGCCGUUUGUGGAGAUGGCGACUGGGGAAGAAGAAAGAAAGAAAAAUAUGGAUUUAGGGUUUCAUGGCUUUUAUCAUGGAGAUCCCUAUGGUUCCAUAAUUUUUCACUUGGGCAAUUAAGUUUUAAUUUUUUGCAUUUAAGUCUAAAAAUAGUUUUCGGCUUAAAGAAUCCUAGUUUUAGGUCCAAUUGAAAUUUGGGCUUAAUGGAUUAAAAAUGCAUAGAUAAAAUUAAAUACAUUAAAAUUUAUUUUUGGUCCAAAAGUUUUAUUUUAAUAAAAAAAAUUAUUUAUUUAUUUAUUUCCUUUAAAAAUUAAAAUUGGACCAAUUAGAAAUUAUUUAUUUAUCUCUCAUUUGUACUUGGGAGACAGUCUAUUGUAAGUAGUGUGUAUUUUUGCAUGUCUAGGAAAGUUCUGUCAACAAAGGCGAUAAGUGUAUAAGGAUUCUGGUUUUUAAUUGGGACCAAGUUCCCAUCUAGUUUCCUGGAAACUUUCUUGGUGCAUUUAUUCACGCGAAAUUAACAUCAUAGAGACUGUUUUUCAAGUGAAAAUAGUUCGUUGAGAAAAUGGUAGAAGGUGAAACUUUCAAAAUUGGGGAGAGAUCUACCGAGACUAUUUCAGGAGACACUUCAGGUGGGAGGCGAGAUUUGUCAAAUCGCUAUUCAGCACCUGUAUAGAAGGCCAGAAGAUCGAUGUUGAAAAGUUUGAUGGGAAAAUCAACUUCGGCAUGUGGAGGCGCGAAGUUAUGGAUGCCCUUAUUCAAAUCGAUCUCGAUGUUGUUCUGAAAAAUAAAAGACACUUGUAUGAUGAAGAAAUUUGGGAUCGUAUGAAUGAAAAAGCAUGUGGUCAGAUCAGAUCUUGUUUGACCAAGGAGGUGAAAUACUUGGUGAAAGAUGAGGAGUGUGCGGUGACUUUGUGGCGUACAUUGGAGGAGAAGUACCUGGUGAAAAGUCCUGAAAAUCGCCUUCAUGCAAUGAGCCAAGUAUAUGGCUUUCGAAUAAAGUCUGGGGUGUCAAUGCACGAUCAUGUUUUAAGAUUUGAAAAGUUACUUGCUGAUUUGAAGAAUCUUGAUGAAGAUAUUAAGGAUGAAGUCAAGGCUAUGAUUCUGUUACACUCACUACCAGAGGAAUAUAGCCAUUUUGUGACUACUUUAAUAUAUGGGAAGAGUGUGAUCAUCUUUAAAGAUGUUUGCACAACAUUGACUAGCUUAGAGAUUCGAAAUAAUGAUAAAAAUUCUAAACGAGCAUCGUCUGAAGCUUUGGUGAGUAGAGAUUGGGCGAUGGAGAAACAAAAGAAGCGUGGUGGAAAGAAUUCUCGAUCCAAAUUGAAAAGCAGAAAUAUAGCUCGAGAUGAGUGUGCCUUUUGUCAUGAAAAGGGCCAUUGGAGGAAAGAUUGUCCAAAGGCUCAAAAGAGAGAUGGGAAGAAACCAGCAGCAGCAAACAUGGCACGGAAAGAUGAGGGCUCUGAUUAUUCACUAAGUAUUACUCUUGCAGCAUACGUGGCUAGUUCGAGUGAGUGGAUACUUGAUACUGGAGUGGUUUACGGAUUUUUAUCAUUUGUGUCCUAUUAAGGAAUGAUUUACGGAUUUUCGUAAUCUGGAAUCCGGUGCAGUUGUGAUGGGGAAUGAUCAACCUUGUCGCACAAUGGGGAUAGGAACAAUUCGGCUCAAAAUGUUUGAUGAAAUGAUCAGAGAACUCAAAGAGGUUAGAUUUGUUCUAGCUUUAAAGAAAAAUCUAAUUUCUGUGGAUUUCUGUGGGUGCUUUGGAAGCUAAAGGCUACAAGGUUACCAUUGAAGAUGGUAUAAUGAAGUUUACACAUGGGGCUAUGGUGAUUCUGCAAGGGGUUCGGUGUCACAAUCUGUACUAUUUGAAGGGAGGUACAACUGAUGAAGCAAAUGUUGUUAAGGCGCACAGUGACACCACCAAGCUAUGGCAUGUACGAUUGGGACAUGCUGGAGAGAAGUCUUUGCAAACUCUGAUGAGGCAUGGACUCUUAAAAGGUACCAAAACCUGUAAAUUAAAUUUCUGUGAGCAUUGUGUAGUAGGCAAGAAAACAAGGGUCAAGUUUGGUAUAGUUAAUCACGAUACUCGUGAGAUUCUUGAAUAUGUUCAUAGUGAUGUAUGGGGACCAACCAAGACUGCAUCAAUUGGUGGAAGCCAUUACUUUGUUACAUCUAUUGAUGAUUUCUCUAGACGUGUGUGGGUGUACACCAUGCGAGCAAAGGAUGAGGUUCUAGAGAUUUUCGUGAAAUGGAAGAAAUUGGUGGAGACUCAAACUGGCAGAAAGAUCAAAGUAUUACGAUCUGAUAAUGGGGGUGAAUAUACUUCUGAUCCAUUCUUACAAGUAUGCCAGAACGAGGGUAUUAAAAGACAUUUCACGGUGAGACAUACUCCGCAACAGAACGGUGUGGUUGAGCGUAUGAAUCGUACUUUACUGGAGAAGAUACGGUGUAUGUUAUCUAAUGCUGGUUUAGAUAAAAAGUUUUGGGCUGAAGCUGUGAGCUACGCAAGUCACUUGGUAAACCGGUUGCCUUCUGCUGCAAUUGGAGGUAAAACUCCUAUGGAAAUGUGGUCUGGAAAGCAUGCACAAGACUAUGAUUCCCUUCGUGUAUUCGGGUGUUCAGCUAAUCAUCAUGUCAAAGAUGGUAAACUGGAUCCUCGUGCUAGAAAAGCUAUCUUUGUGGGAUUCAAAGGUGGAGUAAAGGGCUUUAAGCUUUGGGAUCUCGAAGACAAAAAGUUUGUGUGUAGCAGAGAUGUCACAUUUGAUGAAGCUUCAAUGAUGAAAGCGUCAAGUUCUCAGCAGGUGGAGAACAAGACCAAAAAGGUAUUGCAGCGGGUGGAGUUUGAUGCAACUCCAUAUGUACCAGUUAGUUCUACAUCAAAUAAGAGUUCAACUAUGGAGGUGACACCUAGAGUUGAAGAAGAGGUCAUUUUUUCUGAUGUCUCACAAAAUGAAGAAACAAUUGAUGAUGUAGAUAAUGAUGAUUUUAUAGCAACAAGGAGGCCAAGAAGAGAGAUAAAGAAACAGGGAUGGCUUACUAAAGAUAUGGUGGUAGCAUAUGCACUUCCAGUUAUUGAUGAUGACAUCCCCAACACUUUUUGUGAAGCAUUACGCAGCAGUGAAAGUGAUCAGUAGAAGUUAGCCAUGGAGGAAGAGAUGAAAUCUCUCCAUCAAAACCAGACUUGGGAACUUGUAAAGUUACUAAAUGGGAAAAGGGCUAUUGGUAAUAAAUGGGUCUACACCACAAAGCAAGGAUCUCCGAAUCAAACAACUCCUCGAUACAAGGCAAGGCUCGUGGCAAAAGGUUUUGCUCAAAAGGAAGGUAUUGACUACAAUGAAGUUUUCUCCCCAGUUGUAAAACAUACUUUCAUUCGUAUCCUACUUGCCGUCGUUGCAGAAUAUGAGUUAGAGUUGGCUCAAUUGGAUGUUACGACGGCGUUCUUACAUGGAGAUUUGGAAGAGGAAAUCUAUAUGAUUCAGCCUUGUGGUUUCAAAGUUGCUGCAAAGGAGAAUCAUGUGUGUAGGUUGAUUAAAUCUUUGUACGGACUGAAGCAAUUGCCAAGGCAGUGGUACAAAAGAUUUGAUCAAUUUAUACAAGGGCAGAAAUUCACCAGAAGUGAACACGAUCAUUGUGAUUACUUUAGAAGACUACCAGAUGGAGCUUUCAUCUAUUUGUUACUCUAUGUCGAUGAUAUGCUUAUAGCUUCGAAGAAUAGAGAUGAGAUCGAAAGAUUAAAGAAGCAGCUGGCUUCUGAGUUCGAGAUGAAAGACUUGGGUGAUGCACAGAGAAUACUUGGGAUGGAGAUUCGUAGAGACAAGAAGAAUGGGAGCGUAUGAUUGACUCAAAAGUCUUAUUUGAAGAAAGUGCUAGAAAGAUUCAGUAUGGAUGACAAAACUAAACCGGUAUGUACACCUCUAGCUCCUCAUUUCAAAUUAAGCUCUUCUUCAUGUCCUAGAUCUCAAGAAGAGCGCGAUUACAUGGCUCGUGUUCCAUAUGCUAGUGCUGUGGGUAGUCUUAUGUAUGCUAUUGUAUUCACAAGGCCCGAUAUAUCUCAAGCAGUGAGCAUGGUUAGUAGAUACAUGCACAAUCCGGGUAAAAAUCAAUGGCUUGCGGUAAAGUGGAUUCUCCGAUAUUUGUAUGGGACAGUUGAUGUUGGGUUAUUAUUCAAGAAAGAUUGUGGUCAACAAUGUGUUGGGUAUUGUGAUUCUGAUUUCGCUGGAGACCUUAACAAGAGAAGAUCAACAACGGGCUACGUAUUCACAUUGGGUGGAGGUCCGGUUAGCUGGAGAUCGAUUCUACAAUCGACAAUUGCUCUAUCCACUAUGGAAGCAGAGUAUAUGGCAGCAAUUGAAGCUGUAAAAGAAGCUAUCUGGUUGAAAGGCUUGUUAGGUGAUUUGGGAGUAAUCCAGGAGAACAUUACGAUCUUCUGUGAUAAUCAAAGUGCGAUAUUCCUUGCAAAGAAUCAAACAUAUCACGCUCAGAUGAAGCACAUAGAUGUGAAAUAUCAUUAUGUGAGGGAGAUUAUCGAGAGCGGUGUUGUGUUGUUGAGAAAGAUCGAUACCAAAGAUAAUCCAUCAUAUAUGUUAAUGAAGGUAGUUUCUGGAGUUAAGUUUCAACAUUGCUUGAAACUAAUUCAAAUCCUUCGAUUGUGUUAAGAUAUGUCCUUCGGAAAUUUUGAACUACGGUUGGCUUGAUCCCAAAUUUUGGGUACGUUUGGCAGUCACAGAGAUACAGCCACUUUGCGGAUGAUGAUUGGUUGGGAGUCGGCUCAGAUUUGAACAAACCUUCGCCGAGGUGGAGAAUUGUUGAAAAGUCAAAGAAUUGCUUGCCAAUUUCAAAAGCAAAGUUGGUGGGUUUGCCAAAUUCAAAAAAACAAAGUUGGCCGGCUUGCUAAUUUCAAAAGGCAAAGUUAGGUGUUGAAAAACUUGUACAUGCAAUAUAAGAUCCAGCUCAACGUUUUGACCAAAUGAACCCAACUUGGAGCAGAAUGCACUCUAUAAAUAGAGAAGCAUUUUGCAAUUGUCAAUCAUCCCAACAAUUUGUUAAGCUUAUAAAUUUCUAAGCUUUUGAGAGUUCUAAGAGUGUGAAUAAUUGGAGAGUGUGUGUGAGAGUACUUGGUAUAUUUGGGUUCUGGGAAAGUGAGAUUUCUUUACUCAAAUAAUUAUUAAUAAUAUAAUUAUUUUUCUCUUGCUUCCGUGGACAUAGGCAUAUUGUCGAACCACGUAAAUUUUGUGUCCUUUAUUUUUCAGUAAUUAUUUGGUGUGUUUGAUUCCGCAUUCCGCGCACAACACCUACAGGUGACUAAUUAAUGGGAAAUUGACAAUGACAAAAGCAAUUUAUGAGUUUUGUAGGCUGGCAUGCCUAUGUUAUAGCAUUGUUCGAUGAACUGCCACACCACAUGUUUUUGACGAGAAAUAAAAACAUCAAGAUAUUGCCCGCUUGCCGUAUUCCACAUCGUGAAUUGUAUCUCUGUUCCUCAAUUUUCAGUGUUCCAUACAUAAAACCAUUUUCAGUUUCUCUUGUUAUCAAUUCAAUUUUCUUGUUCGUGACGAUCUUGAUUCCUUUCUUUCUGGUAAAACGGAGCCAUGUUUGCUGUUGGAGAGGUCUUCCUCAACGCUUUCUUUCAGGUGUUGUUUGACAGGUUGGCUUCUCGUAAUUUGCUCAGCUUUGUGCGUCAACUCCAAGGCGGGGUUGAUUCGGAGCUCAAAAAGUGGGAGAAAAAGCUGAAGAUGAUUCAGGUUGUGCUUAGCGAUGCAGAGGAGAAGCAACUGACUGACGAGGCUGUGAAGAUGUGGCUGGACGAACUCCAAGACUUGGCUUAUGACGCUGAGGACAUUCUUGAUGAGUUUGGUACUCAAGCUUUGGAAAGGAAGUUGAUGGCGAAAAAUCAGGAUAGCACUGGCCAGAUUCUUAGUUUCAUACCGGCUAGUUUGAAUCCGAAUGCUAUUAUGUCCAAUUAUAGCAUGGGAUCCAAGAUUAAAGAUAUUACUAGCCGGUUGGAGCAACUCUGCCAAUAUAGAAUUGAACUUGGGCUGCAACGGAUUGCUGGAGGGGCAUCAUCACCUACUGCUGCUGCACACCAGAGGCCACCCAGUUCAAGUAUCACAACAGAGCGUGAAGUAUUCGGAAGAGAAGAAGAUAAGGCCAAAAUUCUUGAUAUGGUAUUGACCGAUAUUAGAAUUCGUAAUAAGAUGUUUGGAAACAAAGAAAAACAGAGAAAAUGAAAAAGGAAACUUCACGAUUUAUUAACCAGAAUAUUCAAUGCUUAUUAAGCUUACUUAGCUAAGCUUAUAUACAAUUAUUCUAACUAAUUAAACAACUGCAAAACAACUAAUAACAACUUCAGAUUUAGUUUAGCCAUUGAGCUCUUGCCACAUGUCAUUCAGUUACAUUCAAUCUUGUCCAGCUCAGCAGCUCUGUCCAGCUCAGCAGCAACUAUAUCUUCAACAUCCCCCCUCAAGCUCAACCGAGGAAGUAAGGUUGAGCUUGUCACGUAAGUAGAGAAAAGGGUGAUAAGAAAGAGCUUUGGUGAGAAUAUCAGCAGUUUGUUCUGAGCUAGAAAUAUAUUGAACCUUAAGACAUUGAGCAGCAACUUUCUCUCGAACAAAAUGAACAUCUAAUUCAAUGUGUUUUGUUCUGGAAUGAAACUUAGGAUUAGAGGCUAAAGCAGCUGCACUUUGAUUAUCACACCAUAUGAUUGGAAUGGAGGGAAGAGUAAGACCAAUCUCAGCAAGAAGAGAACGAAUCCACAAGACUUCAGCUGCUGCCAUUGCUAGUGCUCGAUAUUCAGACUCAGCACUAGAUCGAGAGACCACUGCCUGUUUCUUAGAGCACCAAGACACUAGAUUUGGACCCAUAUAGACACAAUAACCAGCCACUGACCUCCUAUCAUCUCUGUCUCCAGCCCAAUCAGCAUCACUGAAACAAUCAAUCUGUAUGCUGCCAUGAUUGUAGAACUGUAAACCAAGAUUAACAGUACCCUUCAGAUAUCGUAAAACCCUUUUACAAGCCUGCCAAUGAUUGACAGUUGGAGAAGAUAGAAACUGACUGAGCUUGUUGACAGAGAAAGCAAUCUCUGGUCUGGUCAAUGUUGCAUACUGAAGAGCACCUAUGGUGCUUCUGUAUAGAGUAACAUCAGAAAAGGGUUCACUAUCAGCUUUAGUAAAAGCCACUCCAGAAAGCAUAGGAGUAGAACAAGGAGUACUAUCCUGCAUGUGCACCUUGGCAAGCAAAUCAGUGAUAUACUUGGAUUGAGAAAGAUGAAUACCAGAUUUAUUGUAAAUGACCUGAACUCCCAGAAAAUAAUUCAAUGCACCAAGAUCUUUAAGUGCAAAAACAGACUGGAAGUUGGUGAUGGUCUGCUGAACAAGCUGAGGAUUGGAGCCUGUAAUAAUAAUAUCAUCUACAUACACCAAGACAAGUAGCAGAUGACCUUGUGUGCUCUUAAAGAAGAGUGAAGUGUCUGAAAUAGAAUUUGUAAAGCCCCACUGAGUUGUAAGAACUAGUUUGAGUCUGUCAAACCAUGCCCUUGGAGCCUGUUUAAGGCCAUAAAGAGCUUUGUGCAGCUUACAGACAUAAUCAGGCCUGGAACUAUCUAUAAACCCCUCAGGCUGUUGCAUAUAAACUUCUUCAGUGAGGUAGCCAUUAAGGAAGGCAUUAUUAAUGUCUAUUUGCCUCAGUACCCAAUGAUUCAUGACAGCCAUACUCAAGAUAAUUCUGAUGGUUGAAGACUUAAUGACAGGACUGAAUGUUUCAUGAAAAUCCAGCCCUUGAGUUUGGUGAAAUCCCUUAGCAACAAGUCUAGCUUUGUAUCUAGAGACACUGCCAUCAGGAUUAUAUUUAAUCCGAAAUACCCACUUAUUCCCAAUUACUUUAAUGGGAUGUGUAGGUUUGACAAGAGUCCAGGUAUGAUUAUUGACUAAGGCUUGAUAUUCAUCUGUCAUUGCUUUAUGCCAAGCUGAAUCUUGAAGGGCUUUUAAGGUAGUAGCAGGUUCUGUAGGUUUGGUAGGAUUGGCUGUAAUAUAGGCUUUAGGUUUGAAGAUACCAGCCUUUGAUCGAGUGAGCAUUGGAUGACCAGUAGAUGACUGCAAUGGUGGAGUUAAAUGAUGAACAGGUGAGGUAGAUGGUUCUGAGUGUGAUUGUAUAGAAGAUUGAGAAGGAGAGUCUGGAGAGGAUUGAGAGAACCUGAGAUCAGCUGCUGUAGAGGAUGAAGACUUGGUUAUAUCAAGUUGAAUCAAAGGACAAACAGAAGAUGAACAAUGUGAAGAAGACUGAGAUGAAUGAUCUGAAGAAGAGCAAGAGUGACUGACAGAGGAAAAAUCAACUCCUGACUGAAAAGGAAAACAUGACUCAUCAAAUGUAACAUGGUUACUGACAUAGAUUCUACCAGAGGAAUGAAGACACAAGUAGCCUUUGUGAAGGGAGCUGUAACCAAGAAAAAUACAUCUAGCAGUUCGAAACUCUAACUUAUGAUGAUUAUAAGGCCUCAGAUAUGGGAAACAAGCACAUCCAAAAACUCUCAUAACAGAAUAAUCUGGUCUUUUGUUGAAUAAUUUUUCAAAAGGUGAUUUGUUAUCCAGAAUGGGUGUAGGGAGCCUAUUUAUGAGAAAUGUGGCAGUAUGGAAAGCAUUCCACCAAAAUUUCAGUGGUAAAUGUGCUUGAGCAAGAAGGGUAAGGCCUGUUUCCACUAUAUGUCUAUGUUUGCGUUCAAUCUUUCCAUUUUGAUGGUGAAUAUAAGGACAAGGAUGUCUAAAUUGGAUUCCCUGCUCAGCAAGAUAAGGAAGAAAUGGCCUAAAUUCACCUCCCCAAUCUGUUUGAAGACACUUGAUUUUCCUAUUUAGGCAUUUUUCUAUCAUAUGCUGGAAUUCAAUAAAGGUUUGUAAGGCUUGAGAUUUGGUAACAAGAGGGAAUAUCCAGGUGAACCUAGUGAAAUCAUCUAAGAUGGAAAGAUAGUAGUGAUAGCCUUGAGAGGACAGCAAAGGAGCUGGACCCCAUAGAUCAGCAUGCAACAGCUCCAGUGGUUGAAUGGUAGUGGUGUCUAUAGAAGGAAAAUGCUGCAUGUGACACUUUCCAAAUUGGCAAGCAUUACAAAAAAUUGGUUUCAGGGCUCUAUUGAUAUCGAGAGAAGGAUGCAAAUGCUUCACAAUUUGUUUAAGAGCAUGCACAGUUGGAUGACCCAUUCUUUUAUGUAAAACAUUGUAAUCAACUGAUUUUGAAUGAGUAACAGACAAGGCCAUUGAGGCAUCAUUAUUGAAUUGAGAAAUAUUUACAUCUGUCAAAAUUUCUCCAGAAUGUAUAGAGUUUGAAACAUUGGAAUGACUAAUCAUUGACACUGGAGAGGAACAGACAUUUGACACAGAACUGGAAUUUGAGAUGACACAGAAAACAUUAGACGGAACUCUAUUUGAAACUGCAGCAUGAGACACUACAACAGGACCUUCAACUUGAUAUAAUCCUCCUCUAGCAAUCCCCUUGAGCAAGAUGAUCCCUGAUUUCUUGUCCUUGACAAAACAGGAGGUUUUAUGGAAUUCAACAACAACAUCAUUGUCAGCAAGUAAUUUAGAUACACUUAAAAGGUUUUUGGUUAUAGUUGGGACAUGCAAAAUAUUAUUAAGAUAGAUAGAUGUUGCAGCAAGUGUAUUCAAUCGUGUGCACCCAACAUGUUUAAUAUGUAAUCCCAUGCCAUUUCCUACAUGUAGCUUAUCAAAACCAUGAUAAACUGAGUAAGAAGAAAAGAUACCUGCUUCCUUAGUCACAUGAUUGGUUGCCCCGGAGUCAAUAUACCAAGCAGGAUCAGCUACAACUCCAUAAUCAGCAACUGGACCAGUGGGAGCAAAUUGUGCAGUGGGAAUAGCAGAAGGAGCAACUCCAUAGUUAGCAAAUGGAGUAGCAAUUGCACCAUUGUAUUGACCUUGUAAUCCUUGAAACACAAGAAACCCUUGAGGAUACAUAACAUUUGCAUUCUGAUAUGCAACAUUCCCUUGAAACAUGGGUGCAUUAUAUCUAGGAGCACCAGUUGCAGUUCCAUAAAAAUUUCCAUAACCUCUUCCAAACAUGUUCUGAGGCUGACCAGGAAAGCCUCUAAAAUUGAAUCCACCUCUAGGCCUAAAGCCACCUCUUCCUUGUCUAGGAAUAAAGUUCUGAUUAAAUCUGUUCCUGCAUUUGUAUGCUCCAUGACCAGGUAUGAAGCAUAUUUGACAAAUUACUUCCUUAUCAACAUUAUAUCCUCCUUUGCCAUUAUCAAAAUUUCCACCAUUAAAACCUCUCUGAUUAGCAUUAUUGAACUUAUUGUAAUUCUGUCCUUUCUGAGCAAAAUUAGCUGACAUAUCAUGCAACAAUUCAUUUUGCACCUUUCCCUUACUCAUCUCAACCCUAGUUUCAUGACUAAGCAUUAAGGAAUACACUUCUUCAAUAGUGAGAUUAUCUUUUUCCAGCCUAGCAAGUAUAGUUGUCACUAAUGACUCAUAGUUGUCAUCUAAACCAGUGAGCAAAUGCAUUAUAAAAUCUGUUGAAGCAAGAGGAUUACCACCAAUAGCUAAGCUAUCUGCAAUUUUUUUCAUCUUAUUGAAGUAAUCACUUACUGACAUAGCUCCUUUCUUUGUGGUUUGAAUCUGCAUUUUCAGAGGCAUGUAUCUAGCCUUUGACUGUGACAUGAACAUCUCGGCAAGUUUCUCCCAGAUCUCAAGUGAAGUAUCACAAUCCACAACCAUGAUAAGUACAUUGUCUACCAUAGAUGACAGCAUCCAGCUCUGUAGAAGCUUGUCAGCUUUCUUCCAGUCAAUAUAGUCAGAAUUUUCACGUCUGCUUGAGCUAGGAGCUUCUGAUCUACUGGCAGCAUUCUCAUAUGAGGAAAGAAAACGAUCUGGACAAGGAGAUUCUCCAUUGAUAAAACCUUCAAGUCCAUUGGCAAUAAUCGAAGCUUGAAUUUGAGCUCUCCACACCAGAUAAUUUGUUCGAUCAAGUUUUGUUGGUUGAAUAAAAGAAAAAGAAAGUGAAGACGAUCCUGAAUUGCUUUGAUUCGUCAUGUUUCGUGGCUCUGAUACCAUAUUAGAAUUCGUAAUAAGAUGUUUGGAAACAAAGAAAAACAGAGAAAAUGAAAAAGGAAACUUCACGAUUUAUUAACCAGAAUAUUCAAUGCUUAUUAAGCUUACUUAGCUAAGCUUAUAUACAAUUAUUCUAACUAAUUAAACAACUGCAAAACAACUAAUAACAACUUCAGAUUUAGUUUAGCCAUUGAGCUCUUGCCACAUGUCAUUCAGUUACAUUCAAUCUUGUCCAGCUCAGCAGCUCUGUCCAGCUCAGCAGCAACUAUAUCUUCAACAACCGAUACCCCCAGUGAUCAUGCCAACUUUGUUGUAAUACCCAUUGUUGGCAUGGGCGGGAUAGGAAAAACAACUCUUGCUCGGGAGGUCUACAAUGACAAGGCCGUUGAAGAUUCAAAGUUUGAUGUAAAAGCAUGGGUUUGUGUCUCUGAUGUCUUUGAUAUUUUGGGCAUCUCAAAGGCACUUCUCGAAUCAAUCACCCGCAGGCCUUGUCUUCUGAACAGUUUAAAUGAAGUGCAGGUUGAGUUGAAAGUAGCUGUGGAUAAAAAAAGAUUCUUGCUGGUCUUAGAUGAUGUUUGGAACGAGGACUACAGCUUGUGGGUAGACUUAAAAGCUCCAUUCUUGGCAGCUGCACCAAACAGUAAGAUGAUCGUCACCACAUGCAAUUCAAAUGUUGCAUCAAUAAUGGGACCAAUUGAACAUUAUAAUCUCAAGAGACUGUUAGAUGAUGAUUGCUGGUCCAUUUUCAUACAGCAUGCACUUGAAUCUAGAGAUCUUAACGCACAUCAAAUUUCAGAAUCGUUCCACAAGAAAGUUGUUGGCAAGUGUGGAGGCUUGCCCCUGGCAGCAAAAACAUUAGCGGGCCUUCUACGUACUACGAGGCAUGAUGCCUGGGACGAUAUCUUGGAUAGCAAACUAUGGGAUUUACCACGACAAAAUGACGUUCUCCCUGUGUUAAGAUUGAGUUACCAUCAUCUUCCGUCUCAUUUGAAAAGAUGUUUUGCUCAUUGUGCCAUCUUUCCGAAAGAUUAUGAAUUCAAUGAGAAGGAGCUGACUUUCUUAUGGAUGGCUGGAGGUAUUAUUCGACAGUCAAGAAAGAAUGAGCAGCUGGAAGAAUUGAGCAGCAAGUGCUUUCAAGAUCUAGUGUCGAGGUCUAUUUUUCAACAAACCAGCUCUGGUAGUGCUAAAUUUGUAAUGCACGACCUUAUCCAUGAUCUUGCUGAAUUGGUUUCUAGAGAAACCAUUUUCAGGUUAGAGGAGUCCACCAACUUGUCAUCAAGAAGAUUUGAAAGGGUUCGCCAUUCUUCGUAUGCCCGUGGUAGGCUUGAUGGUAAAUCUAAGUUCGAGGUUUUCAAUGAAAUUGAACAUCUACGAACAUUCUUGCCAUUAUGCAUAAGAGGUGGCGUUACUUCUGGUUAUAUAACUAGCAUGGUUCUCUAAGAUUUGUUGCCGAAGUUCAAAAGGUUGAGGAUGCUGUCUUUAGACGGAUACCGUAUUAGUGAGUUACCAAUUCCAUUUGAAGAUCUGAGACUUUUAAGGUUCCUAAACCUUGCUGAUACUGACUUAAGAAGUUUACUUGAGUCAACAUGCGCAUUGCUGAACUUGGAAAUUUUGACAUUAAGAAAUUGUUCCCGUUUGAUAAAGCUACCGCCCAAAAUGAUGAACUUGAUCAAUAUUCGUCAUCUCGAUAUAAGAGGUGCAAAUUUGUUGAAGGAGAUGCCAUUCGGAAUGAAAGAGUUGAAGAAUCUUCAAACAUUGUCCAACUUUAUUGUGGGCAAGGGUGAAACUGCAUCUGGUUUGGAAGAUUUAGGAAGUUUAAACUUUCUUUGUGAUGAACUUUGCAUUGCUGGAUUAGAGAAUGUGAAUAAUCCACAGAAUGCAAGAGAAGCCGCAUUAUGUGAGAAGCUCAAUCUUCAUGCAUUGACUCUAGAUUGGGGGUCUCAAUUUGACAAUUCUCGAGAUGUAGCAGUAGAAGAGCACGUGCUUGACAUUCUACAGCCUCAUAAAUGUAUAAAAAAGGUGGCAAUCAGGAACUAUGGUGGUGCAAGAUUUCCACUUUGGAUAGGAGAUCCGUGGUUCUCCAAGAUAUAAUUCCUUGAAUUGGAGAACUGUAACAAUUGUGUAUCUUUGCCAUCGCUUGGUCUAUUGAGUUCACUUAAGCACCUUGCUGUCAAAGGGCUGAAGAAGCUAAAAAGCAUAGAGUCUGAAGUUUAUGGGGAGGGUUUCUCAAUGCCUUUUCCAUCAUUGAAGAUUCUACGUUUUGAGAAUUUGCCAGAGUGGUGGCAUUGGGACACCGAUAUCAAAGGAAAUGUGCACGUUGAUAUAUUUCCUUGUCUCCAAGAACUUUCCGUUGUGAAAUGUCCCAAACUCUCUGAAAAACUGCCUGAGCUUCUGCCCUCCUUGGAGAUACUUGUUGUUAGUAAAUGUGAAAAGUUGGUAGUUUCAUUGUCAAGCUAUCCAAGGCUCUGCAGAUUAGAGGUUGAUGAGUGCAAAGAACUAGUGUGCAGGAUCCCAAUUGAUUCUAAGUUGAUAAAGUUCAUGACUAUUUCAAAUAGUUCAUUAGACAUGAUUGGAUGCAAGGGGAUGCUAUACGAUAGUCAAGCUGGCUCUUCACUGCCAAAACCCAUGACCACUACAAAUGUUUUGGAGUUUGGAAAAUUACUGGAGCCUGGAUUUCAGAUAUUAGAAACUUUGGUAAUUGGCAAUUCUGAACAGCUCAAGCCAUGGAGGCAGGGAAGGGGACUUUCAAGUUUUAAUAGACCAGAACACCGGCUAAAAAUACUUGCUCACCCUGAUGAGGUAACAAUUGAGGAAAGUUGCGUAAGUCUUGUUUUGUUUCCAGAGAUCAAUUUCUUUCCCAGAAAUCUGCACUGUCUUCGAAUUUACAACAGCACUGCUUUCAAAUCCUUACCGGAGGAAAUGAUGGACAACAGUUCACAACUCGAAAGCUUGUAUAUCAAAGAUUGCCAUUCUCUACCAUUCAUCACAAGACGCAAGCUACCUUCAUCUCUAAAAAGGAUAGAGAUUGAGAAUUGUGAGAAAUUGCAACGUUUGUUCGAUGAUAAAGACGAUGCUUCUUCUUCUUCUCCUUCAUCCUCGUCUUCCCAAGUGAUGCUUCAACAUCUAAGUAUAAAGAAUUGCCAAGCGCUCUCCAGUUUGUCAUCGGGAAUUCAAUUACUUGAGUCGCUCGAAGAACUUGUGAUAACAAAUUGUCGAAAGCUGGAGUCAAUACCCGAUGGCCUGCACAAUCUUAACUGUUUACAGAAGAUUACUCUAGUGAGUUGUCCAAGUCUUGUUUCCUUCCCAGAAAGAGGGCUUCCCAACGCCAUUUCAUGGGUUGACAUUAGUUAUUGUGACAAGCUUGAAGCCCUGCCCAAUGACAUGCACAAACUCAACUCUCUCCAAACUUUAAGCAUAAUUCAAUGUCCAAAGCUUGAGUCGUUUCCAGAAGAAGGCUUUCCCACCAAUCUUAGAACGCUUAAAAUUGGAAAUUUCAAAAUGUACAAGACCCUCGUCCAGUGGGGGUUGCACAGGCUUUCCUCUCUCAGAAGCCUCUACAUUUAUGGAUGUCAUGAAGCAGAGUGUUUUCCAGACGAGAAGGUAGGAAUGACGCUGCCCACAUCUCUAACUCAUCUGUCCUUAUUGGGAUUCCAGAAAAUGAUACUUCUGUCUUCAGUGGGUUUCCAAAGACUCACGUCUCUUCAAUGUUUGAAGAUAUGGAAUUGCCCAAAUCUCACGUCAUUUCCAGAGGUAGGCCUUCCAUCCUCACUUUUGGAUUUAUACAUUAACAAUUGUCCUAGGCUUAAAAAGGCGUGCAAAAGGGACCAAGGAAAAGAGUGGCCCAAAAUUGCUCACAUCCCUUGCGUUGUGAUAGAUGGAAAAUUCAUAUACGAUCCAGAAUUGGAGGUGUAGAUUCUAUUAUUAAAGUCGGUUUAUUUAUAUUAUCCACUAUAACAAUCUCCUAUUAGUUUUUUUUUUUUUUUUUUAAUGAAAAAAAUUGCAGUUCUGUAUAAUUUAAAAUAUAUAUAUUAAUCCUCUGCCCUUAAUUGAAAAUACCACUCACUUGUUUCUGUUUUCACAAGUCAGAUUGUACGUUGAGGCUAUUUGCUUUUUAUCGGUGUUUGUUAAGGUAAUUAGUGUCUCAUAGGCUGAUUAUAGGCAGAUGAAAUUAUAACUUUUAACUUAAAAUUUAAUACCAUAGACAGAUAGAUGAUUUUUAAUCCAAAGGUUUUUAGAUGUGAUCAAAUUGUCACAUGCAUAACAUAUUAGGCAUGCAUGAUGUAUCACAAGGUUGAUACAUCUUAUAUGCCACGUGAUGAAAUUAAGGAUGUUUCUCUUACAAGGGACACAUCCUUACAUGUUCAAAUUUGAACAUGUAACUUCCAAGUGGUUAAUGGAAGUUACUUGUUCAAAAUUCGAACAUAUAACUGUCAUAUUGUUGCCUAUAUAGAGGCAUGAACGCAUCACAAAUUCAUACAUUCCAAGACAUACUUAAAGUCUUAUCAUAUUAUGAUCUUGCAGUUUUGCAUGUAGCCACCAGCCUAAGGGCAGUGUAAAACGAUCCCAAAAACCAUCAAUAAUAACAAUGGAUAUAGUUCCUAAAUAAACUGAUGAAAUUUAAGGAUGAUUGGAUGAAACAGCUAUGAUAAAAUGAACUAUCUCGAACCGAGCGAAUGGCACUGACUCAUGAAUAAGUGUGGAUUCCAAAUAUCUUCAUAUCUUCAUAGAUAUUCAUUUCCGUGUUAAUUCGAGGACUUCUAGAAAUUUAGUUAGUUAUUCUAUGAAAUAGAUAUACUAAUAAUAAUAAAACAAAAACGACGGGUGUUACACAAAUUCACAAGUAAAACUGUACUACUUGGAAACUGUGAACAGUAUAGAUUGAAGAUCAUACGAUUGCUAUUUUCAUUGAGUUUCAUGCAUAAAACUUUAUCGAUUAUUAAAUUAGACAUCUUUAUCUUUCUAUCCAUAUGUUUAUUGUUCAAAAACUUAUUGUAUAUUAAUUGUUUUGAUUUUUAAAAAUUGAAACACUGGUGCUGGAAAAUUCUGAUUUUCAGUAGCGAUUCUCAAUUCUAUAAUUUAUUUCAUAACUCCAAAUACUUCUGAAAAUUCUGGGAAUUUUUAUUACUGUACACUUAUAUGUCUAGUUUCUGUCUUUUUAAUUUCGUAAUUUUUGGCUUUAUAUAAAAAUCAUAGAGUUAGACUGCGCAAUCCCAGAAACUGUUUUCCAGAAUUGCGAGGGCUGAUAUUUAGGGCAGUUUGGGAUAGUUUUUCAUCAGUAAAUGUCUUAUAAAUCUUUAAUUCUGACUCCUAUUGUUUCCUCUAAUUGUCAAAACUAGAAUCACUAUUUUUGGACAUGUGUAACUAAAGUUAUAAAUUUUUCAAGCAACAGUCCUCUGUUUAUAUCGUUAUUGGACAGUUUGGAUAAUUUUGUGGAAAAAUAAGUUUUCAGGGGAUGUUUUUAAACUCUAAUUGAUUAUGUAAAAAUUUAAAUUGAAUGCCAAUAUGUUGACAAUAGUGUUUUGUGAUAUUUGUGAUAUUUCCGACGUACUUAUAGCUUGUUAGAAAUCAGCUCCUAUAUAAUGGUCUAGUAUAGUUUAGUGAAUUGAUGUGCUUAAGUAAGAGUGCAUGGUUUAAGGAUUUUUGGAUUUUCCUAUCUAGGUCAGAAUUGAAUAAGAUAUUGAUAGUACUUUUUUCUUAACAAUCAUAGGCCAAAAGUGAGCUCGUUUGAUUUGGGUUAUUGUUGAUUGCUUUGUAUCAUGGUAAGUAAAUUCAUGCAUAAUAUUUAUUAAAGUAUACACGUAAAUAUUUAUUAAUAGAAUAAUGUUGUCCAAAUGGAUUGGCAAGUUAUGGUUUUGAAGUUAUUUUAAAAUGUUUUCUUAAAUUUGUUUUAAAAAUAACUUCAAAAUACCUGCUUCUCUAUAAAAUGUUUUCCUUAAAAAUAUUUGUAAAGCUUUGCCAAUUCAAUGUCUUGUAAGCGUUUUAUCGAAAUAUUAUGGAAUGAUUGAUAUUGGAAAUCUGAAAACUGUUUUUAAGGUUUUGGCUCAUUGUCCGUAGUUAUCGUUACUAAUAUUACUAAAUAGCUAGUUGUAUUGUGCGCACCUAUUGACGAUUAUUGCAGGGUAAAGUACCCUGGUAGAACUAUAAGUUGGGUCACCGAGAUUAUAGGUGACAUAUUGAACUAUUGACCAGGUCACCGGGGGUAUAAGUGACACUAUGUGAUAUGAGUAAAUUGAAUGAAAGAAAAGUUUUAUUGAUAAAAGAUUUCUUACACGAUUAUUUAUUGAAAAUGAUUAUUAUGCUAUGACUUAAUUGAUUAUGAGUUUUACCGCACACAUAUGAUUACAAAAUGAUUUUUGUUUCCUAACUUGUGGUACUACAUAAUAAUGAUUAUAUACUUUUUUCCUUAUUGGUAACCUUAUGCAUGAGUUCGCUUACCGAUUGACGGCUCACCCCUCGUCUCCAACAUUUUAUAGAUUGAUUUUAGUGAUGUGCGCUUUUGGUCUAGCAAAGAGGAUUUAGCUGAAAAACUUUGGCAUUUUCUAGAUGAAUUAAUUGUAGCUAGUUUGAUUAUUGCUUAGAGCUAGAUUUUAUUUUGGAGGAUUUUUGAGUUAUUUUUUAUUUUAGAGACUAUGUUUUGUCAAUGAACAACAUUGACUUUAUUUGAAAAUAGUAAUAAGAUUAAUGUUAUAAGGUUUCAUUUGGGGUGUUACAACUUGUCUCUUAGUAAGUUUAUUUUUGUUAGCCUAUCCAGUAAGGUUUAUUAUCGACUGACAUCAUUUUCAAUGAAAUCAUCUUAUGUUGUUAAGUUUUGCAUAAAUAAAUAUUUCAGUAGGGUCAAAAGAGCAAGAGUUUACCUAUAAAAAAAAAGUCAAAAUUAGUUUAACCACCCCAGUGCGAAUUUCUGACCACGUCUUGCUUUGUAUGAUUUAACUCUAUUAUUAAUUAGUACUAAAAUAUCGAUGAAAAAAAUGGACAUGAAUUUUGAUCUCGUGUUGCUUUGUUUUGGUUGAGUGGCCAAUUUUAACUUCAUGUUAAACUUUCUCAAUUAUUAGUUGAAUUAUUUGGAUUUGAAAACUUAAAACCACCAUUUUAAUUUGUUUAGUAAUGACUAUGUUGAACUUCAACAUUUGUUUUCAAGAAAAAAAUUGAUCAAACUAUGAUGCUCUUGUUUCUAUUAUUAUGGAAUCUCUUUUUCAAUCGUCAAAGUUUGAAUUAUAUUAUGCUGCCUCUGUAUUUCCGCAGAAACAGAAUCAGUUGGUGAUCCUUCAAAACAAGAAAAACCAAAAAAAGAUGUAGUGCGUGAUAAGAUAAUGAGACAGAUGGCUCAUGUUGACAUUAAUACUCAAGUUGGAAGUUGCAUGCCCCUUGCUUGUAUGCGGACUGGGACCAUCAUCCACAAAAUUGAGGUAUACCCGGCUGAAGGUGGCAAGCUAGUUCGAGCCGCUGCGACGUCAGCCAAGAUUUUGAAGAAGACCCACUUCAAGGUACUGCUUAGUAAGGCUAACUUCUGGAAAUGAGAAACUGAUUGACGCUAGAUGUCGAGCCCACCAUUGGUACAGUGUCUAACCCCAGCCAUGGAGCUACGAAGCUUAGGAAGGCUGGUCAGAGCCGUUGGUUGGGUCGAAGGCCUGUGGUUGGAGGAGUAGCCAUGAAUCCAGUUGAUCAUCCUCAUGGUGGAGGUGAGGGACGAAGCAAAAGUAGCCGUAACCAUGGAAGGUGUUCACUUACGCCUUGGGGCAAGCCUUGUAAUUCUGGGUAUAAAACUGCAUUUCCUAAGGGAAAAAAAAAAAGAAAAAGAAAUUACCCGUCUGAUAAUAUUUUCCUUCUUUGCUAUUUAGCCUUUUUAAUAAUGUUACAUUGUUUGUCAUAUAUUUGAGGUUAGUUUUAGACCAAUUUUUAACUGAUCCAUAAUGAAACUGAAGUUUAAUUUUCUAUUGAACUUUUCCUGGUUUUACUCUUCUGUCAUUUCAAUUUAGCAAUGAUUUAAGAUGUUGAGUUCUGUGCUUGGAACAUGUAAAUGGGAAAGAGAGAUAUAAUGGGGUAGAAUAUAGAUUUUGUGUUUUGGUUUCUCAUGUUUAGAGAUAUUCUGUUCUUUUUCAUUUGUUCAAUUUGGUUAGUGGUGAUUUCUUAAAGAGUCGAUGCACGUGUGUAUAUAUACUUUUCUUUUGGCCUUGAUUCUGUUUCUUGGGGAGUUUAUGCAGUUUCUUUUUUUAUGCUUCGUAUGCCACAUGAAAGAUGAAAGCAUUUUGUGUAUUUAGAAUUGACUUGCAUCAUAGUAACUUUGAAUCACUGUUAACAUUUGUAUAAUAGCAGUCUGAGAUCUCCUUGAAGGAUUCAAAAGCAUUUUAUUUGAUGGUCUAGACCUAAAAUCAACUCCUUUAUAUAGAUAGGUUGGUCUUCUUCAAAGCAAUUCCUAUUUUAAGUAAUCAAAAUUUUGAUUUGGAAGUGUGUUUUAACACUACCAAAAGUUCUUUAAAUACUAAAAAUGUGUUUGGGAGUGAGGUGAUGUGGCUUUUAAGCUACAAUUACUGCAAAGUAAAAGUCAGUGAGUAUAAAUAAGAAAAAAUGACUGUUGAGUUGCCAAAGCCCAACUGCCGCACAUCACUUCCAAAUGCACCGUAAAAUGAUUUUGAGUCUUCUAUAUUAUUGAAACAAAAUACAUGAAAGCACUUUUGGCUACAGAAGUACACUUGGGGUUCUUUAUAAAAUUCUUCGACAGCAAUUUUUCCCCCUUUUUGCUCAUGGCGGUUUUUCUGGUUGUUCUUUUAAGAAAACACUUAAAGGUUCUUUUUAUAGAUUUCUGAAAGUACUUCCAACAUAAGCAUUUUUCAGAAAUUUUUUCUGAAAUUAAUUUUAUUUACUUAUCGACUUUUCAACUCCUGUGGUUGUUUAUGAAAUGAAAGGCAAGGGUAAUCACAAGAAAUCUGCAAACUUUAUCAAUUUUUAACUAUACCAAUUUGUUGUUUAUGCUUUACUUUUAUUUUACAGUUUUGUUUAAUGUUUAGAUGAUAGAUAUAUAGACAUUUUAGAUUGGAGAAUUUUGUCAACAAAUUCAUUCCUUUCUUUCACUUUUUCCCUUUUCAGAGGAAAGCAAUUUUGACUAAUUUUAGCCAGAAUCGGACUAUAAUAUUUUGGAGCAAGCCUACUUGAAAUGAUGCUUUUUAAAUUUGAUCUAGUUAAAAUACACUGCCGUUACCCAAAAAAUUCUAGUCUUGGAUUUCAUAGAAUGCCCUUUUAAGAUAUUUUCUCAGCUCUUUGUUGGUCGCAGCAUCUGAGAUUAGCAUUCUCACAUUUCACUUGUUUUGCCUUUGUUUUGAAGGUAACUUAGUUGCAUAGGUGAAUCGAGGUUCAAGAAUGCCGAGAUGGCUACAAGUUUCAAGAAUCAUUUAAAGAGGCGUAAUGACAGCACCAAGAUGGGCUUUGUGAUUAACAAGAUUACUAAUUGAACCAAUCUUGAUGGGACAGAGGACAUGUCAGAACCGUUGCGCACAGGGAGAAGAGUUAGGGGAGCUUUGAGAGUUGAGACCAUCAACAUCCAGAAAGGCUGCUGGUAAUGUUUCAUGUGUUACAAAGUUGCAAGGAAAUUUCAUUUAUAUUUUAACACCUUGUAUUUGAAAAAUUUAAUGUAAUUUUCUCUUUUUUCAAUUUAUUAUUCAGAUCGUAGACUAGUAAACGGUUUAGAUCGCAAGCUUUUAUUAUGCAGUUAUUUUCUCCUUUUCAGGAAGAAGUGGUCAGUUCCAUUCCAGAAUUGGAAUAUGGUAAUUAGGUGCAAGCAUACGUUGUAACAAUCAUUUCUUGUUUGUUUGAUUAUGCUUAUCUAUUUAGUUGUUUAUCGUUUGGUUGUGUUAAAUUAUUUGAAUUAGCAUUAUUUGAGAUAAAGCAUAAUUCUUUUAUUUAUUUAUUUAUUUUUUAAAUAAAUUAUUAUAGAAUAUCGUCUUUAUCGUAUAAUGUAUUUUUAUAAAAGUAAGCAUUUUUAUAAAAUUUAAACUCUUCCAAUCUCCUUAUGAUUAAAACCCUUAACCUAAUAAACGUAUAAAAGCAAAGAGUCCUAGGAUUUUCUUUUGUGCACAUUUGGAAGAAUUUUUGAGGUAAUUAUCCUUCUCUAAAACAUAUUCUCUAAUCUUAGGUGUUUAAUGAUGAAUGCAUGCAUUGUUUUUUUAAUCAUGAAUGACUAGCUAGACAUUAUGAGGCAUGAGUACUGUGAUUCUAUUACUGUUUUCCCUUUAUUUUUUAUUCAGGUUUUCACUAAAGUUUUCAUAAAAUUAAACUAGACAUUUUAAGGCUUUCAAUGAUAUAUUUUGUACGAAAAGAUUACCAGUAACCAAUUUGUUGUGAAUUUUCGAAUUCAGAACAGUGGUGCUGGAAAAUUCUGAUUUUCAGCAGCAUGUUUGACUUUGCCCAUUUUUCUGUCUGUCUAAAUGAUCCCUAAAAUUAUGCUGAUUUUUCUAUUAAAUCCUCAUUAUGUCUACUUACUAUAUGUUCACUUUCAUAAUUUUCAUUGAGUAAAAAAAAAAUUAAAAAUCAUUAUGUUGGGCUGCUGCAGUUUUGGAAACUGCUUUCCAGAAUUGCGAUGGCUGACAAUAAAAUUACUUUAGGCUAUUAAAAGGCUUUAGAAUGGCCUAUAAAAAUUAUAUUCAUAUAAUUUAUGAAUUCCUUAUGAUUUAAAGUUUAUUUGACUAAUUUUGAUAGUUAACAUUAAGUUAUGAAUUUUUCAAGUGCAAAACAUAAACCUGAAUGUUUCUGGACAGGUUUGCUGGUCUCUUAAUAUAAAUUCGUUUAAAAUAGUGUCAUAUCUUCAAAAAUUCUAGGAAUUUGAAGCUUUGUUUCUUGAUGCAUCUACUGUUUUAAAAUCAAGUGGUCUAAUUUUUAAGAGUUCUAUUAAAUAUUUUACAAAUUUUCCAGUUCAGCAACCUCUGUUUUUAUCACUGUUGGACAGUCUGGAUAUGCAUGUAAAAUUCUUUUUGCAAUAUGUUUGACUUUUAUUCAUUCUUUUGAAUUUUUAUUUGAAAUGUUAUCCAUGUUUAUGGUUUAUUUUCUUUGAUUUUACAAUUUUCCAACAUUUGAUUAGCUUGGUAAAAAUCGGCUCAGACUAGCUUUAAUGGUUUAGUGCUUAUGACUAGGCUUGAUUAUGUUAGAUUUAUAUCAAGAUCAGAAUGAGUAAUAGUAUUGAUAAGAAUGUGUCUUGAUAUUUUAGGACGAGAUUGAGCUCGAGGCUAAGGUUACUAUUCUUUAUUGUUGAGGAUUGAGAUAAGUAGAUUCAUGCAUGGUAUAUGUAUUUCACUAUUAAAUUAUUUUUAAUUCGAGGUAUCUAUUAUGUUAAAUGAAAAGUAUUUGAAACUAAUUUGUUUUAGCCUAUUACAAUAUUUUGUUAAAAUAAAAUCGUUCUUUAAAUUAUUUAUAAUAAACCUUUUAUUUAUUAAAAACUUGUUUUAUAAAUUGUCUUAAAAAAACUUUUAUUAAAUUGUUUUAAGUCAAAUACUUUGAAAUAAUUAUCAAUUAUUUAAAUGAUUAAAAGUUCAAGGAUGAUUUUAAAUGUUUUUGCUCAUUGUCUGUAAUGAUGCUAUGUUAUGUUAUAUGUUGUGGAAGGCUAGUUGGAAUAUGUGUACAUAUGAUGUUAAUGUUAAUGAUUCUCGUGGGGUACAGUACUCUAAAUGAUGUCAUACGGAUGGGUCACUGGGUCUACAAGUGAUACUAUGUGGAAUGAGCUAAGUAUGUUUUAUGUAUUUAAAAAGCUAAUUAUGUUUUACAUGUUUGAAAUGCUAUUAUUAUGUUUAAAGGAUUUAAAUGACUUUCUGAUGUUUUGAUUUAUUUUUUAUAAAUGAUUAUUUACAAAAGUAAUUUCCCUUAUUAUUAUUAUGCAUAUCUAAGAAAUUCAAACAAUUAUAAUUUAAUGGUUUUUAGUAUUGUGCAUGAAUUUACUUACCGAGUUGACGGCUCACCCCUUGUUAUCAUAUUUUUGUAGAUAGAGUUAGAUGAUGUGAGCUCAUGAUCUUAGGAGGAAGAAUGAGAGCUCGUUUAUUUUUGGGGAUUAAUGUUACAUUAAUAAUUUAGCUUCCUUUGGCAUGAUAUUUAUUUGAGAAUUUGUUAUUUCAUUACUUAUUAUCUUUUGGAAGAGGAGCAUUUACUGUUGGAUAUUAAUUUGAUGAUUUUAGAUACGAGAGUGAUGAAAUACAGUUUCACUUCAAUUUCACUUUAGUAUCUUAUUAGUGGAAUUGGGGUGUUACAUACGUGCCCGGUCAAUGAACUUGAACUUUAAAUAGUUUUUUCAACUCAUUGAUUUUUGGAACUCAUAUUGGUGCAAGGAAAUCAAAAGAAAUUUAUGAUUAGUCAAAUUCUGAUAGUUGCUAUAUAUUAUACAUUCUAAAGUUUCUUGAGUUUGUUUUCAGAUGAAAAUAUGAUCAAUUCAUUUUGUUUUUGAAGUGUAGGAAAAUAGGCUGGGAUAUUAAUGCAUAGGCAAAAACUUUUUGAGUGGCUUUCCAGCGGAUAAUUAUCGGAAACAUGACUGGAUUUUUUGACUUCCGUAAAUCUUGCAUUUUAACCUGGCAAAUUUAACAAAAGUUCAAUACAACUUUGUUAGUGCCUUGUGUUCCAGAAGCUAGAAAGAUGUGUAGAUUCCAUAUAAGCGGGCUUGUAAUUACUCUAGUAAGAAUCCAAUUAUUUGCCUUUGCACCUUCAUUUUAUUUGUGGAUCCUUGCAUGUUUCUGAAUUUGAUCAAUCCAAAAGGAAUUGCUCUGAAGAAUAGCAGUAACUAGCCUAUGUCUUAGUGCAUGGACCUGCAAACCUGAGCUGACAAAGCUGAAACUAUUAGUUUGAGGUGACAAAUCCAUGAUCGUCACCUGUUAACUUCUGCUAGUUGCUUUCGUGAAACACUUUUAAGAAAUAAGCAAUUUGUUGUUAGUCGCCGUAUCUGAUGUGCUUUCUUUUAUAGUUUGUAGAAUCAACUGUAUUAUAUGUUGUCAGUUGCAGUAUCUGAGGUGUCUUUUGCAAUUUACUUGACCUUUAUUUGUUUGCUAGUGAGUUAAGAAUACCAACAUUGGCCAGAGAUUUGGAGAAACAUCCGAAGACGCUUAACAAACUUGGAGAUGCACUUGCUUCCAAGCUUCAUUCAUCACAAUGCGAAUCCGGUGAGUACUUAUGUCUUCAAUUAUGUAGAGUGUUUGAAAUUUUGAUGCAGCGAGAUGGUUUGUUGAUGCAAAACUUUAUACUGUUAAGGACUUACCCUGCAGGCUUUUUGCAUGUUGUAUCAACUCCAAAAUCCAACGAGAACUACAGCACCAAAGCCCAGUUUUCACUGAUUCAAUCAGCUGAAAUCAUGAGGGAAAUAACAGUAUAGCACCAUCAAGCUGGACUUAGAGAAUAAUCAGAUCAGUCAUCCAUUUCAUGAACUGUUAAUUUCAUGAUGGAGGCUUAGUGGAGCUGAAGAGGAAACAAGGAUGUGUAGGGAUCAACAAACAACAGUGAGAAGCACGAUUGGAGCUCUGAUUACAAAUAGACAAUUUAAAAAUAUGUGCUGGUAAGUGGAAAUUAAAGAAAUUUGUGAGCUCAUUCAAGUUUCGGUAUUUUCUUUUUGGAUAACGUUGAUACCAAGUUUGGCAAAUCUGUGUUUUCUGCGUUUAAUCUGUGUUUUGGUUAAAGUAGAUGCUCUGAUUAAUACUUGUUUGUUUUCAUAAAACAGGACAAAAAGAGAUCACCAAUCUUGAUUGAGAAUUCAUUUAAGUAAAAUUUCAAAAAUUGCCAAACACAGUAUAAACUAGGAUGCACUUGCUUAAGAUUCAUUUUCAGACGGAAGUUUGUACCUCCAGAUCAUAAAAUCAUGUUUAUGUUGUAUCUUUAUUCAGCAAUUGAAAGAUUCCAAGUUUGCUGAAACCAUAUUAUUUCUUUCCCAGGCGCUUUCCUGAAGGUAUCGACAUCUAUUUCGAAAAUGUUGGGGAUAAGUUGCUUGAUGCAGUGCUACAAAACUAUGAAGGAUUUCUUGUCGGUGAUUACUACCACCUGGAUAAAAAAUUCAUGGAACUGGUCAUGCCGGCAAUAAAAGAAGGAAAGGUGGUACACGUGGAAGACAUAGAUGAAGGCCUCUGUAUACGUCGAAGACAUAGAUGAAGGCCUGGAGUCCAACAGCCCUCGCUGGGCUAUUCAUUGAUCGGAAUGUCACGAAACAACUGAUUGUAGUUGCUUGGGAAUUUAAAAACCACCAUAUGCUGUAGAAAUGCACAGAGCCAUGCACUUUCAAAGCUUUGUGAAGAUGUCUUGGUCAUGUGUUAGAACAGAUUAUGUUUGUUCGAUUAAAUUGUACGCAGUUAUAAAUCAAAGAUUCAGAACAUUGCAUGUAGAAGUUCAAAUUUUAAAUUUUUGGAAGCAGAGGCGUAGAGUUUUUUUCUUUUGGAAAAAAAAAUCUAAAUUGUGGAGACUAUUUUUAUUUAAUUUUACAAUCUUAUUUUAUUUCUUUCACAACAUAAUUUUAAAAUAUUUAUUUAGUAAAUUAUUAACAUCCAAACCACUAAAGAUUUUUUUGUUAAACGCUCUACUUACAAAGUUAUAUUAAUUAUAGAUUUACUCAAAGAAAGUAUAUUUAAGAAGUUAUAGCAAAAAAAAGUUCUAAUCUGUCUUACAAAGGACUAUUGACAAGAGUGGUGCGACUCCCACCCCUUCAAAGUCCACUUGACACCACGCUUUCUCGAUUUAAAAUUUUAUAUAGUUGAAAAUUGUGUUUUCUUUUAAAUCUCCUUGCUUUCCUCUAUUCUUGUUACUUGAGAAGAAGAACCAGAGUCUAGAAGAACGAAAGAAAAUUCAGCGAGAUAGAAAUUUGGAAAUUUCAUCCGAGCUUUUUUUUUCUUAAAUUUUUUGGUAUUUCUUCCUUGUUUCUAUGGAUUCGUUCAAUGGAUUCUUGACCAUUCUUCCUUCUUUCUAUUUUCUACCAUGAUUCAGAAUUUUUCCUUAAAAAAAAUCUAGAUGCAUGGCCAAAUGAAAUGACCCCCUUUAGAGCUUCGGUUACUGUUGCAUAUUCAGCGUCUGCAUUUGACAAAGCAACUAAAUGCACACUAAAGACUUGCUGUUUCCAUUCAGUAUGCAGUUACACAGACAAAGGCCUUAAUUAUUGUCAAGUUCUCCAGUAGCAUACUCCGAAAUCCACAUACCAACCCACCAGAACUCCAAUCUUGAAACUCCAUAAAUCAAAAUUGAAGUGCCUGCCUCUCUGGUACCUCUCAAGGUCCAUUUUACUACUUUCCAUGUCUUUCCAUGCAUCUACUGACAACUUGGGAAAUGCCAGGUCUUGCAAGCACCACUACUUACAUUUGAGUCUGCUAUUAUUAUUAUUACUAUUUUAUUAUUAUUAUUUAAAAAAAAACACUCUAACUAGGAGAGACAAGUUCCGUGUAGUAGGACUGAGCAACAGGGCCGUAGCAAAUAUUAUGUUUUUAAUCAUUCUUGUACCAAAGUAUUUAAGUAUGCGAUAAAAAAUAAUAAUAAUAAUUUAUUGACAACUAAAAGUUAAUAGUGGCUGGGGUGGACCUGGGUUUUGUUUAAAAAAAUUGAUUAAUAAAAUUUUCGAAAUUUCAAAUUUCUAGUACAGAGAAAAUUGAUGAAUAAAAUUCUGCAAGUUAAUUUCUAAUAUGCCAUGAAAAUAUUAUCAAGUUAAAUUGUAACAUCGUUAAUCACUUAAUCCUCAGUCUAAUAUGCCAUAUAUUUGUUUCUCAGGCUUUAAUCGAAAGUGCCGGUGAUUUAUUGUUAUUUUCAGUAAUCAGAUAGGUAUGUUAAGGCUGUUUAAUUCAUCGACAAUGUACCAACAAGACUCAGAUUGGGAGAUUGUAAAUGUAAUUAACAAUAAUCUUUUAUUCAUUUUGAAGUUCAUUCUAUUGUUUACACAGGAGCAGCGUUCUCUUAUGUUUUAUGGAUAUAAUGUUUGGUAAUCCUAAUUUAAGCUAAGGUAUAUAUAUUUCCUAAUUACAUCUAAUUUAAGCUUAUUCAAAUGCAAUCAAUUAAUGUUCAAUAGUAAAAAUUCCAAAUACUAUAUAUUGUAAGAAUUUUAAUCGUAAUGACAAGGUGAUCAUUUGAAUUAUUAUUAUUAAAUUAUAUGUAUGGUGGAGUCCACACGGUUUUGACUAGAAAUCAAAGAGUUAAGAGACAAUAUUAAUUUAUUUAAGUUAAUAGUAUUUGUUCUGUUUAGUACGUCUUUUGACCAACAAGCAUCCCGGCAUUGCACGCAUUAAUUAAUAAAGCAUUGUGCAUGUCACAUUAUUAGAGCCAAUUGCGCCCGGUACACCUCCAUACUUCAAAAAUUAUCUUAAUACCCUAAAAUCUGUUUUUACCAAAAUUUUCAUCGAUACCCUUUAAAAACGGAUAGGAAAUUACUAAGCUAUCCUCAUUUUAAAACAUUUCAACUCAACGGACAGCACCUCUCCCUUCUCUACUGAAGCAAACAAACACUCAUCUGCUGCAAUUCCCUCCAUUAUCAAACUCAAAUAAACAAACACUGCAAUUCCCUCACCGGCAUCACCUCUGCAAUUCCCUCACCGGCAUCACCUCUACCGAAACAAAUAUUCAUUCUCCAUACAUGAUAAAUUGAACUUCAACACGAGCAAACUAAGCUUGAGAAGGGGAAGCUGCCACAACUGAGAAAGAGAAGCCUAGUUCGUCUCUACAUAAUCGCCGGCGAGAGCUGAUCCUUUACUGUAAAAUAGUCAUAAUUUAACUAGUUGAGGUAAGUAAUUCUCUAUAAAUAGUUUUCUUGUUGAUAUUCAGGGAAAAAAAAAACAAAAAGUUAGGGUUUAUAUAGAAAAAUUAGAUUAAUUAGUUGCGGGUCUCUCAUUACAUGUUCAAAAACAAAUUUCUAGUUGUUUUACUACAUGCAAAUUGUGAACAAUUGAUGGAUUGUGCCGAUUAUAAUUUUGUCAUGUAACACACAAUUUGGUCGUGUAAGGUUAUGUAGGAUUCAAGGUUGUGUAUUACACGACCUUCAUGUAUUGCACUUACACGACUUCAUGUAUUGCACUUACACGACUUCAUGUAUUGCAAUUACACGACUUCAUGUAUUACACGACGUUCAUGUAUUACACGACGUUCAUGUAUUACACGACCUUCAUAUAUUACACGACCUCAUGUAUUACACGACCUCAAAAUUACACGACUUUUUUUACUGUUGUUAAUUCAUUAUAAUAACUUAGUUGUUUAAACACUUAAUUUUUGCUAAGAAUUUAUAUUUGUUGCUAUGCAGAAAAUGUCAACGAAAAGUAUUCAGGAAAAAAUGAAACGAGGCAAACCGAAAGUGAAAAUUACUAAUUUGUCAUCGUUGGAACCAAUAAGAAUAAUAAAAAAUAACCUUAGUGACGUACAAUUGGGGAUUUUUCGCAAAUCAUGUUUUGGGCACUUUUUGGACUUGAAUGAGUUUCAGUUUUGUGCCCAGUUGUUGCACAAGUUGGUAUUAAGUCAUAUGCAUUCAUCCGAUAAGGCAAUGUAUUUUAAGAUAGGGAAAAAAGUUUGUCGAUUUUCAAUGUUUGAAUUUGCAUUAGUUACUGGACUGAAUUGUGAAGAAAUUUAUAAACCUAACUUGGACAUUGUUGAUGACGGUGGUCGUGUAUGUGAUGUUUUGUUGGACGGUUGCACAAAGUUCACUAACACAACGCUAGGUCAGAUAUUUGAAGCAACUAAGUCCAAGGAUGAUAUGAAAAUGGUUAAAUUUGCCAUGUUGUACUUUUUGGAGGUUGUAUUACUUGGAAAAGAAUAUAGAUCAUCUAUAAUUAGGGAUCACAUUCUCCACAUUGACAACUUUGAAGAUUUCAAUAAAUAUCCUUGGGGCCGUGUCUGUUUUGAGAACACAUUAGAAAGUAUGAAGAAUGUGAUUGCAAUUAGACAGAAUAGAGAAAGGGCAAAUCCAGACUAUGUCCCUGAAAAGGAGGCAUACAGUCUUCAUGGCUGUCCAUUUGCAGUUCAGGUAACAAAUUGUCAAUAUUGGUUUCGUAAAGAUUAUUAAGAUUAGGAAUAUUAAUUAUUUCUUUUACUUGCACAGGUAUGGGCACUUGAAAUUUUCAGUGAAGUGUGUGAAACUUUUUCCUCGAAAUGUAAGCAUGUCAAAUAUCCAAGAAUUCUAAAUUGGACAAUCACUAAACAUGUUAGCUCUAAUUUGCUUGACUAUUCCAUAUUUGAUAAGAAAAAGGUAAUAACAAACAAUCUAGAUCGUUAGUGUCUUUCUUUUUUUCUUUUUAAUUUAUCUUUGACAUUUAUUAAUUGGCCUAAUUAUUACAGCUUAAGGUACUGGAGAAGUUGGAUGUCGCUGAUGAAAUAGAGGCAUCACAGCCUAAUCUACAAUGGUUUUGGCAAACAAAUUGGCUGCAACAACUUGAAAAUGAUUUUCGUGUUGACUCAAAGAGUAAAAAAUCAGCCACUCCAGUCUCAGAACAGAAAAGUAGCAGUGUUGUGCAGAAAAAUUAUGUGGCCAUGGAAGUUAAAGAGACUAAUAAACGUGCGAAGUGUCAAGUUAUGUCCAUGAAAUACAAAAUGAAUUAUGAACAUGCAAAUUCUGUUGAGGACAAAACUGUAAGUUUUUUUAAUCUUUUAAUAACAAUUGCAUUUUUCAAUUUUUUUUUUGUUUGCCUAAUAGGCUCUGUCUUGUUCUGCUUGCAAGGGUAAACGUCUUGGUUACAUUGAUAAUUUGAUUUCUUUUAUCGAGGACAAGUUUAAUUGUUUGGAUAAGCGUCUCAAAAAGAUCGAAGAGAAGGUGCAAAAAAUUGACUCAUUAGAGGAGAAUACAGGUGAUGUGAGGGAGAUGAGAGAACAAGUCAAUAAAAUUGUAGACUUAGUGGAGUUCCUAAAUUCAGCGGACUACAAUGUGAAGGUUCAUUUUAUUAUUAUUUUUAACUAAGUAUGUUAUUAUUUUUAACUAAGUACAAAUUGUGUAAAGUUAUUAAUAUUUGCUGCUGUGCAGAUUCCGACAACAUUUGAUGAUAACCCGAGUAUUGCCACACCUGCGACUGUGUUUCCAAGCUUCACCACAAAUGCAGGCAUAGUCAAAGAGGAUCCAAUAAUUAUUCCGUCUACACAGCAAGAGGUGAAAAAAUAUGAAAGAAAAAGGCGAUCUCGAAAGGAUGCAGCUGUUUUACGCACGCCAUAUACUAACCCAUUUCGAAAAUCGCGACAUGUCAACGUCGAUGAAGCAAAACAGCAAGUUCAGUUUGAGCAUUGGCUGAAGGAGGAUAAUAUGGAAUCGUAAUUCCUUAUUUCUCUUUGUAAACUUACUUUUAUUUGAAACAAUAUUUCCUGGUUGACUAUAACAAGCAAUAAGUUUUACUCACAUUUUCUUUUUCGUUACUGCACAGUAAAAUAUUAUCGUGGCCUAUGCAUAAAGCAACAAAGAACUUCUUCCGCAGCUUGUAUGAUGCAGACGCGUGGUUAAAUGGCGGGGUAUUAUUAAUAUAGUUUUUGUUUAGCAUGUAAUUUACUGCAGUAAUGUUUGCAUUUAAUAUUAAUUUACAUAUGUUGGUAAUAUGUACAGCAUAUAGACGUUGGUUGUUACGUGAUAAGAUAUGAUUUGGCCAAGCUCACUAUGCCACAUUUGCACCAAUGUGCAAUCAUGGAUAGUGUAUUUCAGGUACUUAGUACUCUGUAGUAAUAAACAAAUAAGAUAUGUAAAUUUGUGCACUGAAAACUUGCAAAAUUCAUUGUUUUUUCAGCAAAAGCUUUUGUUGAAGUAUGAGUUGUUUAAGAAGGAUCCAACUACAAUAUGGGAUGAAGAUCAAGAACAUGAUUUGACAAUCAAACAAGCAAAUGGCGAAGAUCUUCCAUUCGCUAUUCCAUGGAGAGAUGUUUAUAAGGUAAAGUUUAAAUUUUCUUAAUGCAUCGCUAAAGUUUAAAUUUUCUAUUUUUGAUUGGCUCAAAUUAUUGUAGGUUUAUAUCCCAAUUAAUGUACUUGAGUGUCAUUGGAUUCUUGCUGAGGUUGACAUUGUAAGGGAGACAAUUUCCAUAUAUGACUCCAUGGUUUCUAUAAUGAAUGACUCAACAUUUUUGAAAGAAUUAUUGCCAUAUGCUGUUAUUAUUCCUCUUCUACUGGAGAAGGUUUUAUGGUAUGAUUCGCACCCUGAAACUACCCAAAAAAAUAAAGUUUGGAUAGUUUUGCGUUUAGCGAAUACGCCACAGUAAGAAUCUCGGUGAGCAUACCAAAUGCUCAAUUUAUUUUCAUUUUACUGUUAUAGUUAUAUAUUCAGUAUAUAGUUAACUAUUUUUUAAAAUUCUCAGUGGAGAUUGUGGUGUGUUUGUUUUGCGUUACCUGGACACACUUGCACGUGGUGAAGAUAUUCAAACAAAUUGUACGCAGGCACAUGUCUCUUCUUAUCGCAAGCAACUAGCUGAAAGACUUUUCUAUGACCAGUCAUUACUUUCAAAGAACAACUAACAUGUGAGUAUUAUUUUUUUAAAUGAAGUCAUUGCUGUUGGAAUAGUUUGGUUUCUUAAUGUGAAACCAAAAUAGGCCAUCACUGUUAGUUUGGUUUCUAAUUAAUUUCAUGGAUUUAUUAUAUGCAGGCAUUCCUCAUGCAUGCAUGUAUGCUUCGGCAGAGGAAGAAAGCAAUUUCAAGAAAAAAAAACUUUUAAAUGGUUGUAAUAUGUUUAAUUGCGAUAUCCAUUAGUGUAUCCUAUCCAAAUAUUGACAUUGUAAACUGAUAACUUUCUUUAUUUAUAAUAAUUAAUCUCAUCAUUUCUCAAACUGUCGAAUAUGCAAACUUAUUUGUUUGCUGUAAUUUAUGAACACACAAUUUGGUCAUGUAAGGUCAUGUACACGACGGUCGUGUAUUACACGACCGUCGUGUAGUACACGAGUAUAUUACAUGACCUUAAUAUAGUACGCGACUAUUACAUGACGUUCAUGUAUUACAGGACUUCAUGUGUUACACGACUUUUUCCAAUAAUCAUCAGAUUAAUUUAGUUCUUUAAGGACUUAAUUGGGGCUAAAAUUUUAUAUUUGUUGCUUUGUAGAAAAUGUCAACUGAAAUUAUAAAAACAAAGAAGUUAAAUUAAAUUGGAAUGUAAAGAAAUUUAGUUAUUUCAUAAUGCAACAAAUUACAGUUUCCAAGCAUAACAUAUCCAAGACUAAAAAAUUGUAAAUCCAAUUAUCUAAGUUUGGUUAGCCGUAGGGCCAUGCUCUUGCUCUGAAAGUGGUGUUGUUGCAGUGCAUGUUAGUCGAUUAUGCCCCUCAAUCUGCACCUACUACACUUGCGGUGCACGAUGUCUUCCCCUUGAGAAGGUAUUCUAGUAGUUCGCGGUCGUCCUACCUCUCGCUUUUUCAUUGGCAGUGACAGCACAUAUGCACGCACCUCUUCUGAAACAUCCCAUUCCUCUUGUGGACCCACAAGAUAAAUGCUCUCUGCAUAUGCUGUAACCCAUGCAUUGACAGAAUAAUAAUGAGCACAUAAAUCAUAAAUAGAAUAGUUACGCAUAUGCUUACAUACAGCUACCACAUGUUCAUAGGGAAAUUGGUCAAUUUGAAACUCAUUACAACUGCAAGUCUUUUGUAGCACGUCAACAUGGCCAUCAAGGUCGCCAUCCUUAACUAUAAACUCAUGGAAAUUAAUCUGUAUUACUGGAUAUGUGUGUGAUUUAUCCAAUUUCCCUUUCAACUAUUUCUCAACCCAAGUAGUCAUUAAAGUACAUGCAUCCAUUGCCAAAUCUCGCCUUUUUGCAAACCAUUCUUGUAAUUUGUCAAUGAUACAAUCCAUUAACUUAUAAAUAGGCAAGGUUCGUGCUUCUUUUAAGAUAGAAUUCAUACUUUCUGCAAUGUUAGUCGUCAUAAUCCCAUAACGCCUCCCCUCAAAAUGAGAACGAGCCCACUUCUCAUAUCCGGCAUCAGUCAGGUAUUGGUGAACAUUCAAACUAACACUGCGGAUGACAUUCAUAUAUUGAGUAAACUUAAUGGGCCGAUAUGCCUUUGCAGCCAAUUCAAAUAAAGCACCCACAUCAACUUCUUUAAAAUGAGCAUUUACAUUUCGUUUUAGAUGAUGCGUACAUAUGUCAUACCCUACAGUAGGAAAUACUUUAUCAACUGCUUUCUUAAUACUUCCAUGACGGUCAGAAAUGAAUACUAAAUUAGGAACAUCACCAAUAGACUCUCUUAACUUCAUAAAAUACCAUUCCCAUGAAGCGUCAUUCUCACUGUCACCUACACCAAAUGCAACAGGGUAAAGUUGAUUGUUGCCAUCAAGAGAUGUUGCAAUGAAUAAUGUUCCUUUGUACUUGCCCCUCAUGAAUGUACCAUCAACUGCAAUAACAGGCCUAAUACAUGAAGUGAAUCCUCUCAAAGAACUUCCAAUGGCCAUGAAACAGUACUUGAAGUUGUUCGCACUGUCUUUUUUAAUGAAUGUUCGACUUCCAGGAUUUUUUUUUUUCAACCAUUGCCAUGUAUGAGGGUAAUAAAUGGUAUGAAUCAGCCGGACUGCCCCUAACCAUCUCCAUUGCAAACUCCCUUGCUCUCCACGCCUUGUGAUAACUUAUUUCAUAACCAAACUCUUUUUGAAAAUCUUGCAUAAUAUCAGCUGGCUUAUACGUAGAUGAAGCACCAUCAAACUUGUGCCGAAAAUUUUUCCCAACUAACUUGGAUGAAGCUUGACGGUUGUCUUUUUCCUGUGAAUCAAGGGAGCAAGUAUGGACAUUGUAAUACUUUCUAAUUUCAAACAUGUUGCAACCUUUAAGUCUACUUGCACGAAGGCGCCAUUUGCAGUUGUCAUCCAUACAAACAACAACAAGUAAGUCCUUGUCUGAUUUUGGGGUUUUGAAUUGGAACCUUUUUUUCACAACUAGUGCUUUAAGCUUUUCUUGCAAUGCCUCCUUUGACUCAAACACCUCUUUCACCAUCGACACAUCAGUAUCACCACUAACUUCUGUUGAUAAUAAAUUACUGCUACUAGUAAGUAAAUUUAUUCUGGGCACAUGUCCAUUGUUUGAGGUUCUUGAACUUAUAGGAGCUGGAGUAUUAUCUCCUAAUGCUAAAUCAACAGCUAAUGGUGGCUCAUCCAAACAAUCAACUUCAGUUACAAAUUCAUUAACUUCAGUAAAAUUGUUCGAACUGAGAAUAGGAAAUGAUGGAGGCACGUAGCUGGAGAAAGCAUGACUCUCUUCCCAUGAAAGACGAGGUGAAGGUUGUCUAUCCACCGGAACUGUCGAAAUUGAUCUACGUUCAAAAGUAAUGCAGAGCGGGUUUCUAAACUCCAUUCCACUAGCUACUUCCUCUAAGAAAAAUUCCACAUCAUCAUUGGUUUGAAUUGUAACUGGUGGCAUAGGAUCAGAUGUCUUAAGUUUGAACUUCAUUGUGAUUUCGAAUUCCGAAGUAUCUAUAUCAAUAACUUCAGCUAUCUUGUCCACCAAUUCGGCAUAUGUUGUCGAUCGUGGUAUCAUUAUCCCUUUAGCCUUGGAACCUUUGAACUUAUACUCGUCAUUUUGCUCAAUCCAUUCACCAUUAAAGAGAAUAGGCACACGUACCAAAACCAUUUCUGAUGAUACAAUAAAAACAAUAAUAUCAAAUUUCAUAUACAAGUAAGUACACGACUUACACGACUAUAAUACUUACACGACUUACACGACUAUAUUUCUUACAUGACCUACACGACUUACACGACUAUAUUUCUUACAUGACUUACAUGACUUACACGACUAUAUUACUUACACGACCUACAUGACUAACUAUAUGACGUACACAGUAUCAAGAGAAUGCACGGCGCGAAACAUUUUCGCUAUAAAUAAGUUAUAUUGCUGAAAAAAAUAAUUAAACAACCUACAUUGCAUAUAUUUCUACAUAUAAGAAAAAAUGGUGAAAAUAAAACAUUGUAAUGUGAGGAAAAUUUCUAAAUUUUUCUCAAAAUUAAUAAAUUUAAAACCCAAAAACAUUAACAUACCUUAUUGGGUUGUUUAAUAAGCAAUGCACCUUUAAAGAAAGAGUGGGUGUUAAAGAAAUAAAUACAUAAUUGUAUUUGUGUAAGAAGUUAUGAGAGAUUUUGAGAGAUUCUAAGAGAUUUUGAAAGAAUCGGCAGCAAAAAUGGAGUUGGGUGAAAGAAAUGAGGAAAUGAAUAUGAAGACAAUUUAUUGAAUGAAUUUGAUGCAUUCAUUAAGGGUAUUUCUGACUUUACUCACAUUUGUUAGGGUAUUCAUGAAAACUAAAAAGGGAGGGGGUAUUUCAAUAAUUUUGAAACUAUUAAAGGGUAUUUAAUUAAAAACCCCACAUUAUUAGUACCUAGUUGAUUAGUCAUUUGGUCUUCAAUAAAUGUUAGUUGAUAUAUGCUUGAAAUCAUAUUCUGUUUUAUAUGCCGAAUCAUAUUGUAAGAUGGUGAUAUUAGCAUGUUUCUUUUUCUUUGUGCUGUUUCUCGUUUGAUUACAUUUUCAACAACAAGUCGAUCUGUUGAAGAACAAGUUUGGGUUUGAUGAUGCUUUUAACUAUAAGGAAGAGCCAGACUUGGAUGCAGCUCUCAAUGGGUUGACACGAAUGAAUCCUUUCACCCUUUUUCUCACUUCAUUAUUACAAUGCGCUUUGAAGUUAUCUGUGUUGUUAAGGUUAAGGUUAACCCUGCAGGCUUGUUCGAUGCUGUAUCAACUCCAAAAUCGAACAACAUCUACAGCACCAAGACCCGGUUUCAAUCAGCUCAAAUGAUGAGGUAAAUAACACCAUCAAGCUCAGCUUAGAGACUCAUUAGAUAAGUAAUCCAUUUUCUCAGCUGUUAAUCUCUUGAUGGUGGCUAGUGGAGAAGCAGAGGAAACAAAGGAUGUGCCGGAAUCAAUUAGAACAGUGAGAAGCGUGAGGGGAGUUAUGAUUAUAUUUAGGCUUUUUGAUGAUGCUUUGAACAAAAAGGAAGAGCCAGACUUUGAUGAAGCUCUUGAAAGGUUAGCGAAAAUGAACGCUUUAACCAUGUUUCCAACUUCAUUAUCACAAUAUCUGACAUUGCAUAACUUCAAGUAAAGUUGCUCUUAAAAGGUUAGCAAAAAGCCAAAAAUGAUUGAAGUUAUCUGAGUUGAUCCAGAAAAUGUAAUGGAAAUACUCCCCUGCUUCGUAAAACAGGACAAACAGAGAUCGCUGGUCGCGCAUGGGAACUAAUUGCAUUAAAGUUUCAAACAUUACCAAACAAACUAGGAUGCAUUUGCUUAAGAUUCAUUUUCAAAAGCAAGUUGUAUGUUUAUGUUGCAGCCUAUAAAACCAUGUUUAUGUUGUAUGUUUAUUCAGGAAAUGAAAGAUUCGUCGUGUUAUUUUAUUCCAAGAAUUCGCUGAAACCAUACCUGCUUUCCCAGAUGCUUUCCUGAAGGUAUCGACAUCUAUUUAAAAAAUUCUGGGGGUAAGAUGCUUGAUGCAGUGCUACUCAACAUGAGAAUUCACGGCCGCUGCUGUAUGCUGAAAGAUCUCACCGUACAACCGUGAGAAGCCUGAAGGUGUAUUCAACUUGAUACAACUGGUCGUAGUUGCUAGGGAAGGAUAUAAGGUGUACUCAACUUGAUAUGCUGUAAAAGUGCACUAUGCCAUGUACUUUUAAAGCUUUUUGAAGAUGUUUUGGCCAUGUGUUUGAUUAGAUUGUACUCAGAUAUAAAUCAAAGAUUCAGAACAUGUUUGUUACUGUUUUUCAGAAUCCAGAACAAUAAAUACCUUGAAAUGUUUUUGUUCAAUGAUUUUGCAGAAGACCAGCUUCCUUGUUAAUGAAUCAAGAUGGCUGAAUCCGUCCCUAAGCCAAAUCUGUUUUCACUUUUAGGUUAGAAAUUGUCAUUAAAAAGUGUUUGAUAAAAUAUGCUCCGGGAACGCUAUUCGUCAGAUGGUUACUCCAAGUUUAUGAAAUCAAUGGUAUUUCAUCAUAUUCAUAACACUCUGCUUUAAUAUCUAUUCUAACAGAGAAAUUAUAUACAGAGAAUAGGUUGCGUUAGAACUUUUGCUAGAAAAAAGUGACAAGAAUUCAUCGUUCACUUGUAUCUUAAGUAAGUGUAAAAUUUAAAAUCCCAUCAUGAAAAACUCCUGGGAGAAAAAACUAUAAAAAUUAAAGAAAAAAGAGUGUGGCGUGCAUGUAAAUUAUGUCGAUUCUAUCUAUACGAUAAAUACACUCUCUUUUACAAUGGCACGGAUGCUUCAUUGAGUAAUCAUGAUUGUUGCUGGUAGUGCUUUGUUGAAUCAAUCUGCUAGAUAUUCAGCUUUCUUUCUUUCUUACUUUUUUUUUGUUUUAAUAAAUAGCUUGUGGUUGUGAAAAUAAUUUGAAUUAAACUAUGCUUAACUGCCUAUUUGGUACAACUUCUCUACUAGCCAAAAGAUUUUUUUUUAAUCAUUUAUUUAUACCUCGAGUAGAGUUUUUGGAGAUUAAAUAGGUGAUAUUUUGUCUCUAUUAAAAAGAAAACUCAAAAGGUAGGACUAUUUGAAGUUUGAAUCCACCAAACUACUCAUUAAAAAUUCAUUUGUGAAAAUAAUUUUUAAUUAUUAAAAUACCCCUAAAUUAAAUUACAAUUAUGAACACUAAAAUAUAGUAAACAAUUUUUUUUUUACUCUUUGAAAUUGUCCUUACAUUCGAUAUUAAAUUUUUUUCUUAAACUCUAAAUUAAUUUUUUUUUUCAUUUUUAAGUAAUUUUAAGGCACAUAUAAAGUGAUUCAUAUUGAUUUUAUACUAACAAACUAUUACAGCAGAUUUGGAAAAUGAUUAACUCGUUCUCAUUUUCCUAGUGAAAAUGCAAAUAGCUCAUUUAAACGUUAAGGAAUUGGAGAGUUGCUGCUGGAGAUGAAAGAUGUGAAUUAAACAUCAGAAAAAAAAAUUAUGUUUACUAUCUUACCAGACCAAGCACCGAAAAGCAUGGUAAAGAAAAAUUACAUAAUUCUGACUUAGAAGACGAAAAAAAAUGAAAUACAAUUUGAAUAAGAGAUAGAAGAUAAAGCACGUGAAUGGAGGCAGAAAGCAAGUAAUGAUAACUCUUUCGACAAAACUAAUAUAUAUCAAAAUGCAAUAUCAAAAAUGAAAAUAAAAAUUCAUUACGAAUACAUGUUAAUGAUAUCCCAAGUGUUGAGUAAUAAAAAGUACCAGGCAGGCAUCUCCCCAUUCCAUGCCUGAGAAUGAAUCUCUCCAGCUGAAUGAUACGAGCAGAUUCCUAAUAAUAUAUCCUUUAUGGAACACAUACCAACUAGAAACGAAUACCGACCAGAAGUUCAUACCGACCAGGUACUUGUCACUCAAAGAAAGAGAAUACAAUCUCACGAACGCGCGACAGUUUUGCCACAUUCCAAACCGCUAGGGAGAACACGACGCCCCACGUUUACCCACAUUCAGUUGUUGAAGACCCAUUAAGGCCCUUGAUCACCCAAAUAUGACGGGAAGGAAAAAUAUUCUGAGAAAGUGGGACGAUUGCCUAUAAAAAGCUGGGAAAUCAAUUAAGAAAGGGACAGACAAAAAGAGAGAGGGGGGAAACUCUACCGAAUUGAUACCAGGCAUUACUACAUAAUAGCCUUAAAUACAUUUUACUUUAAGAACAUCACAAUGAGUGUGCGUAACCAUAAAUCAUACAAUUUUCCCGCAAACUUCAUGUACUAACUUAAGCAUCGGAGGGUUUAUUCCGGAAAAACCACCAACGUCUCUGGUUUGUUUAUGUGAAUGUAGAUUUGAAAAGAAGAGAAAGAGUGAUUUGAGUUCAAGGAGCUCGGGCAAUUGCUAAAGUUAGUGGAAAAAAUUAAAUGAGACUCAAAAUCAAUCCAGAGGAAUAAAUGAGAAACCUAAUCCUAAUAAAAUACAUUCACAAAUCUUAAUGCUAAUUAAAAUCACGGAUAAAAAACAUAAUAUGAAUGAAUUACAGGCACAACUAUUUUAUUAAGAAAUUAAUAAAAUCGUGUAUUAAUAUAUUUUGUACAUUUUUUUUCCAUAUAUAACUUUCGGUAAUUUAGUUUUCCACUUAUCAUUUUUACUCCAAAAAAAUAUUGAGAAUAUUAUUUAUGUUUUGGUGUAAAAUAUUUGAACAAUAUACAAAUUUUCAGUUUAAUACAUCUAAACAUUUAUUAAGUUAUAAAUGAAUUUAAUGGGUUUAACUAGUACAAAUACUAUUAUUUUAUAAAUUGGGUUUAAUAAUAGUAUAUUGGGGAUUUAGGUUGAGUAAAUUUUAAAAUUUUAAAAUUAAAGGGUGGGUUUGUUUAGCAAAUGAGUUUUUUUUUUUUUUUUAUUACAUGAGACUAUUGCUCAAAUUACAGUUCAAGUUACAACUCAUAUUACAUGAGAGUAUAAUUGAUAUGUACAAUCAUAUAUUUAUACUGAGCCCUGUUGAUAUUAAUGCUGAUAUGACACCGCUCAGAUUUUUAACCCUCUCAAAUAUUUGAGGGAUGUCAAACUCCCAUCCUGGGAGAAAGACUGUCUUCACUCGAGCUCAAGGGCUCCAAGAAAGAAUAUUUAAAGUAAAACCCCUACAAUGCGACUGCGGAGGCUCGAACCCCUUCCCUCACAUUUGUGAGGGAGGGGCUUAGCCUUAGCCCAAGUGGCUCUUUUAGCAAAUGAGUUAAGGGAAUAGUUUGUUGGGAUUUAAAUAGCCCCACCCAAACUCAAAUGUAAAAUUUUUGAAAAAAGAGACUAUUACGUUUUAAAAAAAAGAAUUAAAAGGUCAAGAAUACCUCUAUUUAAUUUUAUAAUCAUAUUUUAUUUCUACCCUAAUAUAAUAUUAAAAAACUUAACUAAAAAUUUUAUAAUUUUUUAUAAAAAUUACCAUUAACAUCCAAAAAGCUAAAGAUUAAAAAAAAAAAAGGAACUGUAUUUACAAAAGUUAUAUCAAUAAUAAAUUCAGUCCAAAGAAAAAAGUUAUUGUAAACAAGUACUCAUAUUUAUCUCUACUUUAACAAUAAUCUUCGAAUCCGUUUUACAAUGGAUUUUAACCAAUGGGCUUAUGAGUCCUUUUUUGGAAAGCAUGAAAGCGAUGGCCCAAUCUCUAAACUUCAUUUUCUUUAGCCAGAAAGCCUAAAACAAGACCAGCCCAUAGAUAUAUAACUACCGGAAAAAAUUAAAAAGAAAAAAAAGAGUAAAAUUGUGUAAGAGCUUUUAGAAUUACAAUUUUAGGAUCACGUGUGUAAAUGGAACUCCAAGAUUGAUCAAGAAUUAACAAGGCAAGAUGAAGGGAUGAUCUUGUAGCAAAGAAUGAAGAAAUUGAAUCAAGAAAGUACUCUAGUGCUUUAGUGCUUUACAGUUAAGGGAUAUAGGGUGCGUUUGGGAUUGAGGUUGGGCAGCUGUAGCUUAAAAGCUACAGCACUAAAGUGUUUGGUAAACACUAGCUGCUGUAACUUUUAAGCUAUGUUGAUAUAAUUUUUCACUUGUAUAAUAUAAAAUUUAUUAUAUCUUUAAUAAUUUUGAUAAAAUUAUUAUUUACAAUUUAUAUUUAUUAUAUAUUAUUAACUUUUAUUUCAUAAUUACAACUUCUUUUUUACAGCAGCUGUAGCUUAAAAACUACAGCACCUCAAUCCCAAACACAACCAUAGUGUGAAUUCAUUACAAAGCAUUCGCAAAGAAAUUGUUUUUAAAUGAAACUCCUCGUCUUGACCAGAUUAUUUAUUAUUAUUCAAAAAAAAAAUGUUCAAAACUUAGCCAAAGUGAUAAACUCGUAAUUAUUCUACAAAGGGAACAAUUUUGAACGGUCGGAAAUUCCAUGCUUAUGAUUUUCUCUGCACUAUUUCAAUAAAAUUAUUACCCAGUGAAGACUUUAGAGACAAGUGCCCCCAUGAGAUCAAGCAAAUAUGCCCCCACAAAGAUCACAUAAUUAUUUCUUGUUCUUUUUCUUUUUGACAAUUUUAUCUGUGGUUUCAACUUUUACGCUUUAUUGUCAUUUCUCGUUGAGGGCUCCGCUGCACCCAUUACAACUUACCCCUAUAUUGUCUUUUACUGACUAAACCGUUAGAUUUGACGGAUAGCACGUUCAAUGCUGAAUUUUAAUUAUAUCAUCAAAUUUCGUUUAGCUCCUUAAACUCCAUUUUAUUUUUUAUUUCUUUAUAAAAUAUUCAAAGCUUCAUCAAGCUCCCGAUGGACCAUCAUGGCUAGGGGUGCAUUAGAGCCGAACUGAAAUAUGUUAGUUUAGUUUAGUUUGGUCAGUUUAAAUCGAAUGGUUUAGAAAAUAUAAAAUGAUCAAUUUUAAUUUUGAAUUGAACCGAACCAAAAAUUAAUUGAUUUGCUGUUAGUAUUUUUGCAUAAACAUAAAUGAUUAGUGAUUAUAAUUGAAUUGGACUAAAAAAAAUCAAACAAAAGUGAAAAAUAUAAAAUCUUAGACAAUAUAAAAGAAAAAAUAUUAAAUAUAUAAACCAAAACGAACUGAAUUAUUUUGACUCAGUUUUGGUUCAUAAUUUUUUAAACCAAACUGAUUUAUUCCCACCCCCUAAUCGUGGCCCUCUAUCUUUAGUCAUUCACCCUUGAGUUUGAUACCAAUUGUUGGGUUUCAAAUGAUUAUACACUCAAAUGGAACCCCUCAUAACCAAAAACUAACAGAAACAAUAAGAACACAAUGUUAAAAUCUUAAAUCAAUCGCAAAAAAGCACCCAAAACAGAUCGAUUAGGAAUAGUUAACAACAAAAGAUUUAAUGGUUCAAAAUCAUAAUGUGACCUACUUCCAUCCAAGAAUCAUACUAAUUGCUUUACUUGUUGUCAAAUACGAGAUCAUAAGAUUGUUUAUCACUCUACAGAGAAAAAAAAUUUAGAAGAAAUACUCCCCAAUUUUUCUCUUAAUAGUUAUGAAUCAACACCCCUGAUUUACUUUUCCUUAUUUCCUAUGAUCGGUUGCUGCUACUUAAUCCUUACCAAGCUCCAACAUAGUCCAAACACUUUUCAUGGUACAUGCACAGUGCACCUUCAGAAACUUUACAGCUCUUCUUAAAACCUCAGGCCUAUAGAGUGCAAUUUCGCACCUAUAUGCUUAGUCCUCUCAGUUCUCGUGAUGUUUUUGAUUUAUUUCUCGGACGAGUAGCACUUUUAGCUGCCAUAAUACAAUGUAAUUGACUUCUGAGCAUGACUUAAUUUUGAGAUCAUUACUUUUAGUUAAAUGAUCUCCUCCAGAGCUUCUACCUAUGUAGUGUUUUUAGACCUCUAUAGUUGAUAAAGCAUGUUCAAGGUGAAGGCUUGUUUUCCAAUCUAUAGUCCAAUUAUAGACUGGAACUGGUCAGGCUUAAUGCACCUUCAAAAGCUUCACAACUUAUAUUGAAACCUUAAGCCUUGUAGAAUGCUACAAAUUUUAAAUCCAUAUACUUAGUGCUCUUAUGAUUUGUUUGAUUUUUACUUAGAUGAAGAGCAUUUUAGCUAUAGAAUACAGAAACUAAUUCAAAGCCUGCCUUAGCUAUGAGAUCAUUCAUUCUAGCCAAAUGCCCCUUUAGAGAUUCUGCUAUUGUUGCGUAUUAAGCCUCUAUAUCAAAGCAAUUACAUGUCGAAGGCUUGCUUUGCAGUUAACAGCGCAAUUACAAUUAUAUAGAUUAAAGGUGUAAAUCCAUAAAACUACCAGACUUCAAUCUUUAGACUCCAUAGAUCAAACCAUAACUUAGUGUGCCUUUCAAUCUCAGGUAACUGUUUUCCACGUCUUGCCAUGUACUUGCUGCUAACACUAACAAUUUGAGAAAUGUUAGGCAUCGUAAGCAGCCGACAACACUCUUCUUCAUUUCUUCAUUGUCAAUUUCUUUCUUGGAACAUUGCUCCAUUGAGAGUCUGCUAUCAUUGCUCCAAUUAUUAUUAUUUUUGUUUUUGUUUUUUAAAAAAAUAACCGUGCAAUAAGAGUAUAAGACUAAGCAACGGUCCUUUUUUUUUUACCCAUUCUUGAACAUGAAGUAUUUGAGUAUGUAAUAAAAAUUGUUUAUCGAUAAUUAAAAGUUAAUAGUGGGUGGCUUUAGGUUUUGUUUACAAAAUUGACAACAAAUUAGAUUUUUCAAAUUCAUAGGUAAGAAACUUUUCAUUUAUUCAUAGAUUUUCCGGUUUAAACUUUAAAGGAAACUUAAAAGAAAAAGAUGUAUCAUUAGGUUUGUAAUUAAAAAAAUUUAAUAUUGUAUGAUCUGUUCGAUAUGCAUAAUUUAAAUAAACAUUAAUAUAGAUGUUAUAUAUCCUAAAACUUAAUUGACUUAAUUCUUAUGGUGCAAGGAAGAGGUUUCCAAGUUUAAAUCUAAAGUCUUGUAUUUAAUUUGGGGUCGGGAAAGCACUGGGAAAUAAAUGUAACAAAGGAAAAAAAAAAAAGAAUGACAGUCUGAGUGGAGCCAACGCGGUUUUAAAAAAAGUGAAAAAAAGGGUUUAAAAAAAAAAACGCGGUUUGCUUGCUUGUGGAAAUAGAAGUCUCAUGUUUCUUUGAAAGGUAAGCAAGUGUGAAUGUUUCUAUCUAGAGCUGGAAAAUGCAUUUCCGUGCAACUUACUUGAUGAAUGAAGUUUUCAUCGCUGACCCUGAUGUUUCCCUGAGCUGCAUUCAUUGCAGCUGAUGUAUUUCAUUUUGUUUUCGAAGGAGUGACACAAAAUCUCCUUCGUUAAGGUGAGAAUUUAGAGUGGCUUUAACUGUUAACAAAUAGCCUAAUAUAAGACUUAAUCUACUUCCUGCCCUGUUGUAUGCUUAUGAAAUUUGAUAGAGUUAUGAGUUUGCAGAAGCUACUGUAUUAUAUGUUGCUUGAGGCUGUAAAAAUGAGGCAGAUCAAACACACAUUUAAAUUUCAAUGACAAUUUACUGGAAGUAAAUUUCCUAUGACCCUACAUGUGACUAAUUGAUGAGAAGUUGACAAAUGACAAAAGAAAGUGUAUGAGCUUUGCAGGUUGGCAUGCCGAUACUGACUGUGUGGCACCAUCCGCCAUUUGGAAGUGAAUAUCAUUAUUCUUUAAUCAACAUGGUGGAGUCCACUGGGACCACACCACAUGGUCAGUCUUAUCUCUAUUCCUCAAUUUUCAGUAUUCCAUACAUGAAAACAACUUCAGUUUUGUUAUCAAUUAUAAUUUCAUUGUUGGUGACGAUUCUGAUUCCUUUCUUUCUGACAAAACGGAACCAUGGUUGCUGUGGGAGAGAUCUUACUCAACGCCUUCUUUCAGGUGUUGUUUGACAGGUUGGCUUCCCGUGAUUUGCUCAGCUUUGUCCGUCAACUUGGAGGCGGGGUCGAUUCCGAGCUCAAGAAGUGGGAAAGAAAGCUGAAGAUGAUUCAGGCGGUGCUCAACGAUGCAGAGGAGAAGCAACUGACUGACGAGGCUGUGAAGACGUGGCUGGACGAUCUCCAAGACUUGGCUUAUGACGCUGAGGACAUUCUUGAUGAGUUUGCUACUCAAGCUUUGGAAAGCAAGUUGAUGGCGCAAAAUCAGGAUAGCUCUGGCCAGGUUCUCAGUUUCAUCCCGGCUAGUAUCCGAAUGCUGUUAGGUUCAAUUAUAGCAUGAGGUCCAAGAUUAACGAUAUUACUAGCCGGUUGGAGCAACUCUGCAAAGAAAGAAUCGAACUUGGACUGCAACGGAUUCCUGAAGGGGCAUCAUCAACUGCUGCUGCUGCACACCAGAGGCCACCCAGUUCAAGCGUCCCACCAGAACGUGAAGUUUUUGGUAGAGAAGAAGAUAAGGCCAAAAUUCUUGAUAUGGUAUUGGCCGAUAGCCCAAGUGAUCAUGCCAACUUUGCUGUAAUACCCAUUGUUGGCAUGGGCGGGAUAGGAAAAACAACUCUCGCUCGGGAGGUCUACAAUGACAAGGCCGUUGAACAUUCCAAGUUUGAUGUAAAAGCAUGGGUUUGUGUAUCUGAUGUCUUUGACAUUUUGGGCAUCUCAAAGGCACUUCUCGAGUCAAUCUGCUGCGCAGCUAGUGAUCUCAAGACUUUAAAUGAAGUGCAGGUUCAACUGAAAAAAGCAGUGGACGGAAAAAGAUUCUUGCUGGUCUUAGAUGAUGUUUGGAACGAGGACUACAGCUUGUGGGUAGACUUAAAAGCUCCAUUCUUGGCUGCUGCACCAAAUAGUAAGAUGAUUAUCACCACACGCAAUUCACAUGUUGCAUCUACAAUGGGACCCAUUGACCAUUAUAACCUCAAGCAUCUGUUAGACGAUGAUUGCUGGUCUAUUUUCAAAACGCAUGCAUUGGAGGGUAGAGAUCAUAAUGCACUUGAAAUCUCAGAAUCAUUUCGCAAGAAAGUUGUUGCCAAAUGUGGAGGCUUGCCCCUUGCUGCAAAAACACUCGGAGGCCUUUUGCGUACGACGAGGCAUGAUGCGUGGGAUGAUAUAUUAGAGAGCAAAAUAUGGGAUUUACCUCAACAAAGUGGGGUUCUCCCAGUAUUAAGAUUGAGUUACCAUCAUCUUCCUUCUCAUUUGAAAAGAUGUUUCGCUUACUGUGCAAUCUUUCCAAAAGAUUAUGAAUUCAAUGAGAAGGAGGUGACUUUUUUAUGGAUGGCUGGAGGAAUUAUUCGACAGUCAAGAAGCAAAGAGCGGCUAGAAGAUUGGGGCAGCAAGUGCUUCUAUGAUCUGGUGUCAAGGUCAAUUUUUCAGCAAACAGCAAUCUCUGGUAGUUCUAAAUUUGUAAUGCACGACCUUAUUCAUGAUCUUGCUGAAUUCGUCUCUGGAGAAACCAUAUUCAGGUUAGAGGAGUCCACCAACUUGUCGUCAAGCAGAUUUGAAAGAGUUCGCCAUUCUUCCUAUGCCGGCGGUUGGUAUGAUGGUAAAAAUAAGUUUGAGGUUUUCUAUGAAAUUGAACAUCUACGAACAUUCUUGCCAUUACGCUUACGCAUGCGAGGUACUUUUUUCAUAACUAGAACGGUUCUAUCUGAUUUGCUGCCAAAGUUCAAAAAAUUGAGGAUGCUAUCUUUAGAAGGAUACUGUAUUGGUGAGUUACCAAUUCCAUUUGAAGAUCUCAGACUUUUAAGGUUCCUCAACCUCGCUGACACUGACAUAAGAAGUUUACCUGAGUCAACAUGCAAAUUGCUGAACUUGGAAAUUCUGAUAUUAAGAAAGUGUUCCCGCUUGAUAAAGCUUCCCCAGAAAAUGAGGAAUUUGAUCAAUUUACGUCAUCUGGAUAUAAGAGGUGCACAGCAGCUGAAGGAGAUGCCAUUUGGAAUGAAAGAGUUGAAGAAGCUUCAAACAUUGUCCAAUUUUAUUGUGGGCAAGGGUGAAACUGCAUCCGGUGUGGAAGAUUUAAAAUGUUUAAGCUUUCUUUGUGAUGAACUUUGCAUUGCUGGAUUAGAGAAUGUGAAUAAUCCACAGAAUGCAAGAGAAGCCGCAUUAUGCGAGAAGCACAAUCUUGAAGCAUUGACUCUAGAAUGGGGGUCUCAAUUUGACAAUUCUCGAGAUGUAGCAAUAGAAGAGCACGUGCUUGACAUUCUACAGCCUCAUAAAUGUAUAAAAAAGGUGGCAAUCAGGAGCUAUGGUGGUGCAAGAUUUCCACUUUGGAUAGGAGAUCCGUUGUUCUCCAAGAUAGAAUUCCUUGAAUUGGAGAACUGUGACAAUUGUGUAUCUUUGCCAUCGCUUGGCCGUUUGAGUUCACUUAAACACCUUGCUGUUAAAGGGCUGAAGAAACUAAAAAGCAUAGAGCCUGAGGUUUAUGGGGAGGGUUUCUCAACGCCUUUUCCAUCAUUGGAGAUUCUAAGUUUCGAGAAUUUGACAGAAUGGGAGCAUUGGGACACGGAUAUCAAAGGAAAUGCACUUGUUGAAAUAUUUCCUCGUCUCCAUAAACUUUCCAUUGUGAAAUGUCCCAAACUCUCUGGAGAACUGCCUGAGCUCCUGCCCUCCUUGGAGACACUUGUUGUUAGUAAAUGUGAAAAGUUGGUAGUUCCAAUGUCUUGCUAUCCGAUGCUCUGCAGAUUAAAAGUUGAUGAGUGCAAAGAACUGGUCUGCCGGACUCCAAUUGAUUUUAAGUUGAUAAAGUCUGUGACUAUUUCAAAUUGUUCACUAGACAUGUAUGGAUGCAAGGGGAUGCUAUACAAUGGUCCAGCUGGCUCUUCACUGCCGAAAUCCAUGACUAUUACAAAUGUUUUGGCGUUUGGAAAAUUAUUGAAGCCUGGAUUUCAGAUAUUAGAAACUUUGGUAAUUGACAAUUCUGAACAGCUCAAGUCAUGGAGGCAGCGUGGGGAUUUUCGACAAGAAUAUUUGGGCGUUCGCGUAAGGCGUCACAAACCAUCACAAGGGCUAGAUAUGCUCGCCUCCCCAGAAGAGGUAACAAUUGAAGAAAGUUGUGUGAGUUUUGUUUUAUUUCCAGAGAUCAAUUUCUUUCCCAGAAAUCUGCGCUCUCUUCUAAUUUGCAACAGCACAGCUUUAAAAUCCUUACCCGAUGAAAUGAUGGACAAUUCACAACUCGAAAGGUUGUAUAUCAGAGAUUGCGAUUCUCUAACAUUCAUCACAAGACGCAAGCUACCUUCAUCUCUAAAAAGUAUAGAGAUUGAGAAUUGUGAGAAACUGCAACAUUUGUUCGAUGAUAAAGAGGAUGCUUCUUCUUCUUCUCCUCCUUCAUCCUCGUCCUCCCCAGUGAUGCUGAAACACCUGAGUAUAAAUAAUUGCCCAGUGCUCACCAGUUUAUCAACAGGAAUCCAAUUACUUGAGGCGCUUGAAAGCCUCGAGAUACGGGAUUGUCCAAAGCUGGAGUCAUUACCAGAUGGCCUUCACAAUCUUAACUGUUUACAGGAGAUUACUCUAAACAGUUGUCCAAGUCUUGUUUCCUUCCCAGAAAGAGGACUUCCCAACACGAUUUCAAAUCUUGUAUCGUUUCCAGAAGAAGGUUUUCCUACCAAUCUAACAUCACUUACAAUUGGAUAUUUCAAAAUGUAUAAGACACUCGUCCAGUGGGGGUUGCACAGGCUUACCUCUCUUAAACGCCUCUGCAUCAUUGGAUGUGAUGAUGAAGCAGAGUGUUUUCCAGACGAGGAGAUAGGAAUGACGCUGCCCACCUCUCUCACUCAUCUGACACUUUCGGAAUUCAAAAAAUUGAUAUCUCUGUCUUCGACGGGUAUUCAGAGCCUCAACUCUCUUCAAUCUUUGUCGAUCGGGAAUUGCCCGAAUCUCACAUCAUUUCCAGAGGUGGGCCUUCCAUCCUCACUUUUGGAAUUACACAUUUACAGUUGUCCAAAGCUUAAAAAAGCGUGCAAAAGAGAUCAAGGAAAAGACUGGCCCAAAAUUGCUCACAUCCCUUUCGUUGAGAUAGACGGUAAAUUCAUAUACGAUCCCGAAUCAGAGGAGUAGAUUCUAUUACACAGGUCAGUUGAUUUAUAUUAUCCGCUAUAACAAGCUCCUCCUUUUUUAUUUUUUUUAAAUAAUAAUUUUGCAGUCAGUCACGUGAUUCCGUUUUCACAAGUCAGAUUGUAUGUUGAGGCUAUUUGCCUUUUAAUCGCAGAUUAAAUUAUAACACUUAUCUUAAAAUUUAAUACCAUAGACAGAUAGACGAUUUUUUAAUCCAAAGUUUUUUUUAUUCACUUCAGUUAGCAUUUUUUUUUCCCCCAAAUCAUGCAAGCCGAGAGUUUCAAUCAAGAAUUGGAGGAUGUGAAUGGGAUUUUUGUGAAAGAGUAACAUAAUGGAUGACCGAACAUUUCAUCUGUGAUCUCAAAGUCAACAGAAUUUUAUUCACUCAUUGACUUUUCAACUGCCGUGGUUUUUAUGGGUGAAAGAUAAGGGCAAUUACAAAAAAUUUGCAAAAUUUGUCAAUUUCUUAGAUGGUAGAUAUAUCGACAUUUUAGAUUUCAGAUAUUUGUCACCAAUUUGCAAAAUUGAAAUUUCUGUCUUCAAUGGGUUUUCAAAGCCUCGCCUCUCUUCGAUUUUUGUGGAUUGGGAAUUGCACAAAUCUCACAUCAUUUCCCGAGGUCGAGGAAAAGAGCGGCCCAAACUUGCUCGCAUCCCUUGGGUUAUGAUAGAUGGAAAAUUCAUGUACGAUCCAGUCAGAGGUGUUGAUUCUCUUAUUAAGGUCAGCUGAUUUCUAUUAUCCACUCUGACAAUCUCCUAUUAGUGUUUUUCCUUUUUUUUUUUUCAAAAUUUUGCAGUUCUGUAUAAUUGAAAAUGCCACUCACUUGUUUCCUUUUUCACAGGUCAGAUAGUAUGUUGAGGCUAUUUGAUUUCUAUCGGUGUUUGUUAAGGUAAUUAGUGCUCCCUCAUAGGUAUGACUAGAUUUUUUUCACUUCCGUAAAUAUUGCAUUUUAGACUGGCAAAUUUAGCAGUAAUUUUAAUACAAUUUUGUUGGUGCCUUGUGUGCCAGAAGCUAGAAAAAUGUGUAGUUUUCAGAUAAGGAGUCUUGUUAGUUCUCUAGUAAGAAUCCAAUAAUUUGCUUUUGCACGUCCAUCUAAUUUGUGGAUCCUUGCAUCAGAAUUUGAUCAAUCCAAAGGAAUUGCUUUUAGACAGAAGAAGAAUAGCAGCACCUAGCCUAUGUCAUAGUGUAUGGACCCGCAAACCUGAAACUAUUAGAUUGAGGUAAAAAAAUCAUUGACCCUCACAUGUUAACUUCUUCUAGUUACUUUUGUUGGGAAAAAAAAACAUUUAAGGAAUUUGCAAUUUGUUGUUAGUUAUGGUAUCUGAUGUUCUUUUCUGUUUUAGCGUUUGUAGAAUCUACGGUAUUAUGUGUUGGCAGUUGCCGUAUCUGAGGUAACUUGCCUUUAUUUGUUUGCUUCUGACUUAAGGACACCAACAUUUGCCAGAGAUUUAGAGAAGCAUCUCAAAACACUUAGCAAACUUGACAAACUUCAAGAUGCACUUGCCCCCACGCCUUAUUCUCCACAACGCAAAACUUGUGAGUACACUUAUGCCUGCAAUUAUUGUGAAGUGUUUGCAAUUUCGAUGCAGAGAAAUGGUUUCUUGAUGCAAAGUAUUAAACUGUUAAGAUUUAUCCUGCAGGCUUGUUAGAUGUUGUAUACUCGAAAAGCCAACAACAUCAAGAACUACAACUCCAAGACCAACUUUGCAUUAAUUCAGUCAGCUGUAAAAAUGAUGCAAAUGACACUAUAUCAAGCUGGACUUAGAGACUAGUCAGAUCAAUCAUCCAUUUCAUCAACGGUUAAUGUCAUGAUGGUGGCUAUCAGAGGAAACAAAAGAUGUGUCAGAAUCUAUACGAACAUUGAGAAGCAUGAGAGGAGCUUUGAUUUUGAGUAGGGUCAAUGAACUCAUGUUGGUAAGUGGUGAUUAAAGAAAUUUGUAAGCUUAGUAGAGUUUCAGUAUUUUCUGUUUGGAGUAUAGUUGAUAAGUUGACUCUGUUUAAGAAGCCCGAUUAUAGUAGCUGACUGUAUUAACCUUUUUUUUUUUGGUCUGCUGUUGUUUUUGGUUUCGAUUAUUUUUUCAACAUUGGGUUGAUCUGUUGAAGAACAAGCUUGGGUUUGAUUAUGUUUUAACUAUAAGGAAGAGCCAGACUUGGUUGCAGGCGUUAAGCUUUUAAUGGGUAAGAACAAAUGAAUGCUUUAACCAUGUUUCUCACUUAUUAAAAUGCAUGGAUUGAAGGCAUCUGGGUUGAUCCUGACAAUGUGAUGGAAAUACUUCUCUGUUUUCAUGUAACAGGACAAAUAGAGAUCUCUGAUCAUGCCUGAAUUUUUGUUGCAUUGAAAUUUCUACCAUUACCAAACAUAGAAUGAACUGGGGAUACAUUAGCUUAAGACUCAAUUUUGAGAAGGAAGUUUGUACUUGCAGCCUAUAAAAUCAUGUCCGUGUCGUACGUUUCUUUGGGAAAUGAAAGAUUCUGUGUGUUCUUUUAUUUCAAGUUCACUGAAAUCACAUUUGUUUUCUCCGAUGCUUUCCAGAAGGUAACAACAUCAAUUUCAAAAAUGCUGGGGCAAGAUGCAUCAUGCAGUGCGACUCAACUUGAGAAUUCCUGGCCACAUUACCCGUAUGUCGAAUGAUCGCACAGUUCAACCUUGAGAAGCUUGUAAUGAGUACACAACUGGGUGCAAGUAGUUUUGAAAUGAAUUUGCCUCAAAUGAUUUCUUGCUCGCAUCCCUUGGGUUAUGAUAGAUGGAAAAUUCAUAUACGAUCCAGAGUCAGAGGUGUUGAUUCUCUUAUUAAGGUCAGCUGAUUUCUAUUAUCCACUCUGACAAACUCCAAGACCGGGUUUUUUUUUUUUUUUAAUUUUGCCGUUCUGUAUAAUUGAAAUGCCACUCACUUGUUUCCUUCUUCACAGGUCCGAUAGUAUGUUGAGGCUAUUUGCUUUUUAUCGGUGUUUGUCAAGGUAAUUAGUGCUGCCUCAUAGGUUGAUUACUCACAGAUGAAAUCAUAACUUUUAUCUUAAAAUUUAAUAGCAUACACAGAUAGAUGAUUUUUAGUCCAAAGUUUUUUUAUUCACUUCAAUCAAAAUUUUAGAUUGCAGAUUUUUGUCAAGUAUUUCAUUACAAUUUUUUCAUUUUUUAUUUUAAACCAGAAUAUGAGUAUAACAUUUUGGAGCGUGCAUACUCUGAUGCAUGCAAUUAACUGUUUUUAAUCAUUGGAUUUUGAAAUUAAUAAUGGUAAGAUGUGUACUUAUUCUGUCUUCCAACAACCUUGGCCUCUUUCUUCGGUCGCAUAUCUAAUGAAUAUUUCUCUGUUUAGUUAAGGAUGAAUGCUUGGAGUGGGGUACUUGGUAACAUUUCUGCCUCAGAUGAAUCCUUGAAGAAAUGCCCGCAGUUCCUGAGACCAAAUACAGGUCUGAUUCAAAACAGCACCUUUCUCAGAAAAUAUGAUCCAAGGCAAAGUCAUGUUCUGAUAAUGUUUCCUUAAGUACAAAGUUGCAAGGAAACUUGAUUCAUUAACUACAGUUUUUUAUUUUUAGGACCUUGUAUCUGAAAGGUUCAGUGUUUUUUUUUUUUUCAAAUUUAUUGUUCAGAUCUCAGAGGAGUAUAUGGUUUAGAUUACAAAACACCCAUGAUUAAUUUCAUUUUUUUUUUAAUUUCAGGGAGAAGAAGUGGUCAGUUUCAAUCCGGAAUUGGAAUAUGGCAAUUUGGUUCAAGCACACACACCUGGUCACUUGGUCAGUGAACCUGAACUUUACGCAGUUUUUUCAACUCAGUGAUUUUUGGAACGCAUAGUGGUGUAAGGAAAUCAAAAGAAAUUUAUGCAUAGUCAAAUUCUGAUAUUUGCUAUAUAUUAUACAUUCUAAAGUUUCUCCAGUUUGUUCUCAGAUUACCAUCAUUUUUUGCCUUCACCAAAAAAAAAAAAUUGAGUGGCUUUCCAGUGGAUAUUUAAUCGGAGGUAUGACUGGAUUUUUUUCACUUCUGUAAAUCUUGCAUUUUAAACUGGCAAAUUUAACUUUAAUUUUAAUACGACUUUGUUGGUGCCUUGUGCCCCAGAAACUAGAAAGAUGUGUAGUUUUCAGAUAAAGGGGCUUGUAAAUUCUCUAGUAAGAAUCCAAUAAUUUGCUUUUGCACGUUCAUUUUAUUUGUGGAUCCUUGCAUCUGAAUUUAAUCAAUCCAAAAGGAAUUGCUUUUAGACAGAAGAAGAAUAGCAGUACCUAGCCUAUGACAUAGUAUAUGGACCUGCAAACCUGAAACUAUUAGUUUGAGGUAAAAAAUUCAUGACCCUCACAUGUUAACUUUCAUGAAAAACACAUUUAAGAAAUUUGCAAUUUUUUGUUAGUUUCGUAUCCGAUGUUGUUUUCUGUUUUAGCAUUUGUAGAAUCUACUGUAUUAUAUUUUGGCAGUUGCAGUAUCUGAGGUAUGUUUUGCAUUUAACUUGCUUUAUUUGUUUUGCUUGUGACUUAAGAACACCAAUAUUUGCCAGAGAUUUAGAGAAGCAUAUCAAGCUGCUUGGCAAACUUGACAAACUUCAAGAUCCUCCAUUCUUCACAACGCAAAACUUGUAAGUACACCUAUGCCCGCAGUUAUUGUGAAAUGCUUGCAAUUUUGAUGCGCUGAAAUGGUUUGUUGAUGCAAAGGUUUAAACUUUUAAGAUUUACCCUGCAGGGUAGUUGGAUGCUGUAUACUCGAAAAGCGACCAACAUCAAGAACUAUGACUCCAAGACCGGGUUUGCUUUAAUUCAAUCAGCUGAAAUCAUGAUGCAAACGACACUAUCAGCUGGACUUAGAGACCGGUCAGAUCAAUCAUCCAUUUUAUCAACAGUUAAUGUCAUGAUGGUGGCUAUUAGAGGAAACAAAGGAUGUGUCGGAAUCAAUGUGAACAGUGAGAAGAAUGAGAGGAGCUUUGAUUAUACGUAGGCUCAAUGAACUCAUGCUGGUAAGUGGUAAUUAAAGAAAUUUGUGCGCUUAGUAGCAUUUCAAUAUUUUCUGUUUGGGAUAUAGUUGAUGAGUUGAUACUCUGAUUAAGAAGCCUGAUUAUAGUAGCUGACUUUUUUUUUGUGGUUUGCUGUUGAUUUUUCUUUUGAUUUUUUCAACAUUAGGUUGAUCUGUUGAAGAACAAGCUUGGGUUGAUUAUGCUUUAACUACAAGGAAGAGCCAGACUUGGAUGCAGGCGUUCAGCUUUUAAUGGGUAAGAACAAAUGUAUGCUUUAAACAUGUUUCUCACUUAUUACAAUGCACGCAUUGAAGGCAUCUGAGCUGAUCCUGAAAAAGUGAUGGAAAUACUUCUCUGUUUACAUAAAACAGGACAAGAGAUCUCUGAUCAUGCCUGAGAAUUAGUUGCAUUGAAAUUUCUACCAUUGCCAAAAAUAGAAUAAACUAGGAAUACAUUAGCUUAAGACUCAAGUUUGAGAAGGCAGUUUGUACAUGCAGCCUAAAAAAUCAUGUCUGUGUUGUAUACUUGUAUGUUUCUUUGGGAAAUGAAAGAUUCUGUGUGUUCUAUUAUUUCAAGUUUGCUGAAAUCACAUUUGUUUUCUUAGAUGCUUUUGAGAAGGUAACAACAUCAAUUUCAAAAAUGCUGGGGUAACAUGCAUCACGCAGUGCUACUCAACAUGAGAAUUCCGGCCGCAUUACCUGUAUGUUGAGUGAUCGCACAGUACAGCCUUUAGAAGCUUGUAAGGAGUAGACAACUAGAUGUGAGUAGUUUCAAUAUGGAUUCGCAUCAAAUGAUCUCUUGCCAGUGAUUACUAUAACCUCUAUCCCAAAAUUCUUGGAACUGGUCAUACCAAUAAUGAAGUGUUGUGUAUGUUGAAGACAUUGCGAAAGCUCCGUCAGCCUUUGUAUUGGAAAACAGUUGGUUGUAGUUGCUUCUGAAUGAUAUUAUUAAUAGAUACUGUAAAAAUGAACUGUGCCACUCAUUUUCAGAGCCCUGUUAAGAUGUGUUGGUAAUGUGUUUGAAGGUUGUUUGAUUUAUGUUGUAUUCAGCUAUAAAUCAAAGAUUCAGAACAUGGUUAUGUUACUGGUUUCCAAAUCAAAAAAUUGCCUUGUGAUGUUAGUGUUCAUUGUUUUCACAGGAGAUCAGGUUCCCUGUUGAUGAAUCAUUAAGGCAAACGCAUCCAUGUCUUAAGUUCAAAUGUGUCUCUUCUAUUUUCUAUUACUGACUCCUUUAUUUUGAUUUCUUCAUUGUAAUGGAAUUGGUUUUUAUUCCAAAUUAGUCUUAAGUUCUGUUAGCAUUUGAAGAUAGAACUAGAACUAAAUGAUUGACUGGAUUAAAUUCCGAUAAAGAAUUAAGUUAUAUAUUUAGAGAUAUUAUGUUUUUUUUUUUUUCAUUUGUUCAAUUUGGUUAGUGGUGAUUUCUUAAAGACUCAAUCCAUGUGCGUUUAUGCAUUUUUCUUUUGCCUUAAUUUCUGUUUCUUGGGGAGUUUAUACAGAUUCUUAUUUUAUGCUUCACAUGCCACAUGAAAGAUCGAAUUCUUAUAAUAAGAGUCUGAGAUCUCCCUGAAGGAUUCAAAGCAUUUUAUUUUAUAUUAAACUCCUUUACGUGGGUUUGGACACUACCACAAGUUCUUUAAAUACUAAAACGAUUUUAAGUCUUUUGUAUCAUCUGAUUGAAAUACAUGAAAGCACUCGUGGCUGCAAAAAUACAGUUGGGGCUAUUUCUAAAGUCUUCAACAGCAUUUUCUUUUUAACCUUUAUCCUCAUGGUUGUUUUUGCAGUUGUUCUUUAAGAAAACAUUUAAAAGGUUCUCUUUAUGGAUUUUUGAAAAUAAUUUUAACAUAAGCAAUUUUCAGAAGCACUUUAGAUGUCUGGCAUUUAGAAAAUUUUAUUCCGGUGUCACAUAAAAUACUUAGGAAGUUAAAUUUAUUUAUUUAUGAGCAUGUGCCAGUGCCCUGUGGCAUCCUCUUCACUUGUGAUAGUCAAAUGUAUUAUACGAUACAAUAUUAGCUUGACUGUAGCACAGAGGAGAAUAGGGUUGGUGUUGGUCUGAACCAGCUUAUGUAACAGCUGCCAAAGGAUAAUUUAAUUGUACUUUGAGUAAAGCUUUUGCAAAUUAAACAAGUGAUAAUUUGUUUCUAUUAAGAAAAACUUAAAGGAUAGGGCUAUUUUAACUCACCAAACUACACAUUAAAAAUCUACUUACAAAAAUAGUUUUUAAUUAUUAAAAUAUUCCUAAAUUAAAUUAUAAUUAUGGACACUAAAAUAUAAUUUUUUUUAUAUUUUACCCUUUGAAACUAUCUUUACAUUCGAUAUUACAUUUUUUUCUUAAACUCCAAAUUGAUUUUUUUUAUUAAUUUUAAAACACAUAUAAAGUGAUUCAUAUUGAUUUUAUACUAACAAACUAUUAUAGCACAUUCGAAAAAUAAUUAAAUCGUUCUUAUUUACAUAGUGAAAAUGCAAAUAGCUCAUUCAAAUGUUAAGGAAUUGGAGAGCUGCUGCUGGAGAUGAAAGAUGUGAAUUAAACAUCAGAGAAAAAAUUAUGUUCACUGUCUUGCCAGACCAAGCACCGAAAAGCGUCGUAAAGAAAAAUUAGAUAAUUUAGAAGAUAAAGCACGUGGAAUGGAGGCAGAAAGCAAGUAAUGAUAACUCUUUCGACAAACUAAUAUAUACCAAAAUGUAAUAUCGGCCCUAAUAAAAAAUGUGUUACGUAAGUAAAAGCACCAGGUCGGUCGUGCUACUAUUUCUGUCCCGGUAUGGCUCACCUCAACUGAAUGGUACAAGCAGAGCAUGGAGACGAAUAUGGCCCGACCAGAGAUGAGUACCGACCAGAGGUGUAUGUCGAGCCGAUACCCGUCUCCUGAAAAAGCGGGAACACGAUCCCACAGAAUCGCGGAAUUUGCGUUUUUCCCAGAACCGUUGCGAGAGAUGCGAUACCCCACGUUUACCCGUAAUGUAGUAGUUAAAGUUCCGUGAAAGGCCACCACCCGAAAAAGGAGGGAUGAAGACUGAGCGGGAACGUGGGAUAACGGCUAUAAAAGAAGGAGAAAUCGAUGAAGAAGGGGACAGAAAAAUCAAAAGAGGGAAAACGCUGCCAAAUUAUUGUCAGGCUAUCUUCUUGAAAAUUCCAGAUAAAUCAAAAACUACUCUUAAAUCUAAAUUGCUCUGUUUUCCCGUAAAUACCUUGAGCUAACUUAGGCAUCGGAGGGUUUACGCCGGCAAAACCACCCGCGUCUUUGAUCCGUUUUUUUGUGAGCGCAGGUCUAGAAAGAGAAAGGAGGACGAGUCCAAGUCCCGCGGUUCGAACUUGAUAACAUAAUCGUUGGUGGAAAAUUCUGGUCGGUAACAAGGCGAGCAGAUUUAAGCAUCAACAUUUUGGCGCCGUCUGUGGGGAGCUGGAUAAAAAGCUACCACCAACUUAGUAGUUGCCAGAGAAGCGGUAAACAAUCAGACAUGGAUGUGCCCAGGAAAGACGCUCUGAGGGAGGAUAACGAGUCUGGAGAGACAAUCACUCUUAGGGAAAUUGCAAAUGAAGCCCGGGAGAGGGUAAUGCAAGAUCGAUUGGAGCGGAUGGAGAAACAAAUGGAGACUCUCGCGACCAUACUAUUUGAGCUGAGAGACGAGCGGAGAAGGGAUUGCGAAACCCCUGUGGGGAGAGAUGAUGUCGGAGCAGAACCCAGCCUCCGGACGCGUAGAGUCGAGGAGAUCCCUCCGCCGGCGGACCAACCUAAUGGGGUGCAUCCCCACAGAAGUACUGGUCGGAUUCCAGGAGAACAAAUAGAUGAAGGGAGGAACCAACCUCGCCCUGGGCGGGUACUGGAAGCUGAUGGCCGAGGGGCCAGUGUUAAUGAAGGGGAGCUCAGGCAGCGGUUGCAGAAUGCCGAACAGGAGCGAGAUCAAAUAGCUGCACGUGAUCCUGACCGUGCUGUAGAAUUGGAGGGAGAGGUGCGCAGAUUAGCGCAAGUGAUAGAGGAGAUACAGGGUAGGAGAAAGCCCCCGAGCUGGAGGAUAAUGCUAGAUGAAGAAUCUCCACUAUCAGUUGAGAUCAUGGGCACUGUAAUCCCAAGAGAUUUCCGCUUCCCCGACCUCAAAUACUCCGGGCGAAGUGAUCCACUGGUGCAUAUUGAACGUUUUAAUGACGUGACGGGUGUUCAGGGGUUAACACCAGCUCAGAGGUGUAGGGUAUUCCCAUUGACACUAGAGAGACGAGCCCGAGAAUGGUACCACAAACUGUUACGAGGAAGUAUCAGAGGGUACGAGCAGAUGUGCCAAGAAUUGGCCGAACAAUUCCGGGGGGCGGUGGCCCCAGAGGAUGAUAUGAUGGAACUAAUGGGGAUAAAGCAGGAGGAACAAGAACCCCUUCGAGAUUUUGUAAAACGAUACCACCGAGCCGUGCUUGAUUUGGGAGCUUUCAAUCACCCGCAGGCGUUGAGGGGAUUGAAGGAGGGUGUGAGAAUAGGCCGACUGUGGUAUAACCUGAGAAGCCCCCUGGUGCAGAAUUAUUCCGCGGGGUAUGAGCAAGCAAAGAGAGACAUUGAAAUCGAAGAAGAAAAAUCAGCCAGGAUAAAGAGUGAACAAUUGGAGGAGCUGAGACGAAGAGAGAUGAGAGCCCCAAAAGGAGCGGGUCAGGAAAGCAAGCUGGGGAAUCUUCAAUGAUGGGUGCAGUAUCCGCUCGAUCUCGCCUUUAUCCUAUGGCUCAGAGACCGCAGCAGGUCCAACACAAUCGGGCUCAGCCCUCACGCCCCCCAUUCCUGGAACGACAACGAGAAUUUCGGCAGUUGGCUAACCAUCCCUAUCACAACGCUCCCAGAGCACCGCAUACAGCCAACCCCAGAGCGGGACGAUCAGGUCAGCUACCUUCAAUAUCCGCUCGGGAUGAUACUCAUGAUAGCCGAGCAGUCCAGCUGAUUGACCAGAACCCAGCGUACGGACAAUAUACCCCGCUAAAAGUCCCUAUGGAGGAGUUGUAUGAGAGAAUCGAGGGACGAGGCCUGUUGUACCCUCCAGCCCCUAUAACGAAACCUGCUCACCGAAGGGAUAAGAGCAGAUUCUGCAAAUUCCAUGACACUCACGGUCACACCAUCAGCCAAUGUCGUGACUUUAAGAUUCAGGUGGAGGAUUUGGUGAGAAAUCGUUAUUUGGAUGAGUAUGUAGAUGGGGUUUCUCCCGUCAUUGAAUCACAGUACACGCGGGGUGAAGGAGAUGAGAGGAGCCUGGAACGUGAACAGCCAACUAUCCGUGUGAUAGCAGGAGGGCCAACCCUGGCUGGGGAUUCGAAUAGGGCACGGAAGAACUAUGGGAAAUACGCCAUGACCAGCAAAGAAGUUCUUUUCAAUUUGCCAGCAGCCAAGAAGGCAAAAUUGCGGCAAGUUCCCAUUAUGUGGACAGAUGACGAUAAAGAGGGUAUCCUAUAUCCUCAUAAGGAUGCACUGGUGAUUAAGGCAAUGGUGGCUGGUACAGAACUACGACGGAUACUGGUAGACACGGGCAGCUCGGUUGACAUCUUGUUUAAAUCGGCCCUAGAUGAUAUGGGGAUUGCAGACUUAAAAUUGGAACGGACGAACACAUCUUUAAAGGGAUUUGGAGGGGGACGGCUAACUCCCAUAGGAAUCGUCGAACUCCCAAUUACUAUGGGGACAAAGCUGUUUGAAAGAACAAUGAUGUUGGAUUUUGUCGUGGUAGAGGAGAGAAGCCCUUACCAGAUGAUACUGGGGAGACCGUUCAUGAAGAUAAGUCAAUGCGUUGUGUCUACGCAUUAUCUGGCACUAAAAUACAGAAUAAACGGAGCGGUUGGUGUAGUAAAAGGUGACCAGAGGGUGGCAAGGAGUUGUUAUGCUACAGCGGCCAAGGAGACGCUGCAGGUUACUUCCUUAGAUAAUCGAGGAGAACCUAAAAAGGGCCGCCAAGAACCUGUUGAGAAACUGGAGGCAGUUUCGGUAAGCAAAGGCGACCUGAGCAGAGUGGUGAAGAUCGGAUCGGGGUUGGUUGGUGCAGUCAAAGGCGAACUGGUAAAUUGCCUACAGUCUCAUGCAGAUAUAUUUGCCUGGUCUCACGAGGAUAUGCCAGGAAUUGAUCGUGGGGUAGCUUGCCACAAGUUGGCAAUUAAGAAGGGGGCGAGGCCGGUGAGACAGAAGAGGAGAUGCUUUAACCAGGAAAGAUACCCAGACGGACGAGAUGUGAAGAGGUCAUGGAACGCCGAGCACUUAAAGAAGUAUUUUCAGUAAGCAAAGUGCUCUGCUAAAUCCUCAUUUUGAUAAGUUUUCUUUGUUAACUGCAUGAUGGUUUAUUACGCAUGUACAUAGUCUGUAUUUUGUAAUACAUUCAAAUCGCAAUAAAGAUGAAUUCAGCAUGAAACCCUUCUGUUAAGCAAGGCCAUUAUAAUUUAUACCAAGGCAAGUAAGUGCCUGCUUCUGCUCGGUCAACGAAAGACCAGCAGCUAAAUUAGCGAAAUUUCUACCAAGGCAAGUAAGUGUCUGCUUCUGCUCGGUCAACGAAAGACCAGCAGCUAAAUUAGCGAAAUUUCUACCAAGGCAAGUAAGUGCCUGCUUCUGCUCGGUCAACGACAGGCCAGCAGCUAAAUCUACGAAAAUUAUACUAAGGCAAGUAUGUGCCUGCUUUAGUUCGGUCCACGAAAGACCAGCAGCUAAUACUACGAGAAUUCUGCUAGGGCAAAUAAGUGCCUAGUUCUGCUCGGUCAACGAAGACUAGCAACCAAUUUUAUUAAAAUUUUACUAAGACAAGUAAAUGCAUACUCCUGCUCGGUCCACAAAGAAACCAGCAAGCAAAAUCAGAUAAGUUGUCCAAUUAUUUUGCAGAAACCAUCUAUGAGCAAAUACCAGACAAGAAAGUCAAUAGAGAACAUCUAAAAGUUUAUAAAUGUUUGAUUGUCUACAAAAUAGAUGUAAAUCUAAAGUUUACACAGAAAUAGACUUAAAGAUUAGCAGGGUCAACGGCUCCAGCAGCUGAAGAAUCAGCAACCUCAGGAGGCGGGAGAUCGGCAAUACCGGGAGGAGGGGGCAUGGACCCUUGACCCACCUCGAAAGUACGUCCCCCGGCUUCCCCCUCCUGCACCCCCUCCAAAGGAGCCUCCGCCUGAUCCUGAUGACCUUGCUCCUUAUCUGCCUGGCCGGUUUCCGCCAUAUACCGCUGCACUCCAGCCUCCAGCUUACUCAUGUCCAGCUCGGGAUAUUCUUCUUUAAGCACGGACAUGAUACACUUAUAGGAGAAAGCAACCCCAGAGUCAUACUCGGCAUCCAGCUGGUCGUCCACAUCAGCGGAUUUGCCUUUCUCCUCAGCCAGCUGUUCAUUUAGGGAUUUGAUUUCUCCCUCAAGGGCAGUCCUCAGAGUAUCUCUUUCACUUUGAGUUACCUGAAGGUCAGACUUCAGGCUGCCCAACUCACCCUCGAGUUUGGAGGCAGUGGACUCAGCAAUUGCAGUUUUCUCCUCCAGCUCCAUAAUCUGUUUGUUCAGCUCGGCCAGUUUCUCCUUGGAGCGAUCAGCAGAUUCAGCCUUCUUUUUCAACUCCUGAUUAUCAGCUUGAAGCUUCCUCUCAUGGCGUAUGGACACGUUCUUGUAACACGAAACCAUGGUGGCCAGCCUGAAGGAAACCCUUUGAACAGAGGCAGCUAACUCGGAGAGCUCCAUACUCUCGAUGUCCUUCACCAUCUUGGGCCCAACCGACCUCUUGUAAUCCUUUUGGUACGGGCUCAAAUAGUCACCCUGAUCCCGAGAUGGAAGAGGAGAAGAUCGGUCCCCAGAUUGUAAGCUGACCUCAGGGCUCUUGUCGGAAGUUUUCUCCCCACUACUCUUACGAGGUGGAGGAGGGGGCAGAGCAGGAACUGGAGCCUGAGAAGGACUGGCACUGGCCUUUUUCGGAGGAGGAGGAGGGUGGCUGGAGCUGCUCGAUGCCCGACCACGCUUUCUGCUCAUCGCGCUGAGGAUCUUGUUAUCCAUCCCAGCGGCAAUAUCUACUAAGCCCGAACCGACCAGGUUUGUUGGUGACAGGAGGUCUUGACAAGUAGACGCGCUCACCAGAGCCGUUUCCACCUGGAGUAAAGGUCGGUCCUCGAGAGUCUUAACCAAACCCCACGAUUCUGAAAAAACAGACAAGGUUAAAGAACCCAAUAAGUGGCAAUUCGAGAAAGAAUAUAGGCAAAAAAUGAACGACCUGGGGUGACAAAUUGCGUUGGAAGGUAAAUGUCACCACCCAACGACCGAACUGCUGGACACCAAUUUCCCCCAGCAAAGAAGAAUUUGUUCUUCCAAUUUUUGCACGAGGAGGGGAAACCGGUGAUUGGCUUUCUCUUCGCAGAACUGGACAUGAAGUAGUACCAGCCCGCCUCCCUUGGGCUGCUCCGCAGCUGAUACAGAUGCUUCACUUCAACAAGGGAAGGCUCCUCCGACCCACACCUCUCCCACAACACAAACAUAGCCGAGAGAACCCUCCACCUGUUUGGGUGUAGUUGACCUGGGGCCAGGUGCAUACCCCCUAAAAUCUUGGCAAAAUAGCGCUGAAGAGGCAGCCGAGCUCCUAAUUUAAAGCUCUCCAGGUGCAUGGUCACGUACUCCCGCGGAGGCCGACUAGGAACAUCACCUUUCUCAGGAACCACAAGGAGAACCUCCUUAGGAAUAUCAUAGAGGUUCCUAAGCUUGAACAGAUCAUUUUGGGUGGUGGCACAGGCUAUGUGAUCAAUGGGGUAAGAAUCUGCCUCCAUCCUAUGCCCAAGGUUUUGUUUCUUAAGAGGUCGGCUCGGCUCGGCUCGGAGCUGCUUCCCUCACUAUCACCCGCUCCUUCAGGAACCCCGACCCCACCAGAACUGUGGUUCUCGCCAGAGCCCGACGCAGGUCCCCCUCUAUUUCCUACAAGCUCUAAUUCAGAGGAGGGUGAAAUGGUCAAGGGACGUGGGUACUCAAGGAUAUCCCUACUAUGGGAUAAGCCUACACUACGAGAGGGAUUCAAAAAAUCAGUGGGUAUGGGCAAGUUAAGGUCUGAAUCCCCAGAUUCUUCAUCACCCUCGUCUGCAAUCAACUUCCUUCUUCGAUUUGACAUACCGGAGUUCCAAAAGAAAACCAAAACAAACCCAAGUACACGAAUACAAAAAGAGACAGUACAGAACCCAAUCAACAACAGCCAAAAAAGAGGUUAAAGGCUAUACCUGGAAUGGACUAACAUUGGUAGCACUGCCGUGACAGAGAAAACACCCAGCAAAUGGAUACUCCGGACGCUGGAAAUGGGAGCAAAGUCCAGAAAAGAAAUUGGUUAGUGACGGAGAAACGAAUCGCAGAAUGAUGAUGAUUUUAGUCUAGGGAUUUGGAACGAAAAGGGGGGAAACGGAAGCAUUUAAGUGAUGGGAUAUGCCAGCUCACUCACCAUAUAUCGAGGAAGGAUAGCCCGUCGUUUCAAAUUUCAAAAUAUGAAGAGUCGGGAAGCGCCACGUCACUAACCGAUACAAGAGGCCAGACUAGAGCAAGCCCAGAUAUGCAAUGGACAGGCUCAUUAAGGCCCAUGCUCAGAAGACCAGAUGAGAAGCCCCGGGCUGGUCGGCUUCAACCAUCAGUUUCUACUCUUAACUCAUUUCACUCGCAAGACCAGAAACUGGGGGACUGGUGUUAAGUAAGUAAAAGCACCAGGUCGGCCGUGCUACUAUUUCCGCCCCGGUAUGGCUCACCUCAAUCGAAUGGUACAAGCAGAGCAUGGAGACGAAUAUGGCCCGACCAGAGAUGAGUACCGACCAGAGGUGUAUGCCGAGCCGAUACCCGUCUCCUGAAAAAGCGGGAACACGAUCCCACAGAAUCGCGGGAUUUGCGUUUUUCCCAGAACCGUUGCGAGAGAUGCGAUACCUCACGUUUACCCGUAAUGUAGCAGUUAAAGUUCCGUGAAAGGCCACCACCUGAAAAAGGAGGGAUGAAGACUGAGCGGGAACGUGGGAUAACGGCUAUAAAAGAAGGAGAAAUCGAUGAAGAAGGGGACAGAAAAAUCAAAAGAGGGAAAACGCUGCCAAAUUAUUGUCAGGCUAUCUUCUUGAAAAUUCCAGAUAAAUCAAAAACUACUCUUGAAUCUAAAUUGCUCUGUUUUCCCGUAAAUACCUUGACCUAACUUAGGCAUCGAAGGGUUUACGCCGGCAAAACCACCGGCGUCUUUGAUCCGUUCUUUUGUGAGCGUAGGUCUAGAAAGAGAAAGGAGGACGAGUCCAAGCCCCGCGGUUCGAACUUGAUAACAUAAUCGUUGGUGGAAAAUUCUGAUCGGUAACAAGGCGAGCAAAUUUAAGCAUCAACAAAAUGAAAAUAAAAAUUCAUUACGAAUACGUGUUAAAGAUAUCCCAAGUAUAGAUGUGACUGAAAUAUUUGAGAUUGAAGAAGAAUUAAGACUCAAAAUCAAUUGGGAGGAAUAAAUGAGAAACCCCAAUACCAAAAAAUACACGCACAAAUCCUAAUACUAAUUGUAAUCACGGAUAAAAAGCAUAAUACGAAUAAAUUAAAUGGGCAACUAUUCCAUUGAGAAAUUAAUUAAAUCGUGUAUUAAUAUUUUGUAUACAUAUAUUUUUCUAUAUAUAACUUUCGGUAAUUUAAUUUUCCACUUAUCAUUUUUACUCCAAAAAAAUAAUUGAGAAUAUUAUUUAUAUUUUGGUGCAAAAUAUUUGAACAAUAUACAAAUUUUCAGUUUAAUAAAUCUAAACAUCUAUUAAGUUAUAAAUGAAUUUAAUGGGUUUAAUUAAUAAAAUUACUAUUAUUAUAUAAAUUGGGUUUAGUAAUGGUAUAUUGGGUGGGUUUGUUGAGUAAAUUUUAAAAUUUUGAAAUUUAAGGAUGGGUUUAUUUAGUAAAUGAGUUAAGGGAGUAGUUUGUUGGGAUUCACAUAGCCCCACCAAAUUCAAAUGUAAAAUUUGUGGAAAAAGAAGCUAUUGAGUUAUUCUUUUAAAAAAAGAAUUAAAAUGUCAAGAAUACCUUUAUUUAAUUUUAUAAUCUUAUUUUAUAGUCAUAUUUUAUUUCCACCUUAACAUAAUUUUAAAAACCUUAACUAAUAAAUUCUAUAUUUUUUUUAUAAAAGUUAUCAUUAAUAUCCAAACGGCUAAAGAUUUUUUUUUUUUUAAAAAAAAAGGAACUAUGCUUACAAAAGUUGUAUACAUUAACAAUAAAUUUAGUCCAAAGAAUAAAGUUAUUCCAAACAAGCACUCCAAUUCAUCUUGCUAAUGAAUCAAGAUGACUGAAUCCUUCUCUAAGCCAAAUCUAUUUUCACUUUUAGGUCAGAAAUUGUCAUUAAAAAAAUGUUUGAUAAAAUAUGCUCUAGGAACACUAAUUCGUCAGAUGGUUACUCCAAGUUUAUGAAAUCAAUGGGAUUUCAUCAUAUUCAUAACAUUCUUCUUUAAUGUCUAUUCUAACAAAGAAAUCAUAUACAGAGAAUAGGUUUCGUUAAAACUUUUACUAGAAAAACUAACCACAAUUCACCAUUCAUUUAUAUCUUAAGUAAGCCUAAGAUUUUAUCAUUAAAAUCCCAUCAUGAAAAAAACUCAUGGGAGAAAAACUAUAAAAAUUGAAGAAAAAAGAGUAUGGCGUGCAUGUAAAUUAUAUCGAUUUUAUCUACAUGACAAAUAAGACUCUCUUUUACAAUGGCACGGAUGCUUCAUUGAGUAAUCAUGAUUCUUGCUGGUAGUGCUUUGUUGUAUCAAUCUGCUAGCUAUUCAGCGUUCUUUCUUUCUUUCUUCUUAUUUUUUUGUUUUCAAAUAGCUUGUGGUUGUAGAAAUAUUUCAAUUAAACUAUACUUAAGUACUUAUUUGGUAUAACUUCUUUACUAACCAAAAGAAUUUUUUUUUUUGGUUUUUUAUAAUUUAAUUAUACUUUAACUAGAGUUUUUGGGAUAAAACAAGUGAUAAUUUCUCUCUAUUAAGAAAAACUCAAAGGGUAGGGCUAUCUCAAUCCACCAAACUAUUUAUUAAAAAUCCACUUAUGAAAAUAAUUUUUAAUUAUUAGAAUGCCUUUACAUUAAAUUAUAAUUAUGGACACUAAAAUAUAAUAAAUUUUUUUUUUACUCUUUAAAACUGUCUUUACAUUUGAUAUCAUAUCUUUUUCUUAAAAUCUAAAUUGAUAUUUUUAUUUUAUUUUUUAUUAAUCUUAGAACACAUAUAAAGUGAUUCAUAUUGAUUUUAUACUAACAAACUAUCACAGCACAUUCGAAAAUAAUUAACUCGUUCUUAUUUGCAUAGUGAAAAGGCAAAUAGCUCAUCCAAAUGUUAAAGAACUGGAGAGCUGCUGCUGGAGAUGAAAGAUAAAUAAUUCUCACUUAGAAGAAGGAGAAAAAAAGGAAAUACAAUUAGAAUGAGAGGUAGCCAGUAGCCACUAGCCGCCACCACCACCAGUGAAACUAUUUCACAUAAUAGAAGAUAAAGCACGCGUAAUGGAGGCAAAAAGCAAGUAAUGAUAACUCUUUUCGACACACUAAUACAUAUCAAAAUGCAAUAUCGGUCCUAACAAAAUGAAAAUAAAAAUUCAUUACGAAUAUGUGUUAAAGAUAUCCCAAGUAUUGAUGUGAUUGAAAUAUUUGAGAUUGAAGUAGAAAUAAGACUCAAAAUUAAUUGAGAGGAAUAAAUGAGAAACCCAAAUAUUAAUAAAAUACACGUGCAAAUCCUAAUGCUAAUUAAAAUCACGGAUUAAAAAUAAUAAUAAUAUGAAUGAAUUACAGGCGCAACUGUUUCAUUAAGAAAUUAAUUAAAUCGUGUAUUAAUAUUUUGUACACAUACAUUUUUCCAUAUAUAACUUUCGGUAAUUUAGUUUUCACUUAUCAUCUUUACUCCAAAAAAAAAAUUGAGAAUAUUAUUUAUGUUUUGGUGUAAAAUAUUUGAAUAAUAUACAAAUUUUCUGUUUAAUAAAUCUAAACAUUUCUCCAGUUAUAAAUGAAUUUAAUAGGUUUAAUUAGUAAAAAUAUUAUUAUUAUAUAAAUUGGGUUUGGUAAUGGUAUAUUGGGUAUUUAAAUGGGUUUGUUGAGUAAAUUUUAAAAUUUUAAAAUUCAAGGGUGGGUUUAUUUUAGUAAAUGGGUUAAGGCAGCAAUUUCCCAAACUAAAAUUUUUAGAAAAAGACGCUAUUGAGUUUUUUUUUUUUUUAAAAAAAGAAUUAAAAUGUUGAGAAUACCUUUAUUUAAUUUUAUAAUCUUAUUUUAAAAAAUUUACCCAAUAAAUUUUAUAAUUUUUAUAAAAAUUAUCAUUAACAUCCAAACAGCUAAAGAUUAAAAAAAAAAAAAAAGAAGAAGGGAACUGUACGAGCAAAAGUUACAUUAACAAUAAAUUUAGUCCAAAGAAUAAAGUUACAGCUAAAAAGUGCUCCUAUCCUAUUUUUCUCUAUUUUAACAAUAAUCUUCUUCCAAUCCGUUUUACAAUGGACUUUAACAAAUGGGCUCAAUCUCUAAACUUCAUUUUCUUUUGCUUACCCAUGGCCAUUAGCCAGAAAGCCUAAAACAAGACCAGCCCAUAUAUAUAAUUUUUUUUAAAAAAAAGUAAAAAUGUGUGAGAGCUUGUAGCAUUACAAUUUUAGGAUCACAUGUGUAAAUGGAACCCCAACAUUGAUCAAGAAUUAACAAGACAAGAUGAAGAGAUGAUCUUGUAACUAAGAAUGAAGAAAUUGAAUCAAGACAGUACUCUAGUAAAACCCAGAAAACAGAGCUUGAAGAAUCACGCACAAAGCAGUAAAUUUGUAAAACCAGAAUUGGAGCUUCACUUCUCAAGAGAGACGAAACAGGAUACAGUCUAGCUUUAGCCAAAGUGAUAAACUCGUAAUUAUUCUACAAAGGGAACAAUUUUGAACAGUGGGAAAUUCCAUAAUUAUUCUUUUCGGUGAAUUAUUUUAAAUAAAAUUAUAAAAACCAAUAUAAAAUUAUUACCCAGUAAAGACUUUAGAGAGACAAGUGCUCCCAACAGGAUCAAGUGAAUAUGCCCCACAAAGAUCAUUUCUUGUUCUUUUUCUUUUUGACAAUUUUAUCUGUGGUUUCAACUUUUAUGCUUUAUUGUCGUAUCCCGUUGAGGGCUCCGCUGCACCCAUUACAACUUACCCCUAAAUUGCCUCUUACUAACUAAACCGUUAGAUUUUAUGGAAGCACGUUCAAUGCUGAAUUUUAAUUAUGUCAUCAAAUUUCGUUUAGCUCCUUAAACUCCAUUUUAUUUGUAAUUUCUUCAUAAAAUAUUCAAAGCUUCAUCAAGCUCCUGAUGGACCAUCAUGGCUAGGGGUGCAUUAGAGCCGAACUGAAAUAUGUUAGUUCAGUUCAGUUUGGUCAGUUUAAAUCGAAUGGUUUAGAAUAUAUAAACUGAUCAAUUUUAAUUUUUAAUUGAACCGAAAAUCAAUUGGUUCAUUAUUAGUAUUUUUUUAUAAACAUGAAUUAUUAGUGAUUGUAAUUAAAUUGGACUAAAAAAAAUUCAAACUAAGGUGAAAAAUAUAAAAUCUUAGACAAUAUAAAAGAAAAAAUAUUAAAUUUUUUUAACCGAAUUAUUUUGACUCAAUUUGGUUCAUAAUUUUUUAAACCAAAUGGAACCCUCAUAACAAAAAACUAACAGAAACAAUAAGAACACGAUGUUAAAAUCUUAAAUCAAUCGCAAAAAAGCACCCAAAACAGAUCGAUUAGGAACAGUUAACAACAAAAGAUUUGAUGGUUCAAAAUCAUAAUGUGACCUACUUCCAUCCAAGAAUUAUACUAAUUUCUUUACUAGUUGUCAAAUACAAGAUCACAAGAUUAUUUAUCACUCUAUAGAGAAAAAAUUUUUAGAAGAAAUACUCCCCAAUUUUUCUCUUGAUAGUUAUGAAUCAACACCCCUAGAAAGGCUAUUGAUUUACUUUUCCUUAUUUCAUAUGAUCGGUUGCUGCAACUUAAUCCUUGCCAAGUUCCAACAUAGUCCAAACAUUUUUCAUGGUACAUGCAUAGUGCACCUUCAGAAACUUUACAGCUCUUCUUAAAACCUCAGUUCUCGUGAUGUUUCUGAUUUAUUUCUGGGACGAGUAACACUUUUGUUGAACCUAGACCAGAUUUAGUAUCCAAUCAAGAAUUUCCAGGAUCUAGCUGAACUCUCUAAUCAAGACCUAAAGAAUAGUUAAUCAAAUCCACACAAAAGAAUCACCCAAAAACAGUAUACAAAGAACAACAAAUAUAAGUGGUUUUGAGAUAAAUGUAAUUGACUUCUGAGCAUGACUUAAUUUUGAGAUCAUUACUUUUAGUUAAAUGAUCUCCUCCAGAGCUUCUACCUAUGUAGUGUUUUUAGACCUCUAUAGUUGAUAAAGCACGUUCAAGGUGAAGGCUUGUUUUCCAAUCUAUAGUCCAAUUAUAGACUGGAAAUGGUCAGGCUUAAUGCACCUUCAAAAGCUUCACAAUUUGUAUUGAAACCUUAAGCCUCAGAAUGCUACAAAUUUUAAAUCCAUAUACUUAGUGCUCUUAUGAUUUGUUUGAUUUUUACUUAGAUGAAGAGCAUUUUAGCUAUAGAAAACAUUGUAACUAAUUCAAAGCAUGCCUUAGCUACGAGAUCAUUCAUUCUAGCCAAAUGCCCCCUUUAGAGAUUCUGCUAUUGUUGUGUAUUCAGCCUCUAUAUUUGGCAAAGCAAUUACAUGUCGAAGGCUUGCUUUCCAGUUAACAGCGCAAUUACAUAGAUUAAAGGUGUAACCAGGCAAAGAACUUAGUUAUUCUGCCAAGGUCUCCAACAUACUCCAAAUCCAUAUAACCACCAGACUUCAAUCUUUAGACUCCAUAGAUCAAACCAUAACUUAGUGUGCCUUUCAAUCUCAGGUAACAUUUUACUGUUUUCCACGUCUUGCCAUGUACUUGCUGCUAACACUAACAAUUUGAGAAAUGUUAGGCAUCGUAAGCAGCCGACAACACUCUUCUUCAUUUCUUCAUUGUCAAUUUCCUUCUUGGAACAUUGCUCCAUUGAGAGUCUGCUAUCAUUGCUCCAAUUAUUAUUAUUUUUGUUUUUUUAAAAAAAAAAAUUAACCGUGCAAUAAGAGUAUAAGACUAAGCAACGGUCCUUUUUUUUUUCCCAUUCUUGAACAUGAAGUAUUUGAGUAUGCAAUAAAAAUUGUUUAUUGAUAAUUAAAAGUUAAUAGUGGGUGGCUUUAGGAUUUGUUUACAAAAUUGACAACAAAUUAAGAUUUUUCAAAUUCAUAGGUAAGAAACUUUUCAUUUAUUCAUAGAUUUUCCGGUUUAAACUUUAAAGGAAACUUAAAAGAAAAAGAUGUAUCAUUAGAUUUGUAAUUAAAAAAAUUUAAUAUUGUAUGAUCUGUUCGAUAUGCAUAAUUUAAAUAAACAUUAAUAUAGAUGUUAUAUAUCCUAAAACUUAAUUGACUUAAUUCUUACGGUGCAAGGAAGACGUUUCCAAGUUUAAAUCUAAUUUGGGGUCGGGAAAGCACUGGGAAAUAAAUGUAACAAAGGAAAAAAGAAAAGAAUGACAGUCUGAGUGGAGCCAACACGGUUUUGAAAAAAGUGCAAAAAAGGGUUUUAGGAUAUAUUCUAUUAUCGUUUGUUUGCUUGCUUGUGGAAAUAAAAGUCUCAUGUUUCUUUGAAAGGUAAGCAAGUGUGAAUGUUUCUAUCUAGAGCUGGAAAAUGCAUUUCCGUGCAACUUACUUGAUGAAUGAAGUUUUCAUCUCUGACCUUGAUGUUUCCCAGAGCUGCAUUCAUUUCAGCUGAUCUAUUUCAUUUCGUUUGCAAAGGAGUGACACAAAACCUCCUUUGUUAAGGGGAGAAUUUAGAGUGGCUUCAACGGUUAACAAAUAGCCUAAUGUAAGACUUAAUCAAUUUCCUGCCCGGUUGCUUACCACUACUUAUCACUUUAACGUAUGAAACCUAAUCAAGAUUCCUUUGAUGAUUUUUCUAUUUGCUAAUUGAUUGAUAAGCUCUUCAGUGAAGAUAUAGUGUCCGCAAGCCAUAUGUUGAUAGAGUUAGAGUUUGCAGAAGCUACUGUACCAUAUGUUGUUAGAGGCGGUAAAAACGGAGGCAGAUCAACACACAUUUAAAUUUCAAUGACAAUUUACUGGAAAUAAAUUUCCUAUGACCCUACAUGUGACUAAUUGAUGAGAACUUGACAAUGACAAAAGAAAGUGUAUGAGCUUUGCAGGCUGGCUUGCCAAUAUUGACUGUAUGGCACCAUCCGCAAGUAAGUAUCAUUACUGUUUAAUCAACUUGGUGGAGUCCACUGGGACCACCCCACAUGGUCAGUCUUAUCUCUACUCCUAAAUUUUCAAUAUUCCAUACAUCAAACCAAUUGCAGUUUUGAUAUCAAAUUCAAUUUUAUUGUUGGUGACGAUUCUGAUUCCUUUCAUUCUCACAAAACGGAACCAUGGUUGCUGUUGGAGAGAUCUUACUCAACGCCUUCCUUGAGGUGUUGUUUGACAGGUUGGCUUCUCGUAAUUUGCUCCGCUUUGUGCGUCAACUCCAAGGCGGGGUUGAUUCGGAGCUCAAGAAGUGGGAGAAAAAGCUGAAGAUGAUUCAGGCUGUGCUCUGCGAUGCAGAGGAGAAGCAACUGACCGAUGAGGCUGUGAAGAUGUGGCUGGACGAACUCCAAGACUUAGCUUUUGACGCUGAGGACAUUCUUGAUGAGUUUGCUACUCAAGCUUUGGAAAGCAAGUUGAUGGCGCAAAACCAGGAUAGCUCUGGCCAGGUUCUCAGUCUCAUCCCGGCUAGUUUGAAUCCGAAUGCUAUUAUGUUCAAUUAUAGCAUGGGGUCCAAGAUUAAAGAUAUGACUAGCCGGCUGGAGCAACUCUGCCAAGAAAGAAUUGAACUUGGACUGCAACGGCUUACUGGAGGGGCGUCAUCAACCGCUGCUGCUGCACACCGGAGGCCACCCAGUUCGAGUGUCCGAACAGAACGUGAAGUAUUUGGAAGAGAAGAAGAUAAGGCCAAAAUUCUUGAUAUGGUCAAUACCCCAAGUGAUCACGCCAACUUUGUUGUAAUACCUAUUGUUGGAAUGGGCGGGAUAGGAAAAACAACUCUUGCUCGGGAGGUCUACAAUGACAAGGCAGUUGAGGAUUCCAAGUUUGACGUAAAAGCAUGGGUUUGUGUCUCCGACAACUUUGAUGUUUUCAACAUUUCAAAGGCACUUCUCGAGUCAAUCACCUCCGCAGCUAGUGAUCUCAAGACUUUAAAUGAAGUGCAGGUUCAACUGAAAAAAGCAGUGGACGGAAAAAGAUUCUUGCUGGUCUUAGAUGAUGUUUGGAACGAGGACUACAGCUUGUGGGUAGACUUAAAAGCUCCGUUCCUGGGUGCUGCACCAAACAGUAAGAUGAUCGUCACCACACGCAAUUUAAACGUUGCAUCAACAAUGGGACCAAUUGAACAUUAUAAUCUCAAGAGUCUGUUAGAUGAUGAUUGCUGGUCCAUUUUCAUACAGCAUGCAUUUGAAGGUAGAGAUCUUAACGCAUAUCAAAUUUCAGAAUCAUUCAGCAAGAAAGUUGUUGGCAAGUGUGGGGGCUUGCCUCUGGCAGCAAAAACGCUCGGGGACUUCUGCGCACAACAAGGCAUGAUGCGUGGGACGAUAUAUUGGAUAGCAAAAUAUGGGAUUUACAUCAACAAAGCAGCAUUCUCCCUGUGUUAAGAUUGAGUUACCAUCAUCUUCCGUCUCAUUUGAAAAGAUGUUUUGCUUUUUGUGCCAUCUUUCCAAAAGAUUAUGCAUUCACUGAGAGGGAGCUGACUUUCUUAUGGAUGGCUGGAGGUAUUAUUCGACAGUCAAGAAACAAUGAGCAGCUGGAAGAUUUGGGCAGCAAGUGCUUUGGUGAUCUAGUGUCGAGGUCAAUUUUUCAGCAAACAGCAAGCUCUGAUAGUUCUAAAUUUGUAAUGCAUGACCUUAUUCAUGAUCUUGCUGAAUUGGUCUCUGGAGAAACCAUAUUCAGGUUAGAGGAGGCCAAUACUCGGUCAAGAAGAUUUGAAAGGGUUCGCCAUUCUUCCUAUGCUUGUGGUGGAUGUGAUGGUAAAAAUAUGUUCGUGGUUUUCAAUGAAAUUGAACAUCUACGAACAUUCUUGCCAUUACGCUUACGCAGAAGAGGUGGCUCUAAUGCUGGUUACAUAACUCGUACGGUUCUAUCUGAUUUGCUGCCGAAGUUCAAAAGGUUGAGAAUGCUAUCUUUACAAGGAUACUGUAUUGGUGAGUUACCAAUUCCAUUUGAAGAUUUGAGACUUUUAAGGUUUCUCAACCUUGCUGACACUGACAUAAGAAGUUUACCCGAGUCAACAUGCAAAUUGCUGAACUUGGAAAUUUUUAUAUUAAGAAAUUGUUCCCGUUUGAUAAAGCUUCCACCCAAAAUGAGGAAUUUGAUCAAUUUACGCCAUUUGGAUUUAAGAGGUGCGAAGUUGCUGAAGGAGAUGCCAUUCGGAAUGAAAGAGUUGAAGAAGCUUCAAACAUUGUCCAAUUUCAUCGUGGGCAAGGGCGAAACUGCAUCUGGUUUGGAAGAUUUAAAAUGUUUAAACUUUCUUUGUGAUGAACUCUGCAUUGCUGGAUUAGAGAAUGUGAAUGGUCCACAGAAUGCAAGAGAAGCCGCAUUAUGUGAGAAGCACAAUCUUGAAGCAUUGACUCUAGAAUGGGGGUCUCAAUCUGACGGUCCUCGGGAUGCAGUACUAGAAGAGAAGGUACUUGACACUCUACAACCUCAUGAAUGUAUAAAAGAGCUGGCAAUCAGGCACUAUGGUGGUGCAAGAUUUCCACCUUGGAUCGGACAGCAUUCGUUCUCCGAGAUGAAGGUCCUUAAAUUGGAGAACUGUGGCAAUUGUGUAUCUCUGCCAUCGCUUGGCCUGAUGAGUUCACUUAAGCACCUUGCUGUUAAAGGGCUGAAGAAAUUAAAAAGCCUAGAGUCUGAGGUUUAUGGGGAGGGUUUCUCAAUGCCUUUUUCGUCACUGGAGAUUCUAAGUUUUGAGAAUUUGCCAGAAUGCGAGCAUUGGGACACCAAUAUCAAAGGAAAUGUGCUUGUUGAAAUAUUUCCUCGUCUCCAUAAACUUUCCAUUGUGGAAUGUCCCAAACUCUCCGGAAAACUGCCUGAGCUCCUGCCCUCCUUGAAGACACUUGUUGUUAGUAAAUGUGAAAAGUUGGUAGUUCCAUUGUCUUGCUAUCCAAUGCUUUGCAGAUUAGAAGUUGAUGAGUGCAAAGAACUAGUCUGCCGGACUCCGAUUGAUUUUAAGUUGAUAAAGUCGGUGACUAUUUCAAAUAGUUCAUUAGACAUGAAUGGACGCAAGGGGAUGCUAUACGAUGGUCCAGCUGGCUCUUUACUGCCAAAGCCCAUGACUACUACAAAUGUUUUGGAGUUUGGAAAAUUAUUGAAGCCUGGAUUUCAGAUAUUAGAAACUUUGGUAAUUGGCAAUUCUGAACAGCUCAAGUCAUGGAGGCAGCAUGGGGAUU